This 103919-nucleotide long non-coding RNA is filed under the name Vitis vinifera (wine grape). RNAcentral's name for it is "long non-coding RNA (VVIN_LNC004255)". Lineage: Eukaryota; Viridiplantae; Streptophyta; Magnoliopsida; Vitales; Vitaceae. The record is from RNAcentral.
GGGUCUUGAUAUUCUUGCAGUUAGAGAUCUCGAGCCGUGUAAGACGGGUGAGCUUUUUUAUCUGAGGAAGCAACAAUUCCAGAUUUUCAAAAUCUGCAAUACGUAGAUUUGUGAGGGUGUUGAGGCAAUCUGGUAGGGUUUUGAGAUUAGGAUACCUCCAGAGGGUUAAAGAUUGAAGUGAAUUAUUAGUAGAGUGAAACAUCUCCUCUGAAAUUGACUCGAGGUGUUCACAAUCCCAAAUGUCAAGUCCCUCAAGGGUGGAGGGAAACUUGCCUCUUGGGAAGGAUGUGAGAGAUGAACAAUGACAGAUAGCCAGGCUUUGAAGAGCAGCAGCAUAUGUGGAAUCGUAGUGCAUUAUUCCCUCUGGUAGAGACUCCAGCUUUUCACAAUCACUUAUGUAGAGUGCCUUGAGAGUGAUGGGUAACCUACCUCUCGGAAAACCAAUCAAAGAGGGACACAUAUUUAGACUUAAGUAUUCAAGGGCACACAUGUCCAUGGUGCUGGUGGUGGCGAUGGAAUUGCAGUGCAUCAUUCCUUCUGGAAGAGACUUGAGAUUUUGACAAUCACGUAUGGUUAGUUUCUUAAGGGUGGUGGGUAAUUGCCCUUUUGGAAAGCAAAUGAGAGAUGGACACUUCCAUAUCCUUAAGCAUUCAAGGAGACACAAGUUGUUGUCAGUACUACCGUUCCUCAUCUUCAACAUCAUGCCAUCAGGUAGACGCUUUAGACCUUUACAAUUAUUAAGAAAAAGAUUUCUCAGCAUUGGUGGGAAACCUACAUCUGGAAAGAAGAUUGUCAAUUCUUCAAGGCAUGUUAGACUCUGCCAUCCAUUUGGAAGCCUCUCUAGUUUAUCACGUUUAAUUAUUUCCAAAGACUGAAGAUUGCAUCCCAAGGAUACAAGUUGAUCACAAUCUCUAAUCUCAAGAGAAAGAGAGUUUUUUGAUCCAAAACCAUCCUCCCACAAAUAUUCGAGUUCUUCACAUUCUGAUACUUCCAAAACCCGAAGCCCUUGCAAAAAUUGCACAAGUCCUUCAUGCAAUUUUACAAGCCUUGAAAUCCUAGAAAUUGUUAACCUGGUGAGUGAGGUGAGGUCAUUUCCACUUCUCAAGACCGCCUCAUUACAUCCUCUUACUUGCAAUUCCCUCAGCAGUGGAAGUCUUGAAAGUGGAGACUCCAAUUUUGGACAAAAGUGAACAGAGAGCUUUGUAAGAGAAGGUAGGUAAGUGGGUAGUUUCAUAAUCAAUUUGGGGCAAUACUUAAUUAUAAGCUCAUGGAGACAAGGGAAUAAUGACUCUGUUGAGGAAGACCAGUCCUCCCAGUGCUCCCAUUCUGACAUGCUCUCAAAAUGUAGAGACUCUAGUGAUGGGAAAAACUUACCUGCAGAAACACGAGUCUCUCCAUAAAACUCUGCACCCACUUUUUUUACUCCAACCAUUCCUUGGAUCCUCAACUGUUUGAGCGAUGGCAACUGCCCCAAGCAUGGUAAAGACGUGCACUUUCUGCAAUCUAUGAGACUUAGAUCCACCAUCUUAGAGAACAAGGCAUCCCCUAUCCAACGUGGGAAUUUUGGACCACCAUACAACUGAAUGCAGAGUUUGUUCAGAUUCAAACAACGUUGUAGAGAGUCAAGGACAUCCAUUUGAUUCCUUUCAUUCCCUGAACCAUCCAACUCAGAACUCCACUGCAUUAUCAAGCUUUCAAGGUUACGCUUUAAUUUUAAAUCGGCAUCCCUUGCAUCUUGAAUAUUCACCACAUUUUCCAAUUUCGAAAUGCAAAGUUCUCCUCGCAGAUGUGACACGUCCUUCAACUCUUUGAUUGUCAAACCUUUGUUUUUGUCCACAAUGAAAUUAGACAAUAUCCGCAAAUCUUUUAGUUUGUCAAUUCGUAUAGGCAUUUCUUGUAAUUUUAUUGCACCGGCAACAUCAAGAUGUCGAAGAUUGAUUAGGUUAUCGAUGCUAAUAGGCAACCUGAUAAGCUCUUUACAACAUGAUAAUUUCAAUGUCUGAAGGUAAAAAAGAUUACCAAUUGAAUCGGGUAACCAUUUUAUACUAAUGUAGGAUAAAUUAAGGUAUCUCAAAUGUUUCAACUUACCAAAUGAAUCCGGUAUCUCACUUAUCAUGUAAUUAGUCAAUGAGAGCACCCUUAAGUGCCCUAACCUUGGUAUCAAUUCUUCAAGCACCUUAUUACUUAUGAAGUGAUCAAGCCAUGUUGGUUGUUCAUCAAUCGGGAAAGCUAUGAAUGUGCGCAAGUGCUCCUUUUCAUGAAACCUUUCAAAAUUUUUAAAGAUAUCAUAAUGAUGAUGGAUGAAUGAUGAAUGACGAGCAUUUUUCAAAAAUGGGGCAUUGCAAAUCAUUCCACAACUCAUCAUCCAAAUGCAAGCAUGUGUCUCCAGCAAUAGAAUUAGCUAGACCGUUAAUAAGAUCAUGCAUAAUGAAUCAUGAUUUAUUGCUGCUCGACGAUUGGAAAAAUGACCUUGACAAUAGUUCACAAAAAUAAUCAUCACCAAGAUCUUCCAUUUUCUCAUCCUCAUUUGAUUGUUGAAUUAACCCCUCCGCCAUCCACAAGAGGAUUAGCUCUUCCUUCUUAAACUCGUAAUCUUGGGGAAAUAAUGCGCAAUAAGCGAAACACCUUUUUAAAGUGUAUUUCGAAUUUAAAUUAUUGCAAGUGUAUUUGCUUGACUAACCUUUUGAAUUACUCAAAUUUAACAAGUUGCAAAUAGGUCCCUUAGCUAAUCUUUUAAAUUAAUCUUGAUGUUGACAAGAAUCUUGCCGACCAUAAUUAUAAAAAGAGAAAUAAUUGAAGCUAAGUUGACCUAAUCUAGUUUAAUAAAUUGCAAGUCGGUGCCCUUACCUAAUCUUUUAAUUUAAUCUUCAUAUUGAUAAGAAUGAAGCCGACAAUAAUUAUAAAAACAAAAAGACGACAAGUUAAUUCUAUUGACUAAUUUUAUUAACUCAAAUUUAAUUAAUUACAAGUAAGUUUUCUUAAGUCUUAACUAACGUUUAAAUUAAUCUUGAUAUAUAUAAGAACCUUGCCAACUGUAAUCAUAAAAAAGAAAAGGCCGACAAACUAAUUUAAUUGACUAAUUUUAUUAACUUGAGUUUAAUAAAUUGCAAGUAGGUUAAUCUCUUACCUAACCUUUUAAAUUAAUCUUGAGAUCAAUAAAAAUUAUAAAGAUCAUAAUUAUAAGGAGGAGAAAAAGGCAAACUAGUUUGAUAUUUUUAAGGGCUUAAGCUAAAUUUAUACCUUUUAUACAAGAGUUCCUAUUUUUAUAUAAACGUUUUUAUCACUUUUUGUUUUUAAAAACAAAAAAUGAGAAGUAUAUCUAAACAAAUACUUAAUAUUGAAUGGUAUAAACUCCUACUCAUUUAAAUGAAAUAAAGAGAUAUUUUCAUUUAAGAUAAAAAAAAAUGUAAGGAUAAAAAAUUAAAAAACUUUUUAACUUCUUGUACUUUAUUAUUACAUUUUUUUCAUUAGAUGCUUUAAAUAUUUUUUAUCAAAUAAAAUUAUAAUGCUAUUGGUCGAGGGCUAAUUAACUUUGUUUAAGCGAGAAAGAUAUAGUUAAGAUUGGGGUCGAUCCACAACUAAAAGAAGAAUGAAAUAAAAAGUAGGAGAUGAAUUGAUCAAACCAAUGUCCCAAAAAUAGUCCUAUGCAUGGCUCUACUUGAAUAUCUAUGAUUAUGAUUAUUAUUAUUAUUAAACUAAUCUUAACUUUAAGUUAAAGAUAAUUUAAAAAUAUAUAUAACUUCAAAAAUUAUUUUCAAAUCUAGAGAGUUAUUUUGAACUAGCAAUUAAAAGAUACUUCUUCAAAAUCAUUUUUUCUUAUUAUACAUUUUAUCAUCGAGAACCGUUUCAAACCAUCUUUUUGGUUUGCUUUCACAAAAAUGGUUUUUUCCCCCUCCAAAAGAGCUAUCAAUGGAAGCGUUAUAGGCUAAAACCGUAUUUAUGAUAAUCAAUUCCAAUGGAUCCUAUAAGUUAUGCCAUUUUUAUGAAGUUUUUCUUUGGUUUUUAAUCUUUGUAUUAAUGCAUCAAUAAAUGUUUUAUUAAAGAAAUUACUAGUAUAAUAAAUGAUACAAGAUUGUACGUGGGUUCAUGUUGAUAGGACAAUGAGAUAAAAAAAUAUAAGGUGAAUACAAAUCUCCAUGCAUAAAUGAAGCAAUUAGCUUGUUCAAUAUAUUUAGCUUGAUGUAAAAUUUCCUUUUUAUUUUCCAAAUUCUUUAUAACAAUUGGCUUUCCCUCGUAGUACAAAAAAAAUAAAAAUCCUCCUUGCAUUAAUUUUUCUCCUAAAACAAUUUUUUUUAAAAAAAAUUAACUUUUCAAAAAUUAAAAGCUAUUAAAAACAUCUGCCUAUAAUAACCUAUAAGUAAAAGUUCCUUCAACUAGCCUAUUACUUUUUUGAGAGUUCAUAUGAAUUAUGUAUGGCCCACAGUUGGACUUUGAAGAGUUUCAAAGCAAUUUAGUUAAAAGAUAACAAAAAAAAAAAAAAUGAUAUGACAAAUAGUGAAAAUCACUUUGGAUUCCAAUAAUAUUUUCUAUCAAUAUAAUAUCUCAAUACAAUGUCUCCUUGGUAGGUUUAGUAUGAAAAUGAAUUAUUUUAUGAAUAUGACUUUGGAUUCCAAAUUUUGAACUUUCUAAUGCCUUAACAUAGUGGUAGGUGUCACACCCCUGAAGGUCACACCAAAUUUUUCACAAGUGCGCGGUGCUAAGGACCCUUCCUUAGCCAACCUUCCUUCCCAGCGUUUAGAAAAACAGAGUAAAAGCACAACAACAGUAAAUCAAUAGGGACACAAACGUUUACAAGAAACCUUUCCCAACUUGUAUUAAUUCACUCUACAAGACAAAAUUGUUCCUCUGAACCAGAGUACAAUGCUCACACCCAAGCAUUACGACAAGAACCCUUUUCCCCAAAUUCUCUCUCUCUCCGUUUCAAGGCUCUAGGAGCCCUUUUAAAAGACUUAAGCUGCACUUACAAAUUUGAAUUUCCAAAUUCAAAUGUUGGAGCCAAUAUGGUGGUUAUGCAACUAGCCAGAAUCACCCAUAACUGCCUUGCAUAACCACCCACCACCCAGAUAGUGGCCUGCACAUGCCACCCACUUGCACCAGCCAUCAGCCCUCAGCCAACUACAAGUCAAAUGACAGCUUGACUUAGUCACUUGCUGUCUGAGCUAGCUGCCACUAGCUAGCUACACUGCCAUCUUCUCAAGCCCUGCUCGCUAAGCUGCUGGAGAGUCCCCCUAACAAGCUGUCUCCUUCCCCGCAAGGUGCCUCUUGUGACUGGGUGCCCAUCAGCAUGUCUUUGAUCAAGGCCUUCUAAGCCAGGCAGUGUGCACCAACCAGCUGACCAAGCGUCUGGUGCAUCAGUGUGCCUUCCCCACACUAAUGUGUGAGCCCAUGCCAUGUCUAAGUGCCCAUGGCUUGGGCUUGUUGCUUGCUUCCCUUGUCAGAUCCAGCUUCAUAGCAACGAGCCAUGGCAUUGCGCCCAUGGCUAAUCCCUCUUAGUGCACAGGGCAUUGUGCCCCGGUGCUGUGCGUAGACAUCAUGGUGCGAGUCAGCUAUUGCUUGGUGCCCCAUCAGACCAUGGCAUUGUGCCCAUGGUUUCAUCAGCUGGCUCACCGCACAAGUCUUAGGCACUCUCGUGCUUGCGCGGGAAGGAGGUAGGCCGCACCAAGCCCCAUGCCGUUGUGGCCAUGGGGUACACACCACACAUGUCGUGGAGCCCAUGUGUGCAUGCUCAAGUCGCAUCCGUGUGUCCUAGGCACGCCCAAGGCCGUGCCAUGGUGUCCCCUUGGUGCAGUCAAGGCUUUCCUUGGUGCUCUCUCCUUUGAGUCACCUAACCCCCCCCCCUUAAAGAGCAAUACGGGUCGUUUUCAUUGUUUCUGGAGGAGACAUUAAUAUGCCUGAGGAGACAUAAUGGAAUAAUAAAUAAUUAUAAAUUAAAAUUCCAAAAGUCUCUCAGCCUUCAUCUGCACCACCUAAGUCAGGUGCGCACACGAUGCCCAUCUGGUGCGCACGCGAUGCAUGUCUGGCUCGCCCGUAGUGCGCGCACGGUGCCCAUCUGGCCUGUUCACAAUGUGCGCACGGUGCGCGUCUGGCUCGCCCGUGGUGCGCGCGCGGUGCACGUUUGGCUCGCCCACGGUGUGCACGUGGUGUGUAUUUGGCUCACCCGUAACCUCUCACAUAGCCCCUAGAGUUUGAACCACCAAACCUCUAGGAUUUCCUUGCUUUCAGCCUAGGCUCUCAUGGGUACAAGGCCUAUCCAUGAGGCCUUUUCCUCCAUGGUUAAGUCAAGAGGCUAAGGGGCUGACAGUAGGCCUUAUAGAAAAUGAAACUUGGGAAAAAGUAUAGUAUGGACAUAAUUUUUGACUUAGGAGGUGAUGUUACAACACCUUCAAUUAAUUACCUUGAAAAUGAUAUGUUAUUGUAUUGAAAAUGAUAUUAAAUUUAAUGAAGACAUAUCUAAUAAAAAUAACACCCGUUUUUUAAAACAAUAUUAUGAUCUUACUAUUGUGUCAUGUUGGAUCAUAAAAAUAUCACCCAUUUUUUAAAACAAUAUUAUGAUGUUACUAUUGUGUCAUGUUGGAUCUCAUUUGGAAAACAAUUUAAUUAUGUUGUGUCAUAAUUUUUUUAAAAUUUAUUCCAUUUUUCUUUUAAUUUUUGAAGCAUGCAAUUGGAGUUGGUCUAAACUUUGAAUAGUUGGAGCCAAUUUCAAUGCCUUAGUGGGUCUAAAAGAAAAAAAGAAAAGAUUGGAAAAUUGAAGUGGAAUAUGGAGACAAAAUUUUAAAGGCUUGAAGUGAUGUUACAGCUUUCCAAGUAAUUACCUUGAAUGUGAGAUGUCAUUAUAUUGAAAAUUCAUAUUAAAUCUCAUGAGGUAACUAUAGGAAUUGCCAUACAUAGAGACAAAUAAUAAAUAUAUCUCACUUUUUCAAAAUGUUUGUGAUCCUAAUUAUACAUUGCCUUUAUAGUGGGAUGAAUGCAUCUUCACUUAAAGUCUUAUUCUAAACAUAUUUUUAGAAUUUUCUAGGAAUAUGUAAAGAAAACUUUAUGAUAAGUAAUUUCUAUCUAAGACGGGUAAAGUCUAAUAUGAUUUGUUCACACCAUUCAAAUCCAACACAUUUUUUUAUAAAUUUGAAAUGAGUAUAAUUGUAUUUGAAUAAAAAUAAAUUGUUUUUAGGUCAACUUUCAUAACAAACAUUUAACUCAAAUUGACUUAUUUAAUAAUAUUAAUCUUAAUUAUAACUUUAACUUAUUUAACUCAUAUUUGACUCAUUUAAAAUUUGAUUUUCAAUAGUGACAUCAUAAUUGAGUUAUAAACAUGUCAGUUUAGGACACUAACCAUAUAAGAUCAUACAAUGUUAAACUCAAUUUGACUAUUAAAUAACAUCUAAUUAUUAUAAGAGUUAAAUAGGUUACAAUGUAUUACUUGGUUAAUAAUUAGAUUGUGUUUGAGUUUGUAUUUUUAAUUAUAAUUUAGUUGAGUGUUUGAUCUACGUUACCAACAUGAAUUAUCACUCAUAUUUCUAUUGCAAAACCAAAGAUGGGAUAAUUCUUAGUUUUGAUGAUAAUAAAAGAAGGUUCGACUAAAGUUUCAUCUUGAGUGUGACUAGGCAAGAUGAUUUUUAAAGUAACAAUUACAAAGAUAAACCAAAACAAAAGAAAAAAAAGAAAGAAAAGGAAGACCUCAAAGAGAAGAGACUUCAAAAAUUUUUAUAAGAUCUCUUUGUAAGGUUGUUGGUGCACUAGAAUUUACAUGCAUUUUAUUCAAGCAUCAAAGAUCAUCCUUGUGCGAUUUUGUUUUAAAUUUUUUUAUAAUUAGAUGAUUUCAUGUUUUUAAUUAAAACCUUAUGCCAAAUUUUUUUCUAAACUUUUUAAAAGGGUUGCAUGAGUUGCUAGAGGUUUGAAACCUAAAACCUGAGUAUUUGAGUACUUAAUAGUGCAACCGGUCAAAAGUCCAGGGAAUUGAUUAAAUCAUUUAGGUUCAAUCAAUUGAGGGGUGUUUUUACACACGCUUUCUCUCUUUCUUGGUCAAGACUUUGCCUUUCAUGGUCAAAGUCUUGAACCCUAACGAACACUUACUAAAAGUAUUAAUUGCUAAUGAUUUUAGCAUUAAUUGCUAACGGUUAGUGAAUCAGUCAAAUCGGAACUUGACUGGUUGACCCCCUAAAUGUGCCUAACAACAAGUUUAGCCUUUCUACUUCUACAUAAAGGUUCCAAUCUUCAUUGUUGGUAAGUCUAACAUUCCCAAGUCUUUUAUGAACAGUAUUUGAGCCUUGGUGGAGUGUUUUUUAGCACACCUUGUUUCAAAACUUGCAUAUCAUUAGUUCACCAUUAAUCUUAAUUUAUCUUGUAUCAUUUGAGCUUAAAUUUGUACUAGGAAUGUGUGAGAUUAUCUUUCCUAUCAUUUUGUGUAAACCUUUGUAAGGGGAGAUUAAGUGUGGGGUAUUACUUAAAGGAAAAUUUAAGCAUGAGGUAUCACUUAGUGUUUGUCAAGUGUGGGGUAUCACUUAGGAAAUUCAAGAGUGAGGUAUUUUUUGAAAAAUUUGUAAGUGUCCAUUGGAGUCAGUUAAUCUAAUAGUAUGAUUAGAAACUUUAGAUUAGUAGAACCUCAAGUUUAGGAUUGAAGUUAUAGGAGAGUGAACAUAGAACGAGUUGCACCAAACCACAAUAAAAAUAUUGUGUUUGUAUUCUCUCUUCCCUAAUCUUUUUAAUUUGUAUGAAAUUACUUUUCAUUGUAUUUAUUGUAUAUUUGCAUAUAAUUGUCUUUUGUAUUCAUGUAGUUUAAGUUUGCAAAAAGAAACCAUCACCCUAUUUAUCCUCCCUCCCCCUCCCCUUCCCCUUCCCCCCGAGGGUGACUACCUUAGGUUAAUUUAGCAAAAAUCAUAACAUUUACAAAUAUAUUAUUUGCUUAUUAUAGUUAAGAAAAAUGCCAAGAAAAUUUAUCAAAAAUCAUAACAUUUACAAAUAUAUUAUUUGCUUAUUGUAGUUAAGAAAAAUGCCAAGAAAUUUCAUUGAUAAAAAUUUCCAUGAUAAAUUCUAAAAACCACUUUAAUUCCAAUUAUCUUUUUCCCAAUGCAAUGUCUCAAUGAUUCUAGGAUGAAAAGGAAUUUUUUCAUGUCAAUAUGACUUUGGAUCCCAAAUUUUAAGGCAAUUUCAAUGCCCUAGUGGUGGGUCUAGAAGAAAAUAAAAAAUGUGGAAAUUAAAGUGGAAUAUAGACACAAUUUUUUACUAAUUGUAAGAUGAUGUUACAAUACCUUAUGUAGUUACUAUGAAAGUGACUUUGGAUUCCAAAUUUUGAGCCAAUUUCAAUGCCACAAUGAUGGGUCUAGAAGAAAACAAAAAAUAUGAAAAUUAAAGUAGAAUAUAGACACAAUUUUUUACUUGUUAAGUAAUGUUACAAUGCCUUAUGUAAUUAUUUUGAAAGUGAGAUAUCAUUGAAUUGAGAAUUGAUAUUAAAUUUGACCAACUAUCAUAAGGAUUUGCUUUCAAAAGAGAGAUAAGUAAUAAAUAUCUCUUAUUUUUUGGAAAAAAAAAAAUUAUCAUACUAUUAAUGUGUUUAAUUUUAUUUUUUUUAAAUAGAGAUUGUUAUAUUUUUUUGUAAAAAUAAGUUUCCUUAUAAAAUAAGAAAAAGUGGUAGAAGUAUUUCUAUAAAUAUUUUAUUAAGAGAAAAAGCUAUAACAUGAAGAAAAACAUGUAUAGUUUAUAUUUAAAAGAUAGUGAUAUGGGAAAGAGUGGGAAACAUUUCUUGGAAUGGGGACAUAUGAUUCAAGUAUAGAUACAAAGAACAAGGAAAUAUAAGAUGUUUUAAAUUAAUUAAUUAUAUCUUCUUUUUUUAAUCUUUUGUAGUAUUGUAUAUAGUAAUAGAAGAUGAGUUAUCAAAUGCGAACUUUCAUGUAUAUAUGAUGCAAUUAACUUGUUCAAUAUAAGCACCUUGAUGUAAAAUCUCAUUUUUGUUUUCUAAAGUCUUUAUGACUAUUGGUUUUUCUUUUGAGUGCCAAUAAAUAAAAGAAAAAACCCUUCUUUUUUGUUUGAAGAAAAAAUCUUUAUUAAUCCAAACCCUAUCAACUUAUAUAUGACCUAUUGCAGGAUAAUGAAGUUUUUUAAAGUAAUUUUAAAGACAAAAAAGAAAAUUUGAUAUGAUAAAUGAUUAAAACCACUUUAGAUUCCAAUAGUAUUUUCUAUCAUAUAACGUCUCAGUGAAAUGUUUCAUAACAAAAUGAAUUAUUCUAUGAAUAUGACUUUGGAUUCCAAAUUUUGAACUUUCUAAUGCCUUAACUUAGUAGUGAGUCUCAUAGAAAAUGAAAGUUAUGGAAAAGUAGAAUGUGGACUCAAUUUUUGACUUAUAAAACUGAUGUUACAACACCUUCAAGUAAUUACCUUAAAAAUGAUAUGUCAUUGCAUUGAAAAUGAUAUUAAAUUUAAUGGAGAGAUAAUUUAUAAAAAAUAUCACUAAUUUUUUUAAAAAGAAUAAUGUGAUCUUACUAUCGUGUUAGGUUGGAAAAAAAUUUAUGUUGGAGUUAAUUUUUUUUUAUUUGUAUUUCUUUUUAUUUAUUUAUUUAUUUUGCAUAUUGUAAGGUCUCAAACUCGUUUAGAAAUAUGAACACUGAUGAAGAGUUAGAAAUUUAAAAACAUUAAAGGUAUGGUUAAAGUUAUUUUUAGAUAGUUGAAAUUGCAACCAAAAAAACAAGAAAAUGAAAGAAGUUCAAAUUUUAUUUGAUUAUCUUAAAAAUAUGAAAGAAAUUACAUAUAAUGAAAAUUGUUUAGAGUUUUAUAUACUUUUAAUAUUUACUCUUUACAGAAAAGAAAAAAGGCAAAUAAAUUUUUAUGAACUUAUGGAAAAUAUUAAACUUCAGCUUAAUUUUUUUGUUUUUCUUGAUUUUUCUUUCCUUUGUGAUCUUUCCCACUUUAUCCAAACUUUCCAUAGUCUAAACUUUAUACAUGUUUUCUCUUCUUUUUAAUUAAAAAUUUUUAAAUUUUCCAAUUAAAAUUCCAAGAUAGGCUAAUAAAAACUUAAAACUAAUAUUACAUUUUAAACGAACUGGAUCGAUUUGGUAGCCAAUUCGAACCCAAUCAAAUUUAGCCUCUAAUGUGAGGUAUUUGACCCAAACUUAGCUCAAACUCAUUUUUACCGACUAAAGUUAGGCUUAAAUUGACUCAUAGUACUUUUAGUUGAGUUGAUUAGGUUGUAUGAUCAUAACUAGGUUUGGUAAGGUUGAGUUAGUUUGAACCUAUUCAUAAAUGUUUUUUUUUUCUCUUUUAUAUUUAUUUUAUAUCAUAAUUUUAAAAAUUAAAUUGGAUAACUUUUAAACAUGAUAACAAAAAUAAAUAAAUUUAUGUAUAUGUCUAACAAAAAUGAAAUAAUAUAAUUAAAAUUCAACAUUUUUUAAAAAAAACUAAAAAAAAAAACACAAAAUAGGUAUUAUUAUAUAAAAUAAUAUAAAUUAUAAAUAUAUAAAAUUAGGUUUGGGCUAGCUUAGGUUAUCCAAACCUUAGCCUAAGUAGUUUCUCGAGUGUUUGCCACUUGUAAAAGUUUUUGGUAAAUUUUUAUUAAAAUUAAUUUUAAAAAAAGAAAUAAAAUGUUUUUAAAAAAUAUUAAAUGCAUAAUUAAAAUUAUGCUAAUGAAACAAAGGGAAGCAAACAAGAUAAAAAAUUUUCUCUCAAAAGGUGUAGUGUAAUGACUUCAAAUUUUAAGUUUUGAUGGUCAAUCUGCCUUCAAUUAUAAGGAUAAGAAGCUUGUAGAGAACAAAAAAUAUAUAGCAAGUGGAUAUAUAUAGAUAUAACAAAAAAUAAUAUAUAUAUAUAUAUAUAUGCAUGAUUGGAGCCAAAAUAUGUGCUCUAAUGGCACAUAUUCGAUAUGAUUUGUGCACCAAAGGACAUUCAAAUCACCCAACUUGACCUAAAUCAAUGCUAAGGCCCUAGCCAUGGGUUUAAUCUAUACUUUGGAGAUUUAUCUCAGGUUCAAGGGAAGAAAAUUGUGCAAAUUGAAUGACUUUAGAUUUUGAAAGAUCAAGAAAGGGCUAAAUGAGGAAAUAAGUGAGUCAAGACUCAUUGAACGUAAAGAAAGGCAAAACAAGGAUAUCAUGAGGUUGGAGGAUUAUAAAUGACCAUUAUGGAGUAAGAAAGAAGGCAAGAAAGCAUGGGGAAUGAGGCAUGAAGCAAGAUUUAGCUGCAUGGAAAUUUAGAACUCAAAAAUCUGAUGGCAUUAUAUACUCUGACUUUGAGGACAAAUUUGGAGCACUUUCUGGAGUCCAUUAUAUACAUACUAUAUAUCGUUUCGAAUCUCGGGAAGUCAGGAGUCCAACACUUCAAACGGUUUGCAAAUCGGAGCUGAAAUGAAGAAGUUAUGUCCAUUUGAAGACAACUGCACCAAGCUGGAGGGUCAUUUCGAAAUGAUUUCGAAAUUCAACUUAUGAUUUCGAAAUUCAACUUAUGAAUUCGAAAUCCACUUCGAAAUGACACCAAUUUCGAAUUCACCCACUGCCACUUUGAUGUUCCGCCUCCUCUACCCCGAGAAUUGCAUCUAUUCAACUUAUGAAUUCGAAAUCCACUUCGAAAUGACACCAAUUUCGAAUUCACCCACUGCCACUUUGAUGUUCCGCCUCCUCUACCUCGGGAAUUGCAUCUAAAGCACUCCAUCCGCUCUAGGUGGACCCCACACGACUAGAAAUCACCAUUUUAUUAUUUUUAAUCAUUUUUAGGAAAUUAUUUUUGUAAUAAGUGGCCAAUGAGAGUGUGCCACAUGUUAGGUAAGUGAGGAUAUUAUAUAAACUCUCUCAAUUCUAGGUUUUAGGGAUCUUGGAUCUUGGAUCUUGGAUUUUUUUUCUAGAGAGUUUGACAUUGAAGGUGGAAGAAGACGAGAACUUUGGUUUGUUUUCUUUUUCUUCUUUAUUGAAUAUAUUGUUUUUAGUUUCUUUUGAUUCAAAUUAUGAAUUUUUACCCUAUUAUGGAUUGUGAAUGUGACAUCACCCCCAUGAGAGGCUAAGAGCCAACUUGGGGCUUGAAGCAUGAAAACCUAAGGGUUAGGAAACCUAUAGGGACAAUGGGUAAAUUACUAUAACAAUGAGAUUAAUUAUUGGUUGGGUGACAAUUUAUUAUAUUUUUUUAUCCUAUCCUUGUGAGUUCAUUUAGGGAAUGAUACGAUAGGUUAUUACUUGAUACUAGUGAUUCUUGGUAAUUCUUGAUCAUUAGUUAUCCUCGUUUUCCCUACCGUUAUUUGCCCCUAAACAAAGCUAUAAGGAGUAGGAAGGGUUAAAAAGCCAAAUCUUAAAGUGAUAAUCAAUCUCAUUCAUUUGAUGGUUUUAGGAAUCUGUUUGAAAAAGGAAAAAUUAGGUUUCGGAUGCAAUUUUGAGUUAUAAAACCCAACUUGAUCGCGAGUGGCCAAGGAUCCCAAAACCCUAAGAUCAUAUUACUUAAAAUACCCUUGUUUUCUAUAAUUUCUAUACCCUAGGUUGGAUUGUGGAAAACCCCAAACUUGAAUCAAUUGAAUUUAAAAUCAAUAUUCAUUUUCUCUUAUUAAUCCAAUUUCUUUUACUUAGUUUCAUAUUAUUCACAUAUUGUUUUUCACUUAAGGAUUUAAACAAAAACAAUUCAUUUAUCUAGUAUUGACAAUUUUCAUAAGCCAGUCCUUGAGAACGAUACCCGGAAUACUACAAAAGCCGUAGUGACUCUUUCUCUAAUUUUUCUUGACCAGAGUUACUACGUAAAAAGGCUAAGUAUUUUGGUACAAUAGAGAAAUUUCGGUCAAUGCAUCAUACUUUUGUCACAAGCAAACCCACUAGUAAACCUUUAUCAUCUUAUUAUAUAACAAGUGGGUAUACCUAGAUAAAAUAAAAAUAGGUCUUUGUUUAUUAAAUUCAAAAGUUUAUGAUCAUCACUUAACAUUUAACAAAGUGGUACAAAUGAUGGUAAAAAUAGUAGUAUAAUCAAUAUUUUCCUAUAUUGAAUAUUAUAAUUGAUGUUUUUUUUUUUUUUUUUUAUCAAGAAGCAAUUUUAGAGAUAGGUUUUUAUCAAGUAACAAUCUUCAAUGUUUUUUGUCUAUAUUAAUUUACCAUCAUGAUCUCUAAUAUUGUACCAUUGAAUGCAAUUGCAAAACAUCUAUGUAAUUGUUAGUAAAUUUUUUUUCAUGCUCAUUAUACAAUAUUUGUUUUAAUUUUCAAGUUGCAAUUAUAGUCUAAAGGUUGAGGUUCCUAGAUAGUUAUAGCUUUGAUGAGAAGUCUAAUCAUGUUGUUGUUGUUCAUGUCACUUUAAUUAGACCAAGUUCAAUGAUACUUUAGACCAUAUUUAAGGAUCCUUUUCAAAUAUCUAUCUAACUUUUGAUAUGCAAUUUGAAAAGAGGAUGGAGAGAGGAUGGUUGUUCUCCAUAAUCCAUUAAUAAAUAAAUAAAAAUAAUUAUAUUUAGAAGGAAAAUAAAAAAUUAUUAAGAUCAUUAGCAAGUAAUUUUGGUAAAACUUGAUAUUUAACUAGGUAAGAUGACUUUAAGUUAAAUUAAUUGUAUUUAAGUCAUUAAGUCAUAGUUAUUAAUACGAUUUCUCAAAAUCAUUUUUAAAUUUAUUAUUUUAUCAAUCAUACUUGAUAUACUUAAUAACUUAAAAUUAAGUCAUUAAAUUGAUUUAUCAUCACCCUCUAAAGUCUUUUCAAUUUUGUACAUUUAUUUGAUACAUAUUUAAUCAUAAACAAUCAAAAAAGUGCUAUCUCAAAAUUUUUAAUUCAAACUCCUUCAAAGUUAUUCAUGACUAAAAUUCAUUAAUUAAUUUACAUUACAAGCUUUGAAAGAAACUUGUUUUAAAACAUAAAAUUGAUAGAGAUAGUACAUAUUUUAAACUUUUAAUUAAAAUAAAAAGCUCAUAACAAAAUAAUUUGAUGGAUGUUUUAGUAUUUGAAAAGAUUAUGAGGUCGGUGUGGACUUACUCUUGGCAUGCGUACUUCCACAAAUCAGAAAGAACAACCUCUCCAACAACUUCCAUGGUGAUCAGUUUGCAGAGAGAGAAUUGUAGCUAUAAACCAAAGCACUGUGAAAAUAAAUUGGGGAAGCAGAAAGAAGCGUGGGUUGUUGGGUGAUGGCUUAAAUAUUAGAAAGCUUAGAGAAAGAGAAAGUUGGAAGUUGGACUAGUCUUUUGUUUCCAUACCCUUAAAUCCAAUAUGCUGAGUAGGCCAUGUGCUCCACACCCCGUCUAUUGUGGUGUGACUGGUGUCACAUUCAAAUAAACAAAUCGAAAUCUCUACUACAACAUCAUAUUUUAAUGGAUUUAGUAUAACCGAGUGAAGGCAAUUUAUUAAAUUAUUGGAAAUUGUUAAAAUUAUAUAUUUAAUGGAACACUGUUUUUGGAAUUUGAGACUCCCAGACUGCCCAUGUGCAUCCCAUUGUUCGUGUUCUUAGUUUUUUCAUUUUAGUACUUCUAAAAAUUCUCAAAAUUUCAUCAGGCACAUUUUUCAAGCUUACGAUUCUCAUGGCAAUGAUGUAAGUAAAUUAAAGAUUUUACUAAUUUGAACGCAAUUUGAUAAAAAUAAAUAAAUAAAAAUGAAGAUUAUGUAAAAAGGCUUCAAAGAGUUUUAAAGAUUUUUUAAAAUUUUUUUUUAUUUAUUUCUUAAAGAUAAAAGUACUUUCUUCAUUGUAAGACUUAAUAUUUACUUUUUCCAAUUAAAAAAAUAAAUUUAUUUUGAAAAGACAAAUCUAGUUUUUAUAUUGAAUUCAUCUUUUCAAAAAAAAAGUUUUCCAGUGAACUCACUUUAGUAUAAAUUAGGGAAAAGUAUAGUUCUAUUCGGUUCAUAAAAUAAAAAACCCGAUAUUAUGAUAAUUUAAGAAAUAUUUUUGGAAAAAUGCUAUUUCAAUUUUUUUGAACGGUUUUACUUGAAUGGAAAGUCUGAUGCUACAUAUGAUAUUAUGUCAUUGAAAUGAAACUUAUACCAUGUAAUAACUUUUAAUUAACAAUAAUUUAAAUUAAAACCGUAAAUAUUUAAUUUUUUGUUGAUUUAAAUAAAUGUUAUUUAUUUAUUUAUUUAUUUGUAACACAAGUUUUGAAGUUUUAAGACUGACCAUGCAUGUGCAUACCACUGUUUAUUUAUUCACUUUAAAACUUUAGGUGCAUUUUUUAAGCUUAAAUUCACAUGCUAUCACAUUAUCCUAAAUAUGCUUGUACCAUCUAUAAUGUAUCUGGAAUAAGGUGCAUGGGGAUCACGUAGAGCCGGCUGGACUGGACAUAAGUUUUGGAGUUUUAAACUUCCAAUGGCCAAUUAUGUUUUAAUUUUCAUAAUAUAUUAUUAUAUUUUCUUUAUUUGAAUGGAAAAUGGUUUGCUUUGAAAAAACAAGUUUAAUAUAAAAAAAAAUUAAAUUUAUAUUUUACAUUAAAUUAUAAAUUGCAUGUAAAAUGAAUUUAUAAAUUUUCAUAAUAUAUUAUUACGUUUUCUUUAUUUUAAUUUAACGUAAAGUAUAAAUUAGUAUUUUCAAAAGAAAAGUUGAAUGUAAAAGUAAUAAACUAAAACACAAAGACAGAUAUUAAAUUUAUAUUUUCAAAGACAAAUUACUUCUAAAAGCACGGACUUGAUUUUUUUGUGCAAUGUAAAAAGAAUUUUUUAUUUUUUUAUAUAUCAAACUUAUGUUUUAAAAAGACGAGUUAGUAUUUAUUUUGAAUUUGUUUUUCGUAAAAGGUUUCCCAUGUGUACUUCAUAUGAUUUUAUUUUGUUGAUAGGAGAUUUAUAUCAUGUAACAACUUUUAAUCGGUCACAAUUUAAAUUAAUUAUAAAUACCCAAUUCCUUUAUUAUUUCAUAAUUAACUAUAGGUUAUAAUGUGAAAUAAUAUCACACUACAUAAAUAUUAUUAUUAUUUUGCAAAAUUGGAUUAGCACAACUAUUCCCAAUUAGAGUGUCACAUGGCUUCUUUUUUUUAUAUUUAAUUAUUUUUUUAAAUAAUUGCUUUAAUUAGUCAUGGAUUAAAUUAGAGGUGUAAUUUGGACAUAUUCAACUCAACUCAACUCAAUCCAAUUUUGAACUAAGUUAGGUAGUCUUGUUUUUUCAUAAAACAUUAUAAGCUAUUUUUCAAUCCUACAAGAUUUUUUGAGAGUAUUUUCUAAAUUUUAUCAAAUACAAUUUUUUUGUAAAAACAUUUAUUAAGUUAAAAACGCUUCUUAAAAUCACUAUUAAAUGACCAUUAUAUGAUAUUGAGAGAUGAAUAAUUUAUUAUAUUAAAAAUUACUUUCCCAAUUGAACAAAAGGUGUGGCGUUUCUUUAAAAACACUUUUGUAAGUAAUAUUUUUUUUAGCACAUUCUCAAUUAUUUUUAGACCCAAAAUAUGUUUUUUUUAAAAUGUUUUAUAAAAAAAAAAUCUUAAAAUACCUUUAUUUAAAAAUUUAAAAAAAAUCUAUUUUCAAAAAACUACAUUUUAUUUUGUUUGAUAUGGUGAGGAGGAGCAUUAAUCUAUGGCUCCCGAGACUGGGCAUGUGAUGCUGUGCAUGCCAUUGUUGGCUUAUGUAUUUCCGGAAUAUUUAGUUUUGAAAAGUACUGAGAAAAAAAAUAAUAAGAAAAUGGUUGGUAUUCAGAUGGCAAAAAUACACACAAAUACACUGAACAAGUUAAUAACAGGCGGGCUGAGAUUCUAUUGCCAAGAGACAGGUUUGUCAUCCAUGUCAAGAAGUCUCACACUUCAAAAUUGUGGGACUUUGGCAUCAACACAUUUCUGGAAUUGUUUCAGGCUUCUAAAUGGAACGAUUCAGGCACCUUCCCAGAAUUCUUUUAAGAUUUCUAAAUGCCAUCCUGGCGUCUUAGUUGGAGGCCUGCUUUCUUCAAUGCUAAAAGAGGGGGUGAUAAGUUGCUAAAAAUUGCAGUCCCUGUGUACUAGAUGGGCAUUCACCCAUGGACAAGAUCUGCAGAACUUAUAAUAGAAACAUGUAUGUUGCUCUAUCAUCUUCGCCUCCUAUUUAUUCUAGUGAAGAAACAGGUUCCGAAAAAAUAAAAAGUGUUCUUCUUACUCUUUUUUAGUAGAAAAUUAGUUCAUUUCCAGUCCAUUGAAGAAAAAAUAAAUUCUGAACCCAGAAGCCAGGUACUUAAAUUUCUGUUUAACUAGGGGAACAUUGGAAACUUACUUACAGCUUUAGCAUAAGAACAUACAAGAUUCUGAUCAACAUACACUGCACGGUAUUAUGUUGGUCCAGUUCCUCUACUCUGCAUUGCAACAAAGUGUAAGGGGUUUCGUAUUUUCUUCAUCUUCAAAUAAAACAAUCCUUCUCAAUAAAAGAAUAAGAGAAAUUGAGAGCUAAGACCAUUUUCUUUCAUUGUACCUCUGUUUCCUCUGCUCCUUGCUCUCUUGGUCAGGCCAAAUGGUGUGUGGUUUGUCCAUUUCUUCUUGACCCCACAUCAAAAAGCAGCAUCCUGGGCUCUCCCAUCUCUCUAUCCCCUUAUCAAGACAGAAUUUGAUGCACUGCUGUCUUGGAUUCUUCCUAGUCAAAAGGAAGCUUGAAAUAUCUCCACUGCUUCUCUGUUUCUUUGAGUCAAAGGACAGUCUGGUUUUAUCUGUUUCUUCUCAUCAUUUUCAAAAUGCAUCACUGUGAGAUCCACUAACCCAAUACCUGUUUUUCAAAUAAUCAAAAUCAUAAACACCAAGAUGUUUACACAUUCAGGUAACACGUCUCUUGACAAUGCAGGUGUGUUUACGUACACACCUGCAUUCAAAGGAAGUACCAUUGUUCUUGUGCAUUUGACAACAUUCAUUUAGUUAACUCCAAAUUUUAGCAAUCCAGAAUCUGUAACUUCUGCAAAAGUUACCUAGUUGUUCAGGGAACAUGCCCCAUCCAAACUAUCUGUAUUUGGGCUUCAUGGUUGUUUUUGGCUUUGCUUUUCUUUUUCUUGUGGUUGUUACUCCUCUUAAAAGGACUAUUGAUUCAUGAUUCAAUGGAUUAUUUGUUGUUUCUGAUAAAAAUAAAUAAAUAAACUAAAAAAAAAAAGAAAAAGAAAAAAAAAAAGAUUUGAUGAAAAUUUUUGGAGUAGCCAUUCAUCAAAUUGCCAUGAGCUUCUCUCCUUAUUUACAUAGUAUAUCACUAUUGCAGAGUCUCCUACUAGAAGGUUAGGUAAACCCUCAUCUUUAGCAAGCUUUAGUCCUACCAUCAACACUAAAAUCUCUGCUUCAAUGGCUAGACCCACUCUAGCAUUCUUAGGGAAUGCUUUCACUUAUGCCCUUUUAUGAUUUAUAAGUGUUCCUCCAAUUCCCAAUUGUCCUGGGUUGUCCAAGGAGCAUACAUCAAAAUUUAACCUGUUGCAUGGGUUGUUCUCUAUGCAUGGUAAAGAGACCCUUAAAUUUUGAACCUAUCCAAUUGCAUCGAUUUCUUCCUUCAAACUCAAGUUGAGCCUUUAAAUUUUUUGCUUGCUGUCAGAUUGACAUGAUUCUUCCACAACAUGAUGGACCUGGCAGACACUCAGCUUCUGCCUACAGUUGCAGUCUACCUUAUGUGUAACUUAAAGGUUGAGCACCAAGUGCUGAUGUUAUGAGGGAUCAAGGGUGGCUUGUGGAGCAGUCCCCUUUUCAGAGUAUUGCCAACAUUCUAUCAAUUGGUUCGGGUGUUCUGUAACUUUGGGACACCUAUAGUAUCUAGAUAAUCCUGCAAUUCUGGAGAAAACCCUUCUGAUUUGCUCUGUACCCACUAGUCGAGAAUAGUAAAAAGAUUCAGCUGUAAUAAUUUUAUUACUUAGAUUGAAUCUUAAUCAUUAGGUUAGAAGAUCAGGAAAAAGUGUCGUGGUUUUGAAUGUUUGUCUCUUUAAUAAUUGCAGUGUGUAUUGAUCCACAAAGUUUGCAGGAUGACAGCAUGACAGUGGGUAUAUAUGUCAUAUGAAAAAAUUUAAAUAGAGCGACUUGUUUGACUUUACAUAGUUUGCUUGCUUCGGUUGUCUACCUUUAGGUAAUAUCACACCAGUAUCUUUUGAUGGUUGGAAUAUCCUUGCACAUAUGUUACCAUUUUCUUUUCUUCAACAUUGUUUUCUUUGUUUCUUCCUUUCUUGGUCAAGCUAAAUAAUCUAGUGAUUCUUCUUUUGUUCUUCAUCCCAUCAAGAGGCAGCAUCUCAUGCAUCUUUACCUUGGGUUCCUCCCUUUCCUUCCAGCCUAUGGAAAAAUAAUAUCAUUGCUUAGUUUGGACUUCUCUGUUUUAUUUUUUUUUAUCAUUUUGAAAGGCAUCAUGGGAAGAUGUACAAAAAAUGUGUUGUGCUGAAUUAUCCCCUUCUCUACUAACCAAAACAUGUUCUUUCACAAUCAAAUAUCAACGUGUUUAAGCAGCCAAUAAGGCAUAUCUUGACAAUGAGGUGAGAGGUAGAAACAAGAAACAUACUCGUAUUCAAGGGAAGUGUUGUUUCUUCAUUUGCAUUAGACAACAUUCAUUUAGUCUCAACUUGAAAGUGGAUUGCUAGAAUCUAAGCUCUUGCAAAGACACAAAAGUACAUUUAGAAAUCCAAAAGAAGCCUAGAGACCAGUUGCUGUCGGGCUUUGUGGAGCCUAGUUUUGUUUGAUCCGGUUUGAUGACCCGACCCGAAUAAUAUUACAUAGUUUUUUAAUGGGAGAUUUAUUGAGGCUUGUCCAUGGAGUGAAGGCUUGGGCUUUUUUAGGCCCGUUUAGCCCAUUGUGGAACCGCCCUUUGUAAUUAGGUUUUUUUUUUGUGUGGUGUGGUUGUUGUGUUAUAAAGAGAACAUAUUGUAGCCGAAAAAAGUACUUUGUAUUCUUCCCUGAUAAUAGUGAUAUCCCUGCAACUCCGUUGAUAUAGGCAAAUUGCCGAACCACAUAAAUACUGUCUUGUACGUGUGAUUGUUUUUUUUUUUUUUUUUUGCGUGUGUUUUCUCUAUUUUUUGUUUCUCACAGGUUGGGAAUUCAGCUUAAUUCCCUUCAACCGGUAUCAAAGCCUAGGGUUAGGUUUGAGUGGGAGCAAUGACAAAGGAAGCAGGAAAGGCGUUUGGAAUAGAAAAGUUUGAUGGCACAAACUUUGUGUAUUGGAGGAUGCAGAUUGAAGAUUAUCUUUAUGGGAGGAAAUUGCAUCUGCCUCUUUUGGGGACAAAACCUGAGAGUAUGAAGGCUGAGGAAUGGGCGCUUCUUAACAUACAGGUUCUAGGAGUUAUUAAGUUAACUCUGUCUAGGUUUGUUGCACACAAUGUUGUAAAGGAAAAGACCACAAUAGAUCUGAUGAAGGCUUUGUCCGGUAUGUAUGAAAAGCUAUCCGCAAACAAUAAGGUGCAUCUGAUAAAGAAAUUGUUCAAUUUGAAGGUGGCAGAGAAUGCAUCAGUAGCACAACAUCUGAAUGAAUUUAAUACAAUCACAAAUCAAUUUUCGUAUGUAGAAAUUGAUUUUGAUGAUGAGAUUCGUACUCUGAUCGUCUUGGCUUCUUUGCCAAUCAGUUGGGAGACAAUGAGGAUGGCAGUAAGCAAUUCUACGGGAAAGGAAAAGCUCAAGUACAAUGAUAUACGAGAUUUAAUUCUGGCUGAGGAGAUUCGCCGAAGAGAUGCAAGCGAAACCUUAAGAUCUGGUUCUGCCCUAAACCUUGAGACAAGAGGCAGAGGUGAUAACAGAAAUUCAAACCGGGGUAGAUCAAAAUUCAGAAAUUCUAAUCGAAAUAGAAGCAAAUCUAGAUUAGGCCAACAAGUACAAUGUUGGAACUGUGGGAAAAUAGGUCACUUUAGAAGGCAAUGCAAAAGUCCUAAGAAGAAGAAUGAAGAUGAUUCUAUUAAUGCUGUAACAGAAGAGGUACAGGAUGCAUUACUUCUUUUAGUAGACAGUCCACUUGAUGAUUGGGUUUUGGAUUCAAAAGCUUCAUAUCAUACCACUCCACAUUGAGAAAUCAUAUAGAAUUAUGCUGCAGGUGAUUUUGGUAAGGUGUAUUUGGCUUAUGGUUCAACCUUGGAUGUUGUGGGUCUGGGAGACAUCCGGAUAUUGUUGCCCAAUGGGUUUGUUUGGUUACUGGAGAAGGUUCGACAUAUUCCUAACCUAAGAAGGAAUUUGAUUUUUGUUGAGCAACUUGAUGAUGAAGGACAUGCAAUACUAUUUGUUGGUGGUACUUGGAAGGUUACAAAGGGAGCUAUGGUAUUGGCUCAUGGAAAGAAGACCGGUACUCUGUAUAUGAUCUCAUGUCCAAGAGACACAAUUGCAGUUGCUAAUGCAAGUACUGAUACAAGCCUAUGGCACAGCAGACUUGGUCACAUGAGUGAGAAAGGGAUGAAGAUGUUGUUGUCAAAAGGAAAACUACCAGAAUUGAAAUCCAUUGAUUUUGACAUGUGUGAAAGUUGCAUCUUAGGAAAGCAAAAAAUUGUGAGCUUCUUGAAAACUGACAGGACACCGAAGGCUAAAAAAUUGUAACUAGUACACACUGAUUUGUGGGGGCCUUCUCCGGUUGCAUCCCUUGGAGGUUCAAGGUACUAUAUCACUUUUAUUGAUGACUCAGCAAAAAGGUAUGGGUUUAUUUUCUGAAAAAUAAAUCUGAUGUAUUUGAAACUUUUAAGAAGUGGAAGGUCAUGGUUAAGAUAGAAACAGGUUUGAAAGUAAAAUGUUUGAGGUCAGAUAAUGGAGGAGAGUACAUAGAUAGAGGGUUCAGUGAGUAUUGUGCUGCACAGGGAAUUAGGAUGGAGAAGACCAUUCCUGGGACACCACAGCAGAAUGGUAUGGCUGAGCGCAUGAACAGAACUCUCAAUGAACGUGCUAGAAGUAUGAGGUUGCAUGUUGGACUACCAAAAACUUUUUGGGCUAAUGCUGUUAGUACUGCAGCUUACCUGAUAAACUGAGGACCAUCAGUUCCCAUGGAGUUCAGACUUCCUGAGGAGGUUUGGAGCGGUAAAGAGGUAAAGUUUUCACAUUUAAAAGUUUUUGGUUAUGUUUCUUAUGUUCAUAUUGAUUCUGAUGCUCGUAGUAAACUUGAUGCAAGGCUAUAGGUUUUGGGAUGAACAAAACAGGAAAAUCAUCAGAAGUAGAAAUGUAAUAUUUAAUGAACAGGUUAUGUAUAAGGACAGGUCAACUGUAGUGUCAGAUGUUAUAGAGAUAGAUCAAAAGAAAUCUGAGUUUGUCAACUUAGAUGAAUUGACUGAAAGUACUGUCCAAAAAGGGGGUGAAGAAGAUAAGGAGAAUGUAAAUUCACAAGUAGAUCUGAGUACACCUGUAGCUGAAGUUCACAGAUCUUCCAGGAACAUUACACCUCCACAGCGUUAUUCACCUAUUUUAAAUUAUCUCCUGUUGACUGAUGGUGGUGAGCCAGAGUGUUAUGAUGAAACCUUGCAAGAUGAGAAUUCAAGCAAGUGGGAUUUAGCCAUGAAGAAUGAGAUGGAUUUCUUGUUGGGGAAUCAGACAUGGGAACUGACUGAAUUGCCAGUAGGAAAGAAGGCUUUGCACAACAAGUGGGUAUACAAAAUAAAGAAUGAGCAUGAUGGUAGCAAAUGUUACAAGGCCAGAUUAGUUGUUAAAGGGUUCCAGCAGAAGGAGGGCAUUGACUACACAGAGAUAUUUUCUCCAGUUGUGAAGAUGUCAACAAUCAGACUUGUACUGGGAAUGGUGGCUGCAAAAAACUUACAUCUUGAGCAGUUAGAUAUGAAGACAACAUUCCUUCAUGGUGACUUGGAGGAAGACCUUUACAUGAUUAAGCUAGAAGAGUUCAUUGUUCAAGGACAAGAGAAUCUAGUCUACAAACUAAAAAAGAGCUUGUAUGGCCUUAAACAAGCUCCUAGACAGUGGUACAAGAAGUUUGUCAGUUUUAUGCAUAGAAUUGGGUUCAAGAGAUGUGAAGCUGAUCACUAUUGUUAUGUUAAGUCUUUUGACAAUUCUUACAUCAUAUUACUGUUGUAUAUGGAUGAUAUGCUUAUUGCAGGGUCUGACAUUGAGAAGAUUAAUAAUCUGAAGAAGCAAUUGUCCAAAUAGUUUGCAAUGAAGGAUUUGGGAGUUGUAAAGCAAAUCCUUGGUAUGAGAAUCAUUAGAGACAAGGCUAAUGGUACAUUGGAGCUUUCACAGUCAGAGUAUGUGAAGAAAGUUCUCAGCAGGUUCAACAUGAAUGAAGCUAAACCAGUGAGCACACCCUUGGGUAGUCAUUUCAAACUAAGCAAAGAACAGUCACGGAAGACAGAAGAAGAAAGUGACCAUAUGAGCAAGGUGCCCUAUGCCUCAGCUAUUGGUAGCUUGAUGUAUGCUAUGGUGUGUACAAGGCCAGACAUUGCACAUGCAGUGGGAGUUGUGAGCAUAUUCAUGAGUAGGCCUGGAAAGCAGCAUUAGAAGGCAGUCAAGUGGAUUAUAAGAUAUCUGAAGGGUUCAUUAGAUAUAUGUUUUGCUUCACAGGUGCAAGUUUGAAACUGCAGGGUUAUGUGGAUGCUGAUUUUGCUGGUGAUAUCGAUAGUAGAAAGAGCACUACUGGGUUUGUUUUUACUCUAGGUGGUUCAACUAUAUCAUGGGUUUUAAAUCUAUAGAAGAUUGUUACUUUGUCUACUAUAGAAGCGGAGUAUGUUGCAACAAUUGAAGCUGGAAAUGAGAUGAUUUGGCUACAUAGUUUCUUAGAUGAAUUGGGUAAGAAGCAGGAGAUGGGCAUUCUACACAGUGACAGUCAUAGUGCAAUUUUUCUUGCCAAAAAUUCGGCUUUUCAUUCAAAGUUAAAGCAUAUACAAACAAAAUACCACUUUAUCUGUUACCUUGUUGAAGAUAAACUAGUAAUACGUAAGAAGAUUUUUGGAUCUAAGAACCCAACAAACAUGUUGACUAAGGGUGUCACUAUUGAGAAGUUGAAGCUGUGUGCAGCUUCAAUCAGUCUUCUAGCUUGAGGACGGGAGGAUGAAUUGCAGGGAUGAGGGAUUGUUUCUUGGAGGAUAGCGAUUUGAUGUUGGUGAUUGAACUAGUCUCCAAGUGGGAGAUUUGUCAAGUUUUGUGGAGCCUAGUUUUGUUUGAUCCGAUUUGACGACCCAACUCGAAUAAUAUUGCGUGGUUUUUUAAUGUGAGAUUUACUGAGGCUUGUCCAUGGAGCGAAGGCUUGGGCUUUUUGGGGCCCAUUUAGCCCAUUGUGGAACCGCCCUUUGUAAUUAGGGUUUUUUUUUUGUGGUGUGGUUGUCGUGUUAUAGAGAGAAAAUAUUGUAGCCAUCAGAAGUACUCUGUAUUAUUCCCUGAUAAUAGUGAUAUCCCUGCAACUCCGUGGAUGUAGGCAAAUUGUCGAACCACGUAAAUACUGUCUUGUGCAUGUGAUUGUUUUUCUUUUUUUUUUAUGUUUUCUCUAUUUUUUGUUUCUCACAGGUUGGGAAUUCGGCUUAAUUCCCUUUAGUUGCUACUUGUGAAUCACUGUAAUCAGAAACAAUUCCAGAUAAUCCUGCAAUUCUAAACCUUUGAUUUGCUUUGUUCCAUUUUGCCAAGAACGGUUCUAAAACAUUUUUCUUUAUUGAGUUGUUAUGAUUUUAUUAUUUGGAUUUAAUUGUAUUCAUUAGGUUUGUAAAUCACAAAAAUGGUGUCGUGCUUAUGAAUAUCUUCCUCUUUGAUCAUGUAAAAUUGGGAAGCAGUUAUGGAUUACUAUUAUGAUAGCACAAUGUAUUGAUCCACAGUUUGUGGCAUGACAGUUUAAGGAAAUUACAGAAGUGUAGCAUUGAUGGGUAUGUCAUGUGAACAUUUUUCAAUGAAGCUACUUGUCUAAAUUUACAUGGGUGAAUUGUCACACUAAUAUCCUUUGAUGAACCUUGGGUUCUUUUUUCUGUUUCUUCCUCUCUUGGUCAAGCCAAACAAUUUGUCUUCAUGAGGACUUCAUGUUACCAAUAAGCAGCAUCUUGUGUUCUCCUUCUUUUCAUCCCCCUGUCAAGACACAGCAAUUUGAUGCAUCUUUGCAUUGGGUUGCUUCCUUUCCGCUCCCUCUCCUUCCUCCUUGAGGCAAAACCAUAUCAUUGUUUAGUUUUGACUAUGUUCUUUUUAUCAUUUAUGAGAAAUAAAAUAAAAUCAUGACAUAAAGAAAUUAUAUUUAAGUGUUAAUAAAUGAGAAUCGGAUACAUAUAAAUAAAAUUUAGAUUAAUUAUAAAUGAAACUAUUUUUAUUAUGUGGUUGUUUUUAAUGGACCACCAAUUUUUAUUUAUUUUAUUAUAUAUAUAUAUUCCAUAGAAAAAUUACUUUCUAAUACCAUAGAAUCACCCUAAUUUCAAAUUGGGAUUUACUAUCUUAAAUUUUAAAUUUUUUAAAAAUAAUUUUUAAGGACAUGAACUAAAUUUAUAUUUUUUGUUAAGAAUUUCUAUUCUUUAUAUGAAAGUUUUUAUCAAUUUUUGUUUUUAAAAACAAAAAAUAAGUACUUAGAGUGCGUUUGACAAUGAUUUUAAGAAGUAUUUCUAAUAUUUUAAAUACUUAAAAAAUAAAAAAAUUUAUACAUUGAAACAAUUGCAAAAUGCACUUUUAGUAUGUAAUGAUAUUAAUUUCUUCGAAGAGAGAGAUUUACAUUUAAGAUAAAAAUAAAUAAAUAAAACAAUACAAGGAUAAAAAAUCAUUUUUAAAAAAAACUUUUAACUUCUUGUACUUUAUCAUUACACACUUUUUUCAUUAGAUGCUUUAAAUAAUUUUUAUGAAAUAAAAUUAUAAUUAUAUUGAUGGAGGGCUAAUUAACUUUGCUUUGGGUGAGAAAGAUAGAGAUAAGAUUGAAGUGGGUCCACAUCUAAAACAAAAAUGAAAUAAAAAGUAAAGAUGAAGAUAAGGUUGAGGUGGGUUCACAACUAAAAAAAGAAUGAAAUAAAAAGUAUGAGAUGAAUUGACCAAAGCUUAUGCCUUCUUCCAAAUAGUAAAAGCAAAGCCCAAUAGUAUAAAGUGAUGACACUAGUCCUAUUCAAGGCCCCACUUGCAUAAUUGCUACAUCUUUUGAUUUGAUUUUUGUUCAAUUUCACUAAAAUGAAAUCAUUUAUUUGAGCCCAAAAAUUCAAAUCCAAAUCCAAUCCACUUAUUUAUAUACAUUAUUGGCAUGGAAUGAGAAAAGUUAUAAAGUGAGAAAAUUUGAUCAUAUGAUAAAUAGUAAUUUUUCAAAGUUGGAACCAAUCCAAUGCCCAAUGGGCAUAAAAGACAAAGGAAAGAUGUGGAAAUUAUAGUGGAAUCUUGAAACAAAUUUUUGAGGUUUGAGGUGAUGUGACAAUCGUUUCAAGAAAUUGCCUAAGAAUGUGAGAUGUUAUUGCAUUGAAAAUUGAUAUUAAAUCUAAUUGGGUAACUAUAAGAAUUGCUUUACAUAAAGACAAGUAAUAAAUAUAUCCUGUUUUUUUCAAAAAGUUUAUGACCCUAAGUGAAUAAAAUGGUGAAUAAAACUUUUAGAGUAGGAUGAAUGCAUUUCACGUGAGUCAUGUCCUAGAUAUAUAUUUAGAAUUUUCUAGCAGGAUGUCAAGGAAAACUCUAUGAUGAGUGUUUUGUUUCUAGUUAAGGUAGGUCCAAUUUGGUGCAAUUCGCCAACAUAAUUUAAACCCAACAUAUGUUUUAGGGAUUUGAAUCGAGUAAAAUCAUAUUUAAAUUAAAUUAAUCAUAUGAAUCUACAUAACCCGUUUAAUAAAUAGAUUAUUUUUAGGUCAAUCUGGAUAACUCACAUUUGACUCAAAUUAACUUAUUUAAUAAUGGUAUUGAUUAACCUAAUAAUAACUUUAACUUAUUGAACUCAUAUUUGACUCAUGUAAAAUUCGUUUUUCAAUAAGUAUAUCAUAAUUAGGUCAUAAACAUGUCAUAUUAGAAUAUUAACCAUAUUAUUUCAUUCAACAUUUAACUUGACUUGAUUAUGAAAUAACGUCUUCUUAUUAAAUCGGUUAAACCGGUUAUAAUGUAUCACCUAGAUAAUAAUUAUAUUGUGUUUGAGUUUAUGCUUUAAAUUUUGAUUAUUAUUCAUGUCAUGUUUAUGUUGAGUUAUUUAGUGGAGGAUCUAACCUUAGAUAUAACACAAACGCAACCCACUAACAUAAAUUGUCAUCCUCACUUCUACUAAUAAGUAAUUUGUUUAUUACAAUUAAGAAAAUUGAGAAGAUAUAAUUUUUUUAAAAUUUUUAAAUGCAUGAUUAAAGUUAAUUAUAAGUUUUAAAAGUUUUAUAAUUCAUAGUCCAUCCAAACUAACAAAAUAUUAGAAAUCUUCAAUGGUUUUGUCUACAAUAAAUGUGUUGUGCUAAAUUAUCCCCUUCUUUACUAACCAAAACAUGUUCUUUCACAAUCAAAUAUCAACGUGUUUAAGCAGCCGGUGAAGCAUCUCUUGACAAUGAGGUGAGAGGUAGAAACAAGAAACAUACAUGUAUUCAAGAGAAGUGUUGUUUCUUCUUUUGCAUUAGAAAACAUUCAUUUAGUCUAAACUUGAAGGUGGAUUGCUAGAAUAUGAGCUCUUGGAAAGACAUAAGAGAAGGACAUUUAGGAAUCUGAAAGAAGCCUAGAGACCUGUUGCUACUUGUGAAUCACUGUAAUUAGAAACAAUUCCAGAUAAUCCUGCAAUUCUGGACCUUUGAUUUGCUUUGUUCCAUUUUGCCAAGAACAGUUCUAAAAUGCUUUUCUUUAUUGAGCUAUAAUGAUUUUAUUAUUAGGAUUUAAUUGUAUUCAUUAGGUUUGCAAAUCACAAAAAUGGUGUCGUGCCUAUGAAUAUUUUCCUCUUCGAUCAUGUAAUGUUGGGAAGCAAUUAUGGAAUACUAUGAUAGCACAAUAUAUUGAUCCACAUAGUUUGUGGCGUGACAGUUUAAUGAAAUUACAAAAGUGCAUGUAGCACUCAUGGGUAUGUCAUGUGAACCUUUUUCAAUAGAGCUACUUGUUUAAAUUUAUAUGGGUGAAUUGUCACACCAAUGUCCUCUUAUGAACCUUAGGUUCAUUUUUCUGUUUCUUUCUCUCUUGGUUAAGACAAACAAUUUGUCUUCAUAAGGACUUCGUGUUACCAAUAAGCAGCAUCUUGUAUUCUCCUUCUCUUCAUCCCCUUAUCAAGACACAGCAAUCUGAUGCAUCUUUGCAUUGGGUUGCUUCCUCUCCUCUCCCUUUCCUUCCUCCUUGAGGCAAAAUCGCAUCAUUGCUUAGUUUUGACUAUGUUUCUUUUUAUCAUUAUGAGAGAGCAUCAUUGUAAGAUGUACAAGAAACGUGUUGUGGUGCAUUAUCCCCUCCUCUACCACCUAAAAUCUAUUUUACACGAUCAUAAGGACCAAGGUGUUUUAAACAUUAGGUAAGGCAUUUGUUGACAAUGAUGUGAGAGAUAGAUACAAGCAACAUGCCAAUAUUCAAAAGACGUGAUGUUCUUCUUUUGCAUUUGACAACAUUCAUUUAGUCUGAACUCCACAUUUAGGCAACUCAGAAUCUCCACCUUCAUUAGGAUUGCAAGAAGUUGGCUUUUUGGGAAGACAUGGAAAGAGAGCAUCUAGAAAUCUGAAAAAAUUACAACGACCUAUUGCUACUUUUGAAUCAUUCCAAUUAAUAACAACUCCAAAAAAUAUAUACAAAUAUGUCCCUGGGAAAGAGAUGUGUCUUGUGCAUAUGCAACCAUCUCUCUAAUAGACUUAGGGUUGUGCACCCUCAUGGUAGUUUCUUAUAUAUUGCACCAUAUGAAUUGUAGAUAUCCAACUACCAAUAUCACUACACCUGAAUGAACUAGAAGCUAAAGUGAAGUUGACAACCCAUCAUCGAAAGAAUCCUGUAGGAAUACACCAAAAUGAAAAUUUUAUUAACAUAAAUGAAUUCAUCCAAUUAAAGGGUAAAGUUGCCUAAAAAAUUGAAUUGGGAGAGAUAGAAAUAUUGAUGCUUUCAUAGGACUGUGAAAGGGACCAACAAGUGGAACAAACAUUGAAUAGUAAAUGUAAAGCCAUAAAGCUUGUAACUAGUGUCAAAAGCUGCUCCCUAGUGAAGUUUUUUAACAAUGAAGGUAAGUGGAAAAUUCACCUAAUAGCUCUACUUGUAGAAAAUUGCAAUGGUGUGAAACUAGGAUAUGGUGAACUCGUUUCCACUAUUGCAAUGAACCAUUAUGGAUCAAAAAUGAAUCUCACCAUCGGUUUUCACAUAGGAGAUGUGGGCUAUCUUUGGCCCAUAUCUCAAUAUUGGAUUUAGGAGUUAUGUCUCUCAUAUAUGGUUCCACUUGCAAAAUACAAAUGGAGCUUAGCUAAUGACAACACAUUUAGAAAAAUGCAAGAAUUCCAUAGACAUGUUUUGUGCUAUCAUGAAUCAUUCCAAUCAGUACGGAAUCGAAGUGCUAUAAUUUUGAAUUGUCUUAGGGAACAAAUCCUAAUUCAAUCUUGCGGAAGUAAACCAUCUUGAGCACCAACUCAAUUCUGAGUUCUUUAGGAUACUUGAGACACCAAUUCAAUCAAAGAUGCUAGUCGUUUUUGAGGUAAAUUGUCUUCCUCCAUUGAUACUAGGGAAAAUGCUUUUGAAAACCAUUCAUCUGCAAGUUACAAAGGGAAAUGAGAUUAUGUGAUUUGGGAAGAGAAUUAAGCUUUGGAAGAGAAUUAAGCUUCGGAAUAUUGCCAAUAUGCAACCGAUAAUUUCUAAUUCUAUCACUUUUAUUCUAACAUGUGAUUUGGAAAGAGAAUUAAGCUUCGAAAUAUUUCCAAAAUGCAAGGAAUUGAGGAGGCCAAGUGGGCAACCACCAUAGCUAGUUCGCAAACAAAUGAUAGCAUUGGAAGUGGAACACAACACAUAAACUUCAAAAACAAAACAUGUUUCUCACGAUCAUAAAUACCAAGAUGUUUAAGCAUGAGGUAAGUCAUCUCUUGACAAUGAUGUGAGAGAGACACAAACAACAUACCAGUAUUCAAGAGAAGUAGCAUUCUUCUUUUGCAUUCGACAACAUUCAUUUAUUUUACAUCCCAAAUUUUAGCAACUCGGGAUUUCCACCUUCUUUAGGAUUGUAAGAAGUUGGCCUCUUGAAAACACAUGAGAGGGCAUUUAGAAAUCUGAAAGAAUUCCAGAGACUUUCUAUUGCUUGAAUUGUGAAUCAUUCCAAUCAUAAAUACCAAGGUUCUAAGAUCAAGUAAGGCAUCUCUUAAUAAUGAUGUGAGAGAUAAAGACAAGCAGUACACCAGUAUUCAAGAGAAGUAGUAUUCUUCUUUUGCAUUCGACAACAAUCAUCUACUCUACACCCCAAAUUUUAGCAACUUAGGAUCUCCACUUUCAUUAGGAUUGUAGAAAGUUGGCCUCUUGGAAACACAUGAGAGGAUAUUUAGAAAUCUAAAAGAAUUCCAAAGACUUGUUAUUGCUUGAAUUGUGAAUCAUUCCAAUCAUAAAUACCAAAGUGUUCCAAGAUCAGGUAAGACAUCUCUUGGCAAUGAUGUGAGAGAUAGAGACAGGGAGCAUACCAGUAUUCAAGAGAAGUAGUAUUCUUCUUUUGCAUUCGACAACAGUCAUCUACUCUACACCCCAAAUUUUAGCAACUCAAGAUCUCCACCUUCAUUAGGAUUGCAGGAAGCUGACCUCUUGGAAACAUAUGAGAGGAUAUUUAGAAAUCUGAAAGAAUUCCAGACACUUGUUGCUUGAAUUGUGAAUCAUUCCAAUCAUAAAUACCAUGGUGUUUCAAGAUUAGGUAAGGCAUUUCUUGGCAAUGAUGUGAAAGAUAGAGACAAGCAGCAUACUAGCAUUUAAGAGAAGUAGUAUUCUUCUUUUGCAUUCAACAACAUUCAUCUACUCUACACCCCAAAUUUUAGCAACUCAAGAUCUCCACCUUCAUUAGGAUUAUAGGAAGCUAGCCUCUUGGAGACACGUGAGAGGACAUUUAGAAAUUUGAAAGAAUUCUAGAGACUUGUUAUUGCUUGAAUGUGAAUUAUUCCAAUCAGUAACAACCCCAAAGCCCUAUAUACAAUUUUGAACUGUCAACCUUCUUACAUUGAAUGAAAAACUUGUCCCUAGGAAAAAGGUGUCUUGGGCAUACAACCAUCAAUUAUUAGCUCUCAAAGAGGCUUAAAGUUGUGCACCCUCUUGGUAGCUUCUAAUUCAUUACAUCAUAUAACUUCCAGAUAUCCAAUUGGCAUGUCACUACACCUGAAUGAAGUAGAAAACAUGGUGAAUAGGAAGUUAGACAACCUUUCACAAAAAGAAUCCUACAAGAAUACACCAAGCAGAACUUCUUGUUAACAUAAAUGAAUUCACUUAGUUAAAUUAUUGCGUUAAAAUUUAAAUUGGAGAAAUAAAAAUACUAAUGCUUGAGAAUAAGUAUUGAGAAUAAGAGUUACCUUAAUGAAUGUAAGGAUAGGAUAGGGUUGAAUUGGCUCUGCACCCAUUUUUGCAAUUUGAAUUUAUUAUGGUUCAAAAAUGAGUUUAUGAUAUAUCCUCAAUUUAGGGGAAGCGAGCAAUCUGGGGCCAAUCUCUAUCAUUCUCCUUGAAACAUCUUUGAUUUCAAAGUUUGAUAAAACUUAGAAGACAACCUUUCACUUGGCAAGGAGGACUAGAACAAGGCAUCCCUCAAUCUCUACAAGUUAAAGAAAUGAAGUUUUGAAGACCAAGGGAGGAGGCUAGGUUUCCAUAUUUGACAAUAUUUUCAUUGAAAGAUUAAUGAGAGUUGUAGCAAGAAAUCCUGUCAAAAGGAAAUUGCCUUUAACAAUGUACAAUAUAAAAUGAAUGAACUAAGUUUUUAGAGAAGUGAAUCUUUGGAGGCUCCACAAAAAUAAGGGGUUUUAAUACUCUUGCAAGUGUAUUCAUGAAAUUGUUUCCUCAAAGGACUCCUGAACCUAGACAAUGUACAACACAAAGCUGUUAAAGAGAUGUGAGACUCUAAAUCUGAUGAGGUAGGACUUGAGAUCCACAUUUUCUUAAGUGAAGAAUUCUGAUGUUGUAAACACACUAGUAGUUUCUAGAUUUAGAUACUUCUCUUCAAAUAUUUGUAUAAUGUACAUCUUCUUUGACAUUGCUGCUCCAAUAGGAUGUCCAAUAGGAUGUGCAACCUAUUUGGGCAUACUACAUGUACAACAAAAAAUUUCAUUAAAACAAAAAACUUUUACUAAAACAAAAAUAUGAAGUUAAUGUCUAAGAAGAUAAGAUUUAUAUAUAGUGAAUGAGCAUGUUUGAUUUUAGCACAAAGGGAAAGACGCCAAAAUUUUUAAGAAUAUCAUCACCACAAGUACCUAAUUUGCAUCAUUAAAAAUUCCACAAGGAUUUGAUGGCUAGGCAAUAAAAUAAUUCUAGUAAAUGAGUUAAAAUCAGCUAAGCUAAGAAAGAUUAAAUCCAAAUAAGCAUCAAUCAUUAAAGAAUUAGCCAACUACGAAAGACUUCAAAUGACAUUUUCUCUGUAAUUUCUGUUCCUAAUUAGCCUCAUGUGAUUGUACCAAAAUAUUAUUAAUUUUCUUUAAAGGAAGUGGGUGACUCAUAUCUUUGAAAGGGUGUGAGAAGUGGAAAUCCCUCGAUCCCUAGUGAUUCAAGAGGAUAAUUCCUAUGGCUAUUGUUGUCAUCAUACAUCAUUCAGCUAGCUAUAGACCACAAAAUUGAACAAUCAUGAAUAUGUAGAUGCUUAAAUAUGGUAUGUACUUUAUCUAGUGGAAAAGCUUAUGAGACUUGGACAUCUCGAGAUUUCUAGGAAUUAAAACAGAUACAAGUUGUUGCUUCUUGUUAUAAUUUAUCUGGAUUGCAAUCAUCAAGCACUAACUCCAUUCACUACAUGUUUUGAGCCUUCAACAUAAAUUCCAUUCUUUCAGCCAAAAAAAAAAUCAUUAAUAACUCAUCUGAAAACCAUUUUAUGUUGCUCAAAUUAUAAAAUGUAGGAUGUAACUGACUUCCAUCAUUGAAAAUGAAUUGAUAUAACUUUACAAUACUAGUAUAUUCAGCUUUUGAAAUGGUUGAAACUGAUCCUGGAAUCAAAAAUCACAUACACAAGUAGAUAUUUAACAAAAGAGAAUCCAAAAUCUCUUCAAUUGAUUAAUGUAUAAAUGAAUUAAUCAAAAUUUUUAGAGAUAAUUAUGGGGAGAUGAACCUUGUACCUUUCAGUUUCUUAUUCUUCUUGAACAGAGCAAUGUGCAUCAAGUGUUGAGCACCUAGGAAUCUCCCUUCCUCCACAGGCAAAAUCUGAACAAUGUAUCCUUUCUUCAUAUUCCACUUCCUUGCAAAAUUCAAAACAUGAAGAAAAUAUCAUCAAAAUUAAGACAAAAAUAAGUGCAUCAACUAUCUCAAGAAGAGAUAUAUGCCUACUGCGUACCUUUUGAAGAAGUCCACUUGGUUAGAGCACAUUUUACAUGGACGCCCAAUCACUAUAAGCAAUUGAACCAAAGGAGAGUUCAAACAUCUACAAAAUUUGACGAACUCAAGUAUCAUAAAAUACUUCAUAUGAAUUCUAAAUGAUCUCAUAUCUAAAAAACAUUGGCAUAAAAUUAUUGUUUUUUACCUUACAUGUUUCUUCCAUGGUCAUAAUCAAAACUUUGUUUAUCAUAAGAAAUCUUCUAUGCUCAUCUUGAUUACUUACAAUGAACACUGAAAUGAAAAGAAAAAAAACCACAAAAAAUGAUGAUUAGUUUGGUUUGAUAAAUUUAGCACGCAUAAUUUCCUUUUUCUUGCAUGAGAAAAGAAAGAGUAAAUAUAUAUAUAUAUAUAUAUAUAUAUAUAUAUAUAUGAAUUUAAUAAUUUUUUAAAUUAGCAAUUAUAAAACUAUUUUGGUUCUCAUAAAAUUUAUGAGAAAGUAGAGAAAAAAAAUUGUAAACUUUUUCUCUUGUUUGAUUGUUUAUCGAAAAAUUGAGGGAAAAACAAAAAUCUAUGAGAAAUUUAUUUAACACUUCUGAGGAACCAAAAAUGUUUUAGAUGUUGUCAAAUUGAUAAUUUAAACGUGUUUAAUUCCAAUUAAAUGAGUUUAGUAAAACACAUGAAAUUGUGAAUAAAAUUAUUUAAAAGCAUUGAAAUUCAAGUCAUUAAAGUUGUCCAUAAAAUUUGGUAUAUUGAAGCAAGAAAAAAACAAAGCAAUUUGAAUGACUUGCUAAUAAAGCAACUAACUAGAAUAUGCCCUAGAGUUGUUCAGUGCCCUCUAUAUAAGAAAUAAAUAGAGAACACAAAAAAAAAACCAAGAAAAAAAAACAAUCAAACGAAAAACAGAGAACACUUCUUACGUUAUUUUUUCUUAAUUUUUCUGAUUUAUAUACAUUUUUGUUGGUUUUCUUUUGACCAUAAAAGGUUCGAGCAUUGGCAUUGUCAUGUGUAAAUUAUUGUGGCUACAAACUUCAUUCGUAUCCAAUUGCACACCUAUCCAAACUCUUGAUGAUGAAGGUAUGAUUGCAUUUACUAGCAUUAAAUUGCUAAAAUUUGUCAUCCAAAGUUCCAAUUUCUUUUGAACCUUGAAGACUUCAUUUGCAUUCUUGUAGGAAUUAGACGUGGAAUCAUUUUGCAAUGCUUGUGGUCUUGAGACCAGCAGUGAUGAAUGGGGAAAUAAGUUCUUAUCAACCAAGCAAACAAACUUCCAUUAUCCCAAGAAAGUCUUUCCAAGCUACUCUUAUGGGUUUGGAACACUUUUAGAGGUAACAAUCAAUUGGAACUAGUUACUCUUUCAAACUUCUUAUUGUACAAAUAUAGCCUGCAUGUGCAACCAUUUUUUAUCCCAUAAUUUCAAAAAUUUAUGACACCUUCUAGUGGUUAGUUUUUCUGGGAAUGGAGUAAAGCAAUCUAUUCACUCCGAGAAAUUAUCGUAAGAAGAAUAGUAGAUAACCUCGCAAGACCAAAUUUAUGUGUGUGCAUGGAGGUGCAUGUUUUCUGCAUCCCAAUCAUGCAGCGUUGUGUCAAAUGGAACAAUAGCAGGUGAUGAUAAGUGGUAUUUCUAAAAUCUUCUAAGAGUAUUCCAUAUAUUGUAAUAUUGUUUUCUCAAAAUUGUCUUUGAGUCUUAUGUGUAAAUAUUAGAGUUGACCUCUUGUAAGCUAUCAACUGAUGUUGUAACUUAACUUGAAAGGGAAAUUCUAUAAAUUUAGCCUUGGUUUGGCUCUUGGAAAGCAAAGAAAAAUUAGGUUAAUAGUGAGUUGAUUUCUUCCCUUCCCAUGGAUGUAAGCACAUUCUUAAAUUAUGUUAAUUAUGUUUUGGUUUAUUUUGUUGUUUUCUUGUUUAUUGUUCAAUUGUCUCCGCAUAACAAGUGGUAUCAAAGUUGUUUCCAACACAAUAGAUGAUUCCUAUGCUAACACAAUGUUUGAGGCUAAAUGUAAGAUGGUAAAAGUUUCUAGAAUAUUUCUGUAUGACAACUGCCAAUAAAGGAUGUACUUAACAGGAAAUUCGUAAGGUGUUACAUGGCAAGUUGAACAAGACCAAUAGCCAAAGAUAUCUGAAAUAUUUGGGGCCAUUGAUCCAACAAUAGCAGAGAAUAACACAAGAAGAGACCCUCUAAUCACCAUUUUUGCUUUUGAUUCUUCUCUACAAAGCAUCAUCUCCUUUAUACAAAAAGACAACCCAUGGCUAAGCCCACAUUAUUCUCUACAUAUCCCAAAAAAACCCUCUAACCCAUGGCAUGGCGCACUUUUUGGGGGUAUUUUUGCUACUAAAUUUGUGGUAGUCUCUCAAAUACCUAAACUAUCCUCCAGAUAUUAAGGUAUGGCCUACUCUUUGAGGUGGUAUUAAGGUAUGGCCUAAAUUUGUUAAGAGAGGUUUUGGUGUGGAAACUAGAGGGCUUUACACACGUUGCAUGUAUUUUCUUUUGCAUGCAUUACACGUAGAUCGGAGUUUAUGCAGUUACUCACUUUUUGUGAGUCCAAUAGUACUGUAGUGCCACGUCACCAUAUGAUGGGCUCUUUAGUCUUUUCAAACCCAAAAAAAAAAACUAAUACUAAAAGGACUGCUAACUAGCUAUGUGGAGGUGAACCUCUAUAGCUAGCUUCUUAGAGGGACCAUGAUCACUUAGGCCAAGAAAGUUUGAGGUGAUAAUAGGUUUGUGAUGCCCUUAGAUGUUUUAGACACAUGUGUGUUACACUAAUGUAUGCAACGAGUCUAUAACCUUGAUUGACAGGUCCGGGUAAUCUUUGAAAUUCCACUGUGAUAGGAAGGUUCCAUGUGAACAACAGUUGCACAUGGGUUAGUCAAUCUUAAGAGACGGGGGAAGCCCGUUUAAUAGCACACAAUGUGCAAGCUUUGAAAGGCAAUCAGGUUAACAUUUUUUAAUUGGGACAUGAUAGCGAACAACAACAUUAGGUAGUUUGGAGAUGUCGUCAUAUUAAUUGUUAUCAAUAUUUUUAUUUAUUCAAUAGAAAUUGAGGAUUAAAAAAAUACCACAAAAAUUAGAAAAAACAAAAUUAAUUACAUGGCUUACAUUUCAAAUAUUUAAUAAAAUAUUGUUUGAAAAUUGAAUAUCAUACAUUAUUAAAUGGCUGGAUUCUCUUCUUUAUUUUUUUAAUUGUCUCAUCCUAUUAAAUUACUCAUCUAAUAUUAAUUUAUUUUAAAGGUAAAAUUAAUUAUUUUGUAAAAAAAACUUUUAAUUGACCAGAGUUUGUGCCAUGCAUCUAAUAUAUACUUAAAUACUUUUCCAUGCUAUAAUCCUCCAACAAAGGAAUGAAAUCAAAACUUAAAAAUCAUUUAUAUAUAUAGAUAUAUGUUAUUAAGUUUAGGUAGUGAAGCAAUUAUUGUGAAUAUAAAAUUAAUGCCAAAAAUUUUGAUUGUUCUUUCACGUUCUCCACAACCAAACAAAGGAUAUAAGAAAAAUCAAGAAAGAAAUUUAGGGUAGUUUGAUUUUUUGUUCUCAUCUUGUCGUGAAGUUAAUAGAGGAAUGCUUGGGUUAGUGCUUGACAGUUAGGUGACACUAGGGUAUAAUGAUUCUUCCAAUCAAGUAAAUAUUAUCCGCUUUAAUUUCAAUGGAUCAUCAUCACUUUAAAUUGCAUCCACAUGGUUAAGAGCAACUCAUAUGUGUAUAAUAUCAUGAAUUUCUUCUUAUUCAAUAUGGAAUAUCAAAUUAGGUAUCUUUCAAUUUUAGGUAUUGUAUAAGUGUUUCAAUUCAAAUGACUUGGCUUAAUGUAUACUCAAAGCCUUUACAAAGGAACGUACAUGUAAUAAAGUGAAAAUUAAACCUUGUCGCCCGUCUAUCUCUAGUAUGAAACACAACUCCAUUAGCGCUUAAACAUCUGCAAAAAAAGAUAUACACCUUUGUUACAUUAAUUAAAAUAAAUGAUAGAAAAACAGACUCCAUAUAUCCAUGUACAAUAUUUGAUUAGAUUUGUUAUAUAUAUAAAGAGAGAGAGAGAGAGAAAAAGAAAAAAAAACUGCUUAGAUUAAGGAUCUCAUUAAUUAAUACCUAGAAAAUAUAAAAUAAUAAAAAAAGAUUAGAAGGUGUGAAUUAUAAGAUAAGACUACAUUUUUGAAUUAGAUUCAUCGAAAGAUGGCAUAUUGUAUGAACAUUUUUACUCUAUAUAUAAAAACUUAUAUUAUGGUUGAGAUGUAUUAAUUUGUCAUAUUUUUGGACAAUUCAAGUAAUGAGUAAUUACACUAAAUUAAAUUAUUGACCUUAUUAAUUGAUACCUCAACAGUAUAAAAUAGUAAGAAAUGAAUAAUACAAACUUCAUCGAAAUAUUUUUAUAGACAUAUUGCGUAAAUAUUCUUAUUUAAUAAAAUUUUAUAUGUCAUUAAAUAAAUAGAGAAUUUUAACAUUAAUUGCAAUGCUAAGUAGAGGAGAUCUCAUAUUUAAGCUGAUGAUUAAGGCUUAUUUGAUAAAACUUAAUAUUUAUUACUUAAUAACUUAAGUUGACUUUAAGUUAAAUUAUAUUUAAGUUACUCAAAAUUUAUUAUUUAAUAUUUACUUUAAGUAUUAAAGUUAUUUGAUAAAAUUAAUUUAAAAAUCAUUUUAAAUUAUCAAAUUGUCAUAUUUAUCUUCGUUAAUUUGAUAACUAGAUGCAGAUAAAUGAAACAAAAUAAAAUUGAGAUUAAGAAUAAAUUAAUUACUUUGAUUUAACACUUAAAAUUAAAAGUAACUUUAAGAUAUAAUAUUAAGUUAUUUUAUCAAAUAUAUUUAAUCUAUUUAAUAAUUAAAUUAAGUUAUUAAGUUAAUGAAUGAUUACCAAACACCCUAUAAGACCCAAAAAAUCGAAUGAGUUUUAAUAGUAUUCAGGAUGGACAUGACUAGGUGGCGGUUCAAUGCUGAUUAAUCAUAAUUCAAUCAAGGCAAAAUAUGUAACAAAUACAAGUCAAACUGCACCAUCCAAAUGGGCGCCAAGAAGUUACAUUUGACAAAUGCCAUUAAACCUCUACAGCUAGCAAUUAUUUUGAUCACAGAAAAAAUGGCAAAAAAGUGUGUCGUACUUCAUCUUGAAGCCCAUUAACUUCAUCUUAAUUUGAUCCAAAUUGCAGAAACAUGCAAAACUCCAUGAAUCUAUGGUGCUAUGGUGGCCUACAUUCAUAUAACUGGGGACACUUUGGUUUACACCACAAUGACCCCAAACAGGGUUUGUAGAGGCUUUAUCAAGAUCACUAGCUUUAAAAGACUAAGGAAAGAAAGAUGUUCUCAAUGAAAACUUGGAGUCAAAUUGCAGAUAAAGACCUAAAACUCCCACUCAAUGUGUUUUAGGAAUUGUUGUUUCAUGGGGAUAAGCUGCUUGGUUUGUACAUGUCUCCUUGGUGAUACUUAGAGAUUGGCAAAGUAUAUUCUCCUUUGUGAUCUGGUUUGUAUAUGGGCAGAUGAAUGUUCAUGCCAGGUUCAUAUAUGUUUCUGAUAUAUAUCACCCUGGAAGGAUCUAGAUCAAGGGGAUGAGUUUGAAAAGCUUGAGUAGGUUUAAGAUGUUCCCAGAAUUGGUGAGCAUGAUAUAUAUCAACAUGAUAUUGCAGAAGACAACAGAGCUUCUGAAAUAUAUCAGGUUCAAUAGUAGGAAAUCUUAUCAGCUGUCACUUAUUGUAAUCCUAUGCUCUCAAUAUUCAUUUGUUGAAGAAGAAGAAAAAAUUGCUGUCACACUAUUCAAUUACCGGAGAAUGUUCAAUUAUAGAAGAAAAUAAUAUUCACUAGACUCUUUCAACUUAAUCAACAUGCAGAGAAAAGCCGUCGGGUGGCCAAUUAUUCACAUACCAACUUACAUACAUCGUCUCUCUACCUCUACUUGUUACUCAUUAGCCAAGCUUAUAGUAAUAUAAGCUUGGGUUCAUCUCUCCAUGUCUCUGAUGACAACUCCACAUGGGGUUCGCCUUCUGGUGAUUUUGCAUUUGGAUUCUGACCCUCUCCAAGUGAAAAGGAUCAAUAUCCUUCUUGCUAUCUGGACUGCAAAUGGAAGUUAACUGGUGCCAAGAGGAUCAAAAGUUGAGCUUACUACCAAUGGACAACUUGUUCUCCAGAGGCUAAGAGAUGAAGACAAAGACUGGUAAUGUGAGCAGCGAAGCAGUGCAUGGUGCCAUGCUUGGACAUGGAAAUUGUAUACCAGUAUAUGGGAGAGCUUCAAGCACCCAACUAAUACCAUAUUGCCAACCCAGGGAUUGGUGUUGGAGCCUCCUGUGCAGUUGCUAUUUUUGAGGACCUGAGGUUUGCAAAUGGAACUGGAAGCUGUUGGAGGAAAAGACUACCUCUUUCAAAUGGGAGGUUGGAUCAAACUGAUGUUUCCAGAAGUGCUCUAAUCAAGAAGUCCAGUGAACUAACGUCAGGCAGAGGCAACCAAAAUAAAGCAAUUCUAAUACUCUCAGUCCUCUUAGGCCCCUCUGCGUUUUUCUUCUUCGUUUCUCUGGCUGCAAUUUCUCUAGUUUUCUACCACUUGAACCUCAAAAAUCUGCAGCUUUAUCACAGAAUCCUGAGUACAAGCGAUGGUAGAAGCCUUUGACACUGUCUAUAAAGGGAUAUUACCAUCAGGUUCUGGAAAUUCUGUUGCUGAAAAGAAGUUGGAGAAGGUGGUGGGAGAAGAUGAGAAAGAAUUCAAAGCAGAAGUGAAUGUGAUAGGCCAAACUCACCAUAAGAAUCAAGGACAGUUGCUGCGUUACUGUCAUGAGGGUGAACACUGACUACUGGUGUUUUUUUUUAUUUUAUUUUUUUAUGCACAAUGGCUCUUUAUCAAGCUUCCUUUCUGGAGGCGCCCAAGGACUUGUGUACCUACAUGAAGAAUGCAGUAAACAGAUCAUCCAUUGUGACAUAAAGCCCUCAGAACAUAACUCUUAGAUGAUUCUUCUACAGCCAAAGUUGCAAACUCGGACUGGGAAAGCUUCUGAUAAUCAACCAGACUAGAACACUCACAGGCAUCAGAGGGACUAUGGGGUAUAUUCAGACAACUCGAGCAGCCUAUGUCUCUUAUAAUAACACGUUAUGAAGCAUCAGCUCAAUGCCAAGGUUCAAUCUGCAAAGCAAGGGAUUCAUCAAUGUUUCCUUCAAACUAAAUAACAAGGAACAGAAAUGGAUCAUUCUGCAUUUUCAGUGGUGUUUGUUAUAGCAUUUAUACAAGAACUCUAGGGGUUUCUAUGUAUAACUUCAUUCCUAUUUUGUCAGUGAAUAUGGUGAUGGUGUUAUAUUAUAAAUCAUAGUGAACUGGUGGAAUUUGAUCAUUUGGCCAACUUUAUCCAAAACUGUUUCACGGUUGAGGGGAUUGUUGACUUUGCCCUGGGCGAAACAGCAAUUUCUUAAGAAGCUGGGUAACGAAGAGUACCAUAAUUUGGACUGGUUUCAAUGGAAACUCUCCUGUUUUUGUGCAUGGUAUCUUCAGCUUCAGCUUUUCCUAUGCUUUUGACUAUCCUGAAACUGAUCCAAAUCUCUUCAAUUGAUUAAAUGUAUAAAUGAAUCCUAUUCAUUGUUUGGAGUAACAACCAAAUUCUGGAAGACUGGGAAAGUUUCAACACUGGAGAGAAAACAAAAUGACAAGACCAUAAAUUCUGGAAGAGGGCUUUGCUUUCUAAUCAUUACCAUAAUUUUAGAGCUCAACCCGGGUGAGUAAAUUAUAUUUCAGAAUGUUCAGAAGAUAAUUCUGAAGUGAUGAACCUUCUACUCACAGUUUCUUGUUCUUCUUGAACAGAGCAAUGAACAUCAAUAGUUCAGCACCCAGGAAUCUCCCCUUCCUUCAAUUCCUUUACUGGGAAAACUCUGCCAAAAUCAUAACAAUCUGUCCUCUUCCUUGGAGGAAAAGUCACCUUCCCAAUCAAGAAAAUCAUCAGGAUUAAUUUGAGCAAAACAUCAGAGUAUACAUCAAGAAAGCCUUGAUCAAAAUCAAAAUACAUCAAGAGCUGCCAUUUUCUUCUAUUUCCUCUUCCCUGAAUGGAAUGCCUUUUGGACUGAGGUGAUCAAUGGUAACAGUCUAACACACUCCUUAAGCUCUGAUUGAGGUCAACGGGGAUUGGCACAUUUAAUGACUUUUGAAAUCAUAGCUGUGUGAAGGGAGGCAAACAUGAAUCUCAGGAUAAUCAACAAGUCAACAACUAUCAAUCAGCAAGGAAAAGGAAAUACCUUUGGAUAUUUACAAAUCAAAAAUUUGAGAGAGUCCAGCUUCUCUGUACAGAAAGGCUUGAGCUUAUUCCAUGGCCAGGCUUUAGAUGGUUCUGAAUUACGGAUGAGAGGGUUGAGUUUUCUUUUAUUCUGCAACAAGAUUAAAAACAUCAAUGAAACACUAAAAGUUUAUAUAUAGAAGCCCUUUAAAGAUAAGAACUGGUAAGAAAGCUCACCCAUGGUCUAGUAAAACAACAUCUGUUAGAUAAGUAACCGCCAUUCGAUUGUCCAGCUAAUGCAUUUAGAUCUAAGAUAAGAUAUGGAAAAAUAGUCAAAAAUAGCUGAAGACAGUCCAAAAACUCAUUUGACUAAUAAUUUUCUAAAAGCAGUAACAUAAAACCUGGAUGAAGAAUCCACCCCUCUACCUGACACCACUUCAAUACCAAAUAAAAUGUUACGAUGACCAUUUAUGGUCUUAAGAGACAGUGGAUGUUGUUUGGGCUCAAGACCUAAGACAAGCCAAAAAACAAGAAGAAAACAUCAAAAUUGGCACAGAAACAAGUACAUCAACUAUCUAAUAAAGAGAUUUAUGCAUGUAACAAAUGCAAAUGAAAUAUGAAACAAGAUUUUCAUGGAUUAAACAAAAAUAGAUGGCAAAAUAGAAGGAUAAGGUCACAGACAGGACAAUAUUAAAAGAAAUGAUUAUUUGUCCCACCUGAAAAUCAAGGCAUUCAGAACAGUACACAUUUGUAAGUAGUCCAUGGAAACCAGGGAACAUAUGCAGAUGUUGUAUUCUAUUGCAUAAGGCAAACACUCAAUACUUACAAGCAUAACCAUGCCCAGAAAGCCAUGAAUCCCUUUUAGUUUUGCUUUUUUACCUAUUCCCAUCUCUUAUGGCCAGAAGUGCCCAGGAUGAUAUAACAUCACCAAAUAAGUUAGAAACCAGCCCAUCCAGCAGGUUGAGUAGCCAGCUUGCCCUCAAUCUUCUUUGAGUCAACAAACAGCUGGGCAUUAUUGCCUCCAAUGGAGGGUCUGGAAAUAUUAGAGCUGGCACCAGGGGUGGCUGUAAAACUCUCUGUUCCAAAACCCCAAGUUUCAGGGCCAGAAGUUGCUUCUGUGGCUGGUUUGUUGUGAUGGCCAUUUCGGGUCCUAACAGACUUGCUAUUGUUGUCUGGGCACCUACCUCAGAGAAAGCCUGCCAUGGAUUAGAGUCCUGACAUGGCUGAAACUGAUCCUGAAAUUAAAGUGCACAUACACAAGUAGAUAUUUAACAGAAGAGUAUCCAAAUCUCUUCAAUUGAUUAAUGUGCAAAAGAAUUAAUCAAAAUUUUUAGAGAUAAUUAUAGGGAGAUGAACCUUGUACCUCUCAGUUUCUUAUUCUUCUUGAACAGAGCAAUGAGCAUCAAGUGUUGAGCACCCAGCAAUCUCCCUUCCUCUACAGGCAAAAUCUGAACAAUCUAUCCUUUCUUCAUAUUCCACUUCCUUGCAAAAGUCAAAACAUGAAGAAAAUAUCAUCAAAAUUGAGACAAAAAGAAGUGCAUCAACUAUCUCAAGAAGAGAUUUAUGCCUAUUGCUUACCUUUUGAAGAAAUCCACUUGGUUAGAGCACAUUUUACAUGGACGCCCAAUCAGUGCAAGUUGCUGAACCAAAGGAGAGUUCAAACAUCUAGGCUCAUCUUGAUUAUUGUAAUGAACACUGAAAUGAAAAAAAAAAAUGAAUUUAAUAAUUUUUAAAAAUGAGCAAUUAUAAAACUAUUUUGGUUCUCAUAAAAUUUACGGGAAAGUAAAGAAAAAAAAAUUGUAAACUUUUUUGUUUUUGUUUGAUUGUUUAUGGGAAAUUUGAGGGGAAAAAAAAUCUAUGAGGAAUUUAUUUAACACUUCUUAGGAACCAAAAAUGUUUUAGUUGUUAUCAAAUCGAUAAUUUAAACAUGUUUAAUUCCAAUUAAAUGAGUUUAAUCAAACACAUGAAAUUGUAAAUAAAAUUAUUUAAAAGCAUUGAAAUUCAAGUCAUUAAAGUUGUCCAUAAAAUUUGGUAUAUUAAAGCAAGAAAAAAACAAAGCAAUUUGAAUGACUUGCUAAUAAAGCACCUAACUAGAAUAAAUAAAGCAGCUAACUAUAUAAGAAAUUAUAAAAUAAAAAUAAAAAAUAAAAAAUAAAAUUGCCAAAAAAAAAACAAACAAAAUAUCCAUGGUUCUUACGUUAUUUUUUUCUUAAUUUUUAAAUAGUUAUAAAUGGUUCAUUUAAUUUUUGCAAACUACGAAAUCAAAAUAGAGCAUGAAAAUGUGUUCAACAUUUGUUUCAAGCUUGAAGCUUCAAGAAAAAAGAAAAUCUUAAAUCAAAUAAACAGAAAGAAAAGUUCAAGCGCAAAAGAAUUACCUAACUGUGUAUUGGCGGAGUGGCACUUUGAUUAAAAUAGCACUUCAUUGAUCACUAUUUUAGGAAUGAGAUCUAUAUAACGCCAUUCUUCCCCUUUCUCAAAUUGACACCGUUUUUCCAGUAAAUGACCUCAUUAGAACUACAAUAAGUGAAGUGAUAAUGUCAUCUAAUUAGUAAACCAAACCAAGUCAAUAAACUAGAACUUCCUCUAGUAUAAAGGUCUUGAUACAUUAGAUAUUGAAUUUGUUGGACCUGGCAAGGUAGAAGUAGUAAUGCUCAUUUUUUAUUGUGACAGAUUAUAGAGAAAAUUAGACACUGGGAAAAUACCAAGCCAGGAGCCAUGUCAAGAGCUGCUUUCUUGUUAAAAAUUAAGUCCAAUUAGAAAAUUACAGUAGCGCGUAAGAGAAAUUGAAAGUGGUGUUGAGAAGAGAAAGAGGAAGAAUGAUGUGUUGGGAAUGAGAUGUAAUACCUUAUUUAUUAAUACACAGGGGAUGUGGGCAAUCUUGGGCCAAUCAUCUCCUUCCUCCUUCGAGUACCUUUGUGUUAGAUGUGGGCAAUCCCGCACAUACACUCGUGAAAGGGUGUCAGGCAAUAGUCCUUCCGUUGGCAAAAUCGAUCGGAGCUUAGGGCAACUGUAGAUUUCUAGCUCUUCAAGAGAGGUGAGGGUUUGGAGAGACAGGGAGGCUAGGGAUUCCAGAUUCUGGAAUUCUGAAAGGGUAAGGGAGGAGAGAGUUGUAGGAAAAAUAAUCGAGUGGGGGUCAUCCGAAAAGGAAGUUGCAUCUGGAAACAUGCCACCAAUCCAGAGGAGUUUAAGAGAGGUGAGUCUGGAAAGGCCCCAUUGGGAUAGGGGGGUCUUGAUAUUCUCAAAGUGAGAGAUCUCGAGUGAUGUAAGAUGAGUGAGGGUGUUGAGGCAAUCUGGUAGGGUUUUGAGAUUAGGAUACCUCUCGAUGGUUAAAGAUUGAAGUGAAUUAUUAGUAGAGUGAAACAUCUCCUCUGAAAUUGACUCGAGGUGUUCACAAUCCUCAAUGUGAAGUUGCUCAAGGGUGGAUGGAAACUUGCCUCUUGGGAAGGAUGUGAGAGAUGGACAUUUACGGAUUUCCAAGGCUUGGAGAGCAGCAGCAUAUGUGGAAUCGUAGUGCAUUAUUCCCUCUGGUAGAGACUCUAGCCUUCUACAAUCAAUUAUACUGAGCCUCUUGAGAGUGGCGGGUAACCCACCUUUCGGUAAUCCAAUAAGAGAAUGACACCUAUCUAUCAAUAAGUCUUCAAGGGCACACAUGCCCAUCAUUCCUUCUGGAAGAGACUUGAGAUUUUCACAAAACUCUAUCUGUAGUCUCUUAAGGGUGGUGGGUAAUUGCCCUUUUGGAAAGCAAAUGAGAGAUGGACACCUGGAUAUCACUAGCUCUUCAAGGAGACACAAGUUGUUGCUGUCAGUACUGUCGUUCCUCAUCUUCAACAUCAUGCCAUCAGGUAGACUCUUUAGACCUUGACAAUUCUCAAGAUCAAGAUUUCUCAGCAUUGGUGGGAAACCUACAUCUGGAAAUGACGCUAGCUUUGGACAAUUGCUGAUUGUCAAUUCUUCAAGGCAUGUUAGACUCUGCCAUCCAUUUGGAAGCCUCUCUAGUUUAGCACAUCUAUCUAUUUCCAAAGACUGAAGAUUGCAUCCCAAGGAUACAAGUUGGUCACAAUCUCUAAUCUCAAGAGAAUGAGAGUUUUCCGAUCCAAAACCAUCCUCCCACAAAUAUACGAGUUCUUCGCAUGCCCAUACUUUCAAAACCCGAAGCCCUUGCAAAAAUUGCACAAAUCCUUCAUGCAAUUUGAUAAGCCCUGAAAUCCUAGAAAUUGUUAACUCGGUGAGUGAGGUGAGGUCAUUUCCACUGCUCAAGACCGCCUCAUUACAUCUUAUUACUUGUAAUUCCUUCAGCAGUGGAAGUCUUGAACGUGGAGACUCCAAUUUUGGACAAAAGACAACAGAGAGCUUUGUAAGAGAAGGUAGGUAAGUGGGUAGUUUCAUAAUCAAUUUGCGGCAACCCUGAAUUGUAAGCUCAUGGAGACAAGGGAAUAAUGACUCUGUUGAGGAAGACCAAUCCUCCCAGUGCUCCCAUUCUGACAUGCUAUAAAAAUGUAGAGACUCUAGUGAUGGGAAAAACUUACCUGCAGAAACACGAGUCUCUCCAUAAAACUCUGCACCCACUUUUUUUACUACAUCCAUUCCUUGGAUCCUCAACUGUUUGAGCGAUGGCAACUGCCCCAAGCAUGGUAAAGACGUGCACUUUCUGCAAUCUAUGAGACGUAGAUCCACCAUCUUAGAGAACAAGGCACCCCCUAUCCAACGUGGGAAUUCUGGACCACCAUACAACUGAAUGCAGAGUUUGUUCAGAUUCGAACAUGGUUGUAGAGAGUCAAGGACAUCCAUUUGAUUCCUUUCAUUCCCUGAACCAUCCAACUCAGAACUCCACUGCAUUAUCAAGCUUUCAAGGUUACGCUUCGAACAUGGUUGUAGAGAGUCAAGGACAUCCAUUUGAUUCCUUUCAUUCCCUGAACCAUCCAACUCAGAACUCCACUGCAUUAUCAAGCUUUCAAGGUUACGCUUCGAUUUUAAAUCGGCAUCCCUUGCAUCUUGAAUAUUCACCACAUUUUCCAAUUUCGAAAUGCAAAGUUCUCCUCGCAGAUGUGACAUGUCCUUCAACUCCUUGAUUGUCAAACCGUUGUUUUUGUCCACAAUGAAAUUAGACAAUAUCCGCAAAUCUUUUAGUUUGCCCAUUCCUAUAGGCAUUUCUUGUAAUUUUAUUGCACCAGCAACGUCAAGAUGUCGAAGAUUGAUUAGGUUACCGAUGGUAAUAGGCAACUUGAUAAGCUCUUUACAACAUGAUAAUUUCAAUGUCUGAAGGUAAAAAAGAUUACCAAUUGAAUCGGGUAACCAUUUUAUACUGGUGUGGGACAAAUUAAGGUAUCUCAAAUGUUUCAACUUACCAAAUGAAUCUGGUAUCUCACUUAUCUUGUAAUAAGCCAAUGAGAGCACCCUUAAGUGCCCUAACCUUGGUAUCAAUUCUUCAAGCACCUUAUCACUUAUGAAGGAAUGAAGUCCACUAGUUAAUUCAUCAAUCGGCAAAGCUAUGAACGUGCGCAAGCGCUCUUUCUUAUGAAACGUUUCAAAAUUUUUAAAGAUAUCAUAGCGAUGACGGAUGAAUGAUGAAUGACGAGUAUUUUCAGGAACGGAGCGUUGCAAAUCAUCCAAAUGCAAGCAUGUGUCUCCAGCAAUAGAUUUAGCUAGAUCGUUGAUAAGGUCAUGCAUAACGAAUCGUGAUUUAUUGCUAUUGGACGAUUGGAAAAAUGACCUUGACAAUAGUUCACAAAAAUAAUCAUCACCAAGAUCUUCCAUUUUCUCAUCCUCAUUUGAUUGUUGAAUUAACCCCUCCGCCAUCCACAAGAGGAUUAGCUCUUCCUUCUUAAACUCAUAAUCUUGGGGAAAUAAUGCGCAAUAAGUGAAACACCUUUUUAAAUGUGAAGGGAGAUGAUUGUAGCUCAAUCUCAAGGCAGGGAUGAUGUCACAUUCCUUGUCUGUGAAAUCCCAUACUUUGCUGUACAAUACUCUUUCCCAUUCACACUCACGUAGUUUUUUAGAGCGCAAAAGGCCACCAAGGGCUCUUGCCGCUAAGGGCGAACCUCCACACUUCUCUACAAUUCUCCUGCCAAUUGAUUCCAAAUUUGGGUGCUCAUCGAUAUUCAUAUGUUCAAAAGCAUGUGUUUGAAAUAUCUUCAAACAAUCAUCAUAAGGUAACUGUUUGAGCUCAUGUAAGAUCUUGUGGCCUCUCAUCAUGUUUGCAACAUUAUUAUUGCGAGUUGUGACUAGAAUUUUGCUUCCCUGUGCUCCCACCCAGAAAGGGGAGCAUAGCCUGUCCAACUCAUCGUAAUCAUCAUUCCAUAAAUCAUCCAAAACUAUCAGAAAUUUUUUUCCCUUCAAUUCCUUCCUCAAAUUUUCUUGAAUUUCAUGCAAGUCUUGUGAAUUACUGCUUUGAGAAUUAGUCACCAAGUUGAGAAUUGUCUCUGUUAUUUUCUUUGCAUCGAACUGAACUGAGACAGUAACCCAAGCUUUUUUAUCAAAAUGCUUGGUUAUGGUCUUAUCGUCAUAGUACACCAGUUUUGCCAGUGUGGUCUUGCCCAUCCCACCCAUGGCCACAAUGGAAACUACAGAAAAAUUGGUUUUAGUGGGUUCAUUCCUAAGCAGCAUACCAAUUAUAAUCUCUUUUUCUGUCCCCCUGCCAUAGACCUGAGGUUCAUAGACAGUGAAUGGCCUUCCACAAGCAGAGUUGGUUAUCGCAGCCACCUUUUCUAGACGAAGCUCAGAUUUUUGAGCCGAAAUAUCUCGUAAGCGGCGAGUGAUUUCCCACACCUUGGACCUCAUGUUAACAUUAGGAUUGAAAAUGCGAAGACAAGUGGAGAUGAGCUUGCGUACCUUGCUCGGCCUGCCUUGAUGAUCAGCUUCUUUGGCCGUGAGCUCCCGUUGCAAAGCUUCGUAGGCGAACUCAUCCAAGAUGUCCUCCAUAUCAUAAGCCAAAUCUUUCAGAUUGCCCAGCCACUCUUUCACAGGGCGAUCCGUGAUCUGCUUGUCCUCCGCGUCAUUAAGCUCUUCACGAAUAUCCGACAAUUCUCUCUCCCAUUUCUUGAGAUCAGAGUACACCUGUUGGCGUGCAAAGUCGAGCAAAUCAGUGGAGGCCAACUUGUCAAACAAGAGGCCGAUGGCAGCAGAAAGAAGAGCGUCUCCCACAGCCUCCAUGGUUGGUUUGUACUUUGUUUGGAGAGAGAGAGAGAGAGAGCAAAUCAAGCCGUGGGUAAAAAAGUGAAGCAGAAAGAAGGGAGUCUGCUCUGUGAAGGCUUUAAAUAUUAGAAACUCAUAAAACAUUUGUUUUAUGAAUUUAUUAUAUGCACCCAUUUUCAUUUUAAUUAUUUUGAGAUGAGUCCUAUUCCUCCCGUUGAGAGAGAGAGAGAGAGAGAGAGAGAGAGAGAGAGAGAGAGAGUUAUUGCUGUGAGCCGGCAUGCAACAACCUUACAGUGUAGCAAUUGUUCAAUUUUGACAGUGAAGGAGAGAGAGAGAGAGAAUUAUUGCUGUGAGAUGGCAUGCAACAACUUUAAAGCGUAGCAAUUAUUGAAUUUUGACCGAAAGAGAGAGAGAAAAUUAUUGUUGUGGGAUGGCAUGCAACAUCUUUAAAGUGUAGCAGUUAUUGAAUUUUGACCAAUUAUGUUAAUGGGUUAUAUCCUCAUCCCAAGUUCCCAACCCAUCUUGAUUACUUCAAAAAAAAUUUAUUCCGUCCCAAACCUGUACUAGAGUAGAACGGGGUCGGAAUUUUUUUAGAAGUUAUAGUCAUCCUAUCUUAUUUACUAUUUUCUGUUAUUUUUAUUAUUUUAAAAUUUUGUUUUUAUUAAAAUAAAUGUAAUUUAUGAGUAAAUAAAUUAUUUUUCAUAAAUUUUAUAUCCUACCUUGAUAAAAAAUAAAUUUACAACUUCAAUUUAAAUAUGUUUAAAGAAGAGAAAUGGAAAAAAAUAAAUUAUAUUUACUUAAUUUUAUUUAUAAAUGAGAUGGAUUGAGAUAAUAGUUAGAGUUUGUUUGAUAAUUAUUCUAAAGAAUGUUUUUAGUUUAAAAAAUAAAUAAAUUAAGGGUAUGUUUGAUAAUUAUUUUCAAAAAUAAUUUUUGAGAAUAGUUGUUUUCUAAUAUUUUAUAGAAUAAAAGUCUGUUUAAAAAUCUAAAAUAUUUUUUAUUAAUUUUUAAUAUUUUAAAAAUAAUUUUUAUAUAUGAUAUUUUAUUUUUAAUUAUUUUAUAAAUAAAUUACAUUUAAGUAUAAAUAAAUAAAAAUUAAAUACAUAUAAAUUAAAUUUAGGUUAAUAUUAUGUGGUUGUUUUUAGUGGACCACCAACUAUUUUUAUAUUCCAUAGAGAACUUACUUUCAACACCAUAGAAUCACCCUAAUUUUAAAUUGAGAUAUAUUAUCUUAAAUUUUAAAUUUUUUAGGGCAUGAACUAAAUCUAUAUUUUUUCUUAAGAAUUUCUAUUUUUUUUAUAUGGAAGUUUUUACCAAUUUUUGUUUUUAAAAACAAAAAAAUAAGUACUUAAAGUGUUUUUUAUAGUGAUUUUAAAAAAUAUUUUUAAUUUUUUUAAUAUUUAAAAAAUAAAAAUUUUAGAGAUUAAAAAAAUUAAAAAUAAUUUUUAAAAUCAUUGUAAAGCCCACUAUGAUAUUAAUUUCUUCUCAUUAUAUCCUUUCAUUAGAUGCUUUACAUGGUUUUUAAUAAAUAAAAUUAUAAUUAUAUUGAUGGAGGCCAAUUAUCUUUGCUUUAGGUGAGAAAGUAGAGAUAAGAUUGAAAUGGGCCCACAUAUAAAACAAGAAUGAAAUCAAAAGUAAAGAUGGAGAUAAGAUUGAGGUGGGUGGACCAAAUAAAAAGUAGGAUAUGAAUUGACAAAAGCUUCUACACUCUUCCCAAAAAGUAAAAGCAAAGCCUAUUAGCGUGUAAAGUGAUGAAAUUAGUCCUAUUCAAGGCCCUACUUGCAUAUUUGAUAUUUCUAUGAAUUUUUAUUUAUUUAUUUUAUUAAACUAGUCUAAUACGAAGACUUUUAAGUUAAAAUUAAUUUUUAAAAAUGAUAUUUAUUCAUUUAUUUAAUAUGAUAUUGUACACAUAUUAUUAGAAUUUUCUAAUAUGAUGCCAAGGACACUUAUGAUAAGUGUUUUUUUAUUUGAUUUAGGCAAAUACAACUUGAUAUGAUUUUUCAAUGACUCGAAUUCAACUUUUUUUCUUUUUUAGGGAUUUGAAUUAAUUAUAAUCAAUUUUAAAUCAAAGUUGCAUCAAUCUAUUAUAUAUCUAGUUUAAAGUCAAUGUACAUAACACAUAUUUAAUUUGAAUUGACUUAUUUAAUGAUGAUACCGAUAAACCUAAUGAUAACUCUAACUUAUUUAACUCAUAUUUGACAUAAUUAAUUUUUUUUCUAAUAAGUAUAUCAUAAUUAAGUCAUAAACAACAUAUUCAAUUAGAAUAGUAGCCACAUAUUAUGUCAUUCAACAUUUAACCCGAUUUGAUUAUUAAACAACAUCUAAUUAUUAAAUAGGUUAUAAUAUAUUACUUUGUUGAUAAUUACAUUGUGUUUGAGUUUAUGUUUUUAACCUUGAUUGUUAUUCACGUUAUAUUUGGAUUGAGAUAUUUAGUUGAGUAUUUAAACUUUAAUGUGACAUAAAUACAAUCCAUCUAUUGAGAUAUUAGAAAAGUAAUUUUGAUCAAAAUUAAUAUUUAAUGACUUUAAGUAAAUUUUAAAUUAAAUUAUAUCAAAUUAUUAACUUGAUUUAUUAAAAUUAUUGUUGAUUUUAUAUUAUAAUAUUAAAUUAUUUUAUCAAAGAUACUGAAUAUUCUUAAGAAAUUAAAUUUGAUUUAUCAACAUCCUCUAAUGUCUUCUCAAUUUUUAAUAUUUAUUUGAUACACAUUUAAUAAGAAACAAGUCAAAAAAUUUCAAUACAAGCAAGAGUUGAAAGAAAGCGGAAAGAAGAGCCUCUAGCUUCCAUGAGAGAGAGAGAGAGAGAGAGAGAGAAUUAUUGCUGAGAGAUGGCAUGCAACAACUUUAAACUGUAGCAAUUAUUCAAUUAUGAGAGAGAGAGAGAGAGAGAGAGAGAGAGAGAAGAACUUUACAGUGUAGCAAUUCUGAGAGAGGGAGAGAGAACAACUUUACAGUCUAGCAAUUAUGAGAGUGAGGGAGCGAGAGUUAUUGCUGUGGGAUGGGAUGCACCAACUUUAAACUGGAGCAAUUAUUCAAUUUUGAAGUGUAGCAAUUAUUGAAUUUUUGACCGAGAGAGAGAGAGAAAAUUAUUGUUGUGGGUGGCAUGCAACAUCUUUGAAGUGUAACAGUUUACAGUGCAGCAAUUGUUCAAUUUUGACAGUGAGGGAGAGAGAGAGAGAGAGAGAGAGAGAGAGAGUUAUUGCUGUGAGCUGGCAUGCAACAACUUUAAACUGUAGCAAUUUUGACCAAUUAUGUUAAUGGGGUUAUAUCCUCAUCCAAAGUUCCCAACCCAUCUUCGUUACUUCAACAAAUUUUUAUCCCGUUCUAGAGUAGAACGGGGUCGGAAUUUUUUUAGAAGUUAUAGUCAUCCUCUCUUAUUUAUGAGUAAAUAAAUUAUUUUUCAUAAAUUUUACAUCCUAUCUUGAUAAAAAGUAAAUUCGCAACUUCAAUUUAAAUACGUUUAAAGAGGAAAAAUGGAAAAAGAUAUUAAAUUAUUUUUACUUAAUUUUAUUUAUAAAUGAGAUGGAUUGAGAUAAUACUUCAAAUUUGUUUGACAAUUAUUUUAAAAAAUAUUUUUGAAAAAAAUAAAUUAAGGAUAUGUAUGGUAACUAUUUUCAAAAAUAGUUUUUGAGAAUAGUUGUUUUUUAAUAUUUUGUAUAAUAAAAGUUUAUUUGAAAACCUAAAAUAUUUUUGACCAAUUUUUAAUAUUUUUAAAUAUAUUUUAAAAAUAAUUUUUAUAUCUAAUAUUUUAUUUUUAAUCAUUCUAUGUUUAUAUAUAUUAUUUUUAAAAACAAUCAUUAAAAAAUAAAUAAAUAAAGUAAAAAAACAACUAAAAUAUGUUAUUUAAAAGUACCCUGUUUUUUGUUCUUAAUAAUAGAAAAUGGAAAACAAUUUUUUAUUAUCAAAUGUGUUUUCUUGAUUUUUUAUUCAGAGGAACAAAAAACUAUUCUUGAAAAUAGUUGCUAAACAAGCAUAAGGUGUUAGACAAAAUUUUAAAAAAAACUUCUCCAAAUCUAAAAAAUCAUUUAUACUAUUUUUUUUAGAAAAUCACUUAUAGUGUUUUCUAAAAAAUUAUUUGAUAGAUAAUUUUCUUAAAAACACUUCAAGUAAAAAUACCGUCAAACACAUUAUUAAUAUUAUUUAAUCCAACCUUGGAGUUAAAAAAUGAUUUAUCAAAUCCAACCUCGAUCGGUUUAAACUCUCCCAAACCCAUUCCCAUUUGUAAUAUCUGGUUUUGAAAAAUAAAAAUAAAAACAUAAUUAUGGACCCCGCAUUUCGACUCAUGCAUUUUCCACUCGAUGGCGAGCUCGAUUUUUGUUUAAAAAAUGAUUCUAUUGUUUGAAAAAAUGACUUGGAGUCGCCACUUAUUUUUGUUUUAUUUUUUUUAAAAAGGGUAAACAAAAUAAGAAAGAAAACCCUAAGUGUGACUCCUCAUUUUGGAAAAGGUAAUCUACGAAAGACCGGAUCGGACUUGGGGGUCAGAUUACUUACCAGGAAGGUACGGUAAAGACCAUAGCACCCCUCUAAGUCCCUAAAGUCGGGUCUGUACUAAUAAAAUGAAGCUGACAUGUCAAUCAGUAGGAAAAUCAAUGGAUACUCAAAUUAAUCAUGCACAUAUGAGAAUCAAAACACUCAAUAAAGAAUGAUCGAAGUGGGAAUGGACAUACCUUGGCAUCAAACGAUCAAUGCGCUAUCAAGAGAGCGGGUUAGUGCAUAAUUAAGAAAUAAUCUCAUGCAUGUCAGAGACUAGGAUGUAUGAUAAUCCAAUCAAACAAUCAAUCAAUCAAUCAUAAAGUCACCCAUGUUAGGCCCCCACCAAAACAUGUUUAUUUAGUAUGACUUAAUGUCACAGAUUCCAUUAUUCUGGAAUUAUGAAAAAUUUAUUCAUGCUUAUUGAAAUCAAGAGGAGCAGAAGAUCGUUUGAAAACCAGAACGGAAUUAAAACUAUUCGAGAGAAAACUGGAUUUUUGGAAAUUUAUUUGAAAAAUUGGAAUCUCGAAGAUUACUGGAAAAUUGAAAUUUUAGAGUUUAUUUGAAGAUCAGACUUUUAGAGAUUAAAUGUGAGAAUGUGAAUUUUAGAAAUUAAAUUUGAACGAGAUUGGAAUUUUGAAAAUAAUUUGAGAGUUUGGGAUUUUAAACGAGUGGGUAAGUGGAUGAGUGAAUAAGUAAAGGAAUGAAAUAAUAACAAUGGUGAAAUAAUAAAGAUUAGGUAAAUAAUUACAAAAGAUGGAAUUUUAGAGAUUGAGGAUGUGAAUUUAAAGAUUGAAAACUUAAGAAUUUAUUUAGAGAUGAGAUCUUUGGUAUGUGAAUAACUAAAUAGGUAAAUGAAUGGGAUAACGUUAAUAACGAGAAUAAUCAUUAAACGACGGUAUACGAACAGUGAAGCUUUUGAGAUUGGAAAUUAGAUUUGGAAGUCGGGUUCUGAAGAAUUAAACUUUAGCGAUUAUAAUAAAUAAAUAAAUAUGGAAUAAUAAUGCUAAUUAACAAAAAUAAUACUUAAACGAAUAAUAAAAAAAUGCGCAGUGGGAUUUUUUAUAUUGAAAAUUAAAUUAGGAAGUUGGAUUCUUGAAAAAUUGGACUUUGAAUAAAUAAAUAAAUAUAGGAUGAUAAUUCUGUUUAAGGAAAAUAACAUUUAAACGAAUAAAAAAGAAUAGUGAAAUUUUUAGGGUUGAAAAUUAAGUUCAAUGAUUGAGAUUUUUUAAAAGAGAUAAACAAGUAUAGAGUUUUUAAUUGACGAAAAUAACAUUUAGACGAAUAAUGGAAUUUUUAGGAUUGAAAAAUUAAGUUAGGCCAUUGGAUUUUUUAAUGAUUAGACUUUGAAUGAAUAAAUAAAUAUGAGACAAUAAUUCUAAUUAACAAAAGUGUCAUUUAGGAGGAUAGUGGAAUUUUUAGGACUUGAAAAAUGAAAUUAGGGCAUUGGAUUUUUGAAGGAUUGGAUUUUAAAUAAAUAAACUAAUAUAGGAUAAUAAUACUAACUAACGAAAAUAACAUUUAAAAGAAGAAAAAAGAAUAGUGGAAUUUUUAUGAUUGAAAAUUAAAUUAGGACAUCGGAUUUUUGAAGGGUUGGAUUUUAAAUAAAUAAAUAAAUAUGGGAUACUAAUUCUAAUUAAAGAAAAUAACAUUUAGACGAAUAGUGAAACUUUUAGGAUUGAAAGUUAAAUUAUGACAUUGGAUUUUUAAUAAAUAAACUAAUAUAGGAUAAUAAUAUUAAUUAAUGAAAAUAACACUUAAACGAAUAAAAAAAGAAUAGUGGAAUUUUUAGGGUUGAAAAUUAAGUUAGGACAUCGGAUUUCUGAAGGGUUGGAUUUUAAAUAAGUAUAUAAAUAUGGGAUACUAAUUCGAAUUAAAGAAAAUAACAUUUAGACGAAUAGUAGAAUUUUUAGAAUUGAAAAAUUAAAUUAAAAUAUGGAAUUUUUGAAGGAUUAGACUUUAAAUAACUAGAUAAAUAUGGGAUUAUAAUUCUAAUUGAUGAAAAUAAGAUUUAGAUGAAUUGUAGAAUUUUUAGGAUUGAAAGAUUAAAUUAAAACAUGGAAUUUUUUAAGGAUUAGACUUUAAAUAACUAGAUAAAAACGAGAUUAUAAUUCUAAUUGAUGAAAAUAAGAUUUAAACGAAUUAUUAAAAAAAUUAAAUUAAGGCAUGAAGGUAAAUAUGGGAGGAUAAUUCUAAUUGAUGAAAAUAAGAUUUAAACGAAUUGUGAAAUUUUUAGAAUUGUAAAAUUAAAUUAAAACAUGGAAUUUUUGAAGGAUUAGACUUUAAAUAACUAGAUAAAUACGAGAUUAUAAUUCUAAUUGAUGAAAAUAAGAUUUAGAUGAAUUGUAAAAUUUUUAAGAUUGAAAGAUUAAAUUAAAACAUGAAAUUUUUGAAGGAUUAGACUUCAAAUAACUAGAUAAAUACGAGAUUAUAAUUCUAAUGGAUGAAAAUAAGAUUUAGAUGAAUUGUAGUAUUUUUAGGAUUGAAGGAUUAAAUUAAGACAUAGGAUUUUUGAAAAAUUACUUAAGGACCUUUGUUUUGAAAAUAGAAUGUAAAGUUUAGAAUGUAGUAAAUUUAUCGAGACCAACAUAAGUUAAUUUAUACAAAAAUUUUAUUUAUAUGGUGAUUAGACAUAACUAAAGAAGGGAGAGAUAAGAUAUGAAUUAUUUUAAAUUUUGAAAAGGAUAUUCAACAUGAAUAAUUUGUCUUUUAAUUGCCUUUAAGUUGAGUUAACUAAAUUGGUAAAAAUGAAAUAAGAUAAAAAAAAUAAAAAAUGGAUGAACAAAUUAAUAAAUUAAUAAAAAAUGGAUCUACUCAAAAGAUUUUUAUUAUUAAUAAAUUAAUAAAUUAAUAAACUUUGAAAGAAAUUAGAAUUGAAAAUUAUUUGAGAAGUAGAAACUAUGAAAAUUAAAUAAUAAAAAUUGGAAAUCUUGGAAAUCAUUCGAAGGAUAAAUGAAUAAAAUGAUAAUAAUAAUGAUAAUAAUAAGUAAGUAAUGAAAUAAAUGCGAGAAUUGGAAUAUUGGAAACUGAAAAUUAAGUUCAAAAAUUGGAAAAUUAGAAUUUCAGAAAAUUAAAUUUGAAAAUCGGAAUUUUGAAUAAUUAUUUAAAGACAGAAUAUUUUAAAUAAAUGAAUAAUUGAAUAAAUAAAUGAAUGGAAUAACGAAAAUAAUAACGAUUGGAUAAAUAAUUACGAAGAUGAGAAUUUUGAAAAUUGGAAAUUGAACUUAGGGAUUGAAAAUUUAAAGAAUUAUUUAGGGAUGAAAUUUUAAAUAAAUGAACAAGUGAAUGAAUAAAUGAAUAGAAUAACGAAAAUAAUAAAGGGGAUAAAUAAGUGUGAAAAGUAGAAUUUUAGAAAUUGGAAAUUGAAUUUAGGGAUUGGAAAUUUAAAGAAUUAUUUAAGGAUGAAAUUUUAAAUAAAUGAAUAAGUGAAUAAAUAAAUGAAUAGAAUAUUAAUAAUGAUGAAAUAACAUAGAUUAGGUAAAUAAUUGCGAAAAAUAGAAUUUUAGAGAUUGAAGAUUGAAUUUAGAGAUUGAAAAUUUGAGAAAUUAUUUAAAGAUGAGAUUUUAAAUAUAUGAAUAAGUGAAUAAAUAAAUGAAUGAGAUAAAAAUAAUAACAACAAAAAUAAUCAUUAAAUAACUGAAUGUGAAUAGUGGAAUUUUUAAGAUUGGAAAUUACAUUUGGAAAAAGGAAUUUUGAAAAAUUGAACUUUAAUGAUUGGAAUUUUUAAAAUAAAUAAAUAAAUGAAAUAGUAAUAAUAACAAUGAAAGUAAUAUUUAAACGAAUGAACGUAAAUAGUAGAAUUUUUGGAAAUUUGAAAAAUUGUUUAAAGAUAGAAUUUUUAGUUAAAAUAAAUAAACAAAUAAAUGGAAUAAUGAUAAUAAUAACGAAAAUAAUACUUAAAUGAAUGAACGUGAAUAGUGGAAUUUUCGAAAUUGGAAAUUAAAUUUGGAAGACAGAAUUUUGAAAAAUUGUUUAAAGAUGGAAUUUUUAAAAUAAAUAAAUAAAUGGAAUAAUAGUAAUAACGAGAAUUGAAUUUAGAAAUUGGAAAAUUGAAGAAUUAUUUAGAGAUGGAAUGUUGGGAAAUUAAAUUUCGAAAGUUGAAAAUCCGAAAAAUUAUUUUAAGGAUGGAAUGUCGGAAAAUUAAAAUUUGAAAACUGGAAACCGAAAAAUUAUUUUGAGGAUGGAAUGUCGGAAAAUUAAAUUUCAAAAACUGGAAACCCGAAAAAUUAAUUUUAAGGAUGAAAUGUCGGAAAAUUAAAUUUCGAAAACUGGAAACCCAAAAAGUUAUUUUGAGGAGGGAAUGUCGGAAAUUAAAUUUCGAAAAUUGGAAACCCGAAAAAUUAAUUUUAAGGAUGGAAUGUCGGAAAAUUAAAUUUCAAAAAUUGGAAACCUGAAAAAUUAUUUUAAGGAUGGAAUGUUGGAAAAUUAAAUUUCGAAAAUUGGAAACCCAAAAAAUUAUUUUGAGGAUGGAAUAUCGGAAAAUUAAAUUUCAAAAGUUGGAAACAAGAAAAAUUAUUUUAAGGAUGGAAUGUCGGAAAAUUAAAUUUCGAAAACUGGAAACCCGAAAAAUUAACUUUAAGGAUGAAAUAUCGAAAAAUUAAAUUUUGAAAACUAGAAACCCGAAAAGUUAUUUUGAGGAUGGAAUGUUGAAAAAUUAAAUUUCGAAAAUUGGAAACCCGAAAAAUUAAUUUUAAGGAUAGAAUGUCGAAAAAUUAAAUUUCGGAAAUUGGAAUCUUAAAAAAAAAGUGUUUUGAUAUCAAAAUGUGAAGAAAUAGUAAAAAGAAUUAUGGAUUGUGGUGAUCAUCAUGUGCACGUCUCCGGUAUAAUGGCUAUAAACCCAUUUUAUAUAUUCUUUUCCACCACCACCACCACCAUAACCAUUAAGAGCCAUGCAUGGAUAUCUAUCACUCCCACCACAAACCCAUUUUUAUUUUGCAUAUUCACCAUGACUUCCAGCUCAUAACCCAGCCGGCGCUGUAGAGACUUCUCAUUGCUCUGCCCGUUUGUUUCAUUUCCAUUGGUAAUACUUGAGUUUUCAUGCGCUGAAGGCUUGUGAGUUUCUAGCAACUCUUUUAGCCUCUUGGCGGCCAUAGUGGCUGAACCCGUGUGCGUACGAGCUCGGGAUAGAAUGGAUGAUGGGAAAACUGUGUGAGGGUUGCAUCCUCUAUCCUUACCAUGGCAUGCAGAGGCCGCCGAGUAUGGAAGGCACCAAGGUAGGCAGCAAGCAUGUGCGGGCUGCACAUUACAUGAGAAGGAACGGGAAGAAAUUCAAGUGAAUGAAGCAGUGAGAGUGACAGACUUGAAGGUCGAGCCAAAAAUGGGUAUUAGUGAGAAAAAUGAGUGAUGAGUAAGGGGUGUGAGAGAAAUUAGUUGGAUGGUAUGACGAAAGAUUUAAAGAGGAUGGUGAGAUGAAGGCAUGAGCUUGGUGGAUGGGUAAUGAUGCAUGGUGAGAGAAGUAGUUGUGACGGGUAUUGAAAAAUGGAAGUGGUGAGCAUGGACGGUGAUAGAUGUAGUUGGGGGGAUGGUUUGGCUUGAGAAAAUGGGCAGAAUAUGAAGGCGUUUGGCUUGGGAUUGGAAUUCGAUGGAGAAUGGAUUUUAUGGGAAAGGUUUGGGAAGGAUGCUAAUGGGUCGUGUACAUGAACUGCAGUCACGUGGGAGGAUAUGGAAUAGGCAAAUGUUAGGAACAGGGGAAGACCAGAAAAACAGAGCACAAGGGAUAGGAACAAAAUAAUCCCAUACAAGCCGCGUUUCAUAUCCGGAUCAAUGGGCUUAGGUGAGGGUGAGCGCAAUCAAACGAGUAUCAAAUGGAAGACAAAACAUGAUUGCAUGUAUUUUCAUGAGGAAGCUUAAACAGGACCAAGUUAACAUUCAACAAAAACCAAAUAAAUGAGGAACAUGAACAUGCUAUAAUUCCACAAAACCAACCUGAAGGUCAGCCAAAAUAUACCUGUAGCACUUGAUGUCUAUUCCCAAUCAACAAAUAGCACUCAACAAUCAGCAGAGAAAAGAAAAGAAAAGCAUGCCAGUUGGAAUGAGUUAGAAACCCAUAAUAAUCAUACCUGAAAAACAAUCCUCCCCAAGAAGCCGUGUCGGAUUUCUAGCUGUUCCACUAGUUCCCUCUUUUUCCCUCUAGCUGCCUUUUCCUCAAGUCACCUCAAAAUCACAACCCUCAAGCAACCUGCAACCCUUUCCUUUUUCAGAUUCUUCUUUUCUUUUCACUCUCAGCACCUACUAUAUCCUUCUUCCAUCGGCUUCCUCUGUUUCUCUCGAACAGCUCUAAGGAAAAAAAAAACUCCUCCCUCUUCCUUAGCUUCCCCUCCAAGCUAUACUCUAAAUAUCUCUUCUCUGUUUCCAUCUUCUCCCGCAAGCCACCACCUGCUCCACUGUGCACCAUUCCGCCAAUGCGUCACCCUCCAAACCACCACCAUGGGCGAGCCAUGCAGCUGGUUCUCAGCAUAAGGAGGUCCCCCUCCAAAAAUGCAAGGAAAAGAAAAGAAAACAACUCUGCUCGAGCCCUCACCACACGUCCCAUGCUUCUCGUGUGUCUCCAGAAAGAGGUCCCUCCCCCCUACUUCAAAAAAAUGAAAGAAUUCCACUCUCCCGAGUGGUCCUAAAAUAAAAGAAAAGCUAUCCAUUUUUUUGAGGGGUCUACAACUUUAUUAUUACAUUUUAUUUUUUGUUUGAUGCUUUAAAUAAUUUUUAUUAAAUAAAAUUAUAAUUAUAUUGGUGGAGGGCUAAUUAACUUUGUUUUUAAGCGAGAAAGACAGUGAUAAGGUUGAAGUGGGUUUAAAAAAAUGAAAUAAAAGAAUGAAAAAAAGAAAAAGAAAAAGAAGAUAGAGAUAAGAUUGAGGUGAGUCCGUAAUUAAAAAAAAAAUGAAGAGUAGGAGAAAAAGUGACAAAAGCUUUUGCUUUCUUCCAAAAAAGUAAAAACAAAGGUUAAUGACAUCAUGUUAUCAAACUCUAUACAAGACCCUACUUGAAUAUUUCUAUGAUAAAAUGAAAUCAUUUUUUUGAACCCAAAAAUCCAAAUCCAACUCAUUUAUCUAUAUACUUUAUUGGCAUGGAAUGGGAAAAGUUAUAAAGUGAAAGAAAAUUUGAUCAUAUGAGAGAUUUUCCAAAGUUGGAGCCAAUUCAAUGCUUAGUGGGUAUAACAAAAAAAAAAUGUGGAAAUUAAAGUGAAACAGCCAAAUUUUUAAGGUUUGAGGGGAUGUCACUGCACCUUCCAAAUAACUGUCUAAGAAUGUGAGAUGUCAUUGCAUUGAAAAUUGAUAUUAAAUCUCAUAAAGUAACUAUAAGAAUUGCUUUACUUAAGUAAUAAAUAUAUCUUGCUUUUUCAUAAAGUUUAUGACCCUAAGUGAAUAAAAUUUUUAGAGUGGGAUGAAUGCAUUUCACGUGAGUCAUGUCCUAGAUAUAUUUUUAGAAUUUUCUAGCAAGAUAUUAAGAGAAACUUUAUGGUGAGUGUUUUUUUUUCUAGUUAAGGUGGGUACAAUUCGAUGUCAUUCGUAAACAUAAUUCAAACCCAAUAUAUUUUUUAGGUGUUUGAAUUGAAUAGAUUUGUAUUUAAUUUAAAUUCAUGUGAAUAUAUAUAAUUCAUUUAAUAAAUAAAUUAUUUUUAAAUUAACUCAGAUAACCUACAUUUGACUCGAAUUAACUUAUUUAAAAAUGGUAUUGAUUAACCUAAUAAUAACUUUAAUUUAUUGAACUCAUAUUUAACUCAUUUAAGAUUUGUUUUUCAAGUAGUAUGCCAUAAUUGGGUUAUUAUAUAAUAUUAGAACAUUAAGGAUAUUAUUUCAUUCAACAUUUAACUUGAUUUGAUUAUUAAACAUUAUCUUAUUAUUAAAUUGGUUAAACAGGUUAUGAUGUAUCACCUGGUUAAUAAUUAUAUAGUGUUUGAGUUUAUAUUUUUAAUUCUGAUUGUUAUUUAUGUCAUGUUUGGAUUGAGUUGUUUCGUGGAGUAUCUAUACAAGACAAACACAAUCCACCAACAUAUUAAUAAAAAAUUACGAGAUAUUAGGAGAGUAAUUUUGGUAAAAGUUAAUAUUUAAUGAUUUAAGAUGAUUUUAAAUAAAAUUAUAUUUAAAUGGUCAAGUCAUAUCAAAUCAUUAACUUAAUUUAUCAAAAUCAUUUUUGAUUUUAUAUUAUAGUAUUAAGUUAUUUUAAUGAUCAUACUUAAUAUACUUAAGAACAUAAAUUUAGUCUUAUCAACAUUCUCUAAGGUCUUCUCAAUUUUUAAUAUUUAUUUGAUACAUAUUUAAAAGCAAACAAGUCAAAAUAUAUUAUCUCAAAAUUUCUAAUUCAUACUCGUACAAGAUUUUAAAAUUCAUUAAUUAAUUUGAAAGAAAUUUGUUUUGGAACAUGCAAGUGAUGGACAUAUCACAUAUCUUAAAUUUUUAACUAAAAAACCUCAUAACAAAAUAAUUUGAUGAAUGUUUUUAAGUUUAAAAAACUUAGAACCAUUUCACAAUGAUUUUGGGAAGUUAGAAAUGUUUCCAAAUGCUUGAAAAUGUUUUAAUAACGAAAAUUAAACAUUUGAUAAAAAUUAAAGUUCACAUUCUAAGUAAUUGAUAGUGCUUCUUAUAAUUUUUUCUUUCUUUUCAUUAUAUAUAUAUAUAUAUAUAUAUAUAUAUAUAUAUAUAUUAGACAUUGAAAAGGUUUCACCAAUUAAAUGGUGUCACAUAUACAUUUUUUGUAUAACAUGAAUUGAAAAAUUUUCAUCAAUUAGGUGGUGUCACACAUAUAUUUUUGUCUCAUAGUUAAUACCAUUGUACCUUGGCCACAUUUGUUUAUACCUUUGUUUAAUGAUUAAGAUCUCACUACAUAUAUUUAAUGGUUUACAUCUAGACUUCGUCAGGUACCACUACAAAACCUUAGUAUUAUAUAUACAUAUACAUCAUACUAACUAGUUUUUUUUUUUUUAUCAAAACACUUACAAUAGAAAUGCUACAAAUUAGAAGUGUUUUUAUCAAAAUAGUUUCCAAACCAACCAUAAUAUUUGCAUUAGCUUUAACAUAUAAUAUCUUUUACUUUAGUUGUUGAUAUAGCUACAUAUAAGACCAACCAUUCAUAUGAUAAUUAUUAUGGAUCUUAUUUUAAUUUGAUAAAAAUAUCUACCCAAGCAUUACGCAAAUAGGGAUGACAAUGGGGUGAAAUAUAGACAAGUCAUUCCUAUCCCAACCUCACUCCAUUUAUUCAAAAUAAUUCUCAUUCUCGUCUCAUUGAAGAAAUUAAAUGGAAUGAGGUAGGUAUGAGAAUUUCCUGUACCCACCCCACCUACCUCUUUUAAUUUCUUUUUGAAAAUUUUUAAUUUUUUUAAAAUUAUUUUUAAAUUUGUUUAAAUACAUUAAAAUAAAUAUAUUUUAUAAAUAAUUUAAAUUUUAAAAUUUUUUUAUAACUUAUUAUUAUUAUUUUAUUAUUAUUAUUAUUAUUAUUAUUAUUAUUAUUAUUAUUAUUAUCAUUAUCAUUAUUAAAAAUAGGAAAAUAACAAUUUAUAUCUAAUUGAGGCAGGACAAGGUAAUAUCUAAAUAUACCCCAAACUUGUCUCGAGUUUUAAAAAAAUUCUCAAAAAUGCUUUUAACUCGUUUAUUUAAAUUUCAAAUCCAUCCCAUUAGGGAUGGGGUGAAAACCCGUCUCAUUGUCAUCUCUAUAUGCAAGUCAUAAAUAUAUAAUAAGAAAAAUAAUAAUAAAAUUAGUAUCUAUUUAGAUAAACUUCUUGUUUUUUGUUUUUAAAAUCAGAAAAUAAUAAUAACUUUUAUAUAAGAUAUAAGGAUACUUAUAUUUAAAAAAAAAAUAGUUUUAAAAAUCAUUUAAAAAUUUAAGGUAUUAAAAAAAUUUUACUAAACCAAAUUUUAAAAAAUUUUAAUGUGAUUUUUAAACAUAUGACAUAAAUUUAUAUUUUUUUGUAUAACAUGUUCUACUUUCAUAUAGAAAUUCUAAUUUAAAAAAAAAAUAAUAGAUGUAUUAAAUGGACACUUUAGCUUCUUAUUUUUUUAGUGGUUCACCUUGCCCCUUAGAUAAGAAGAUUAUGAAAAUUUUCAAUAAUUAUGAAAAAGAUAAAAGUGAAAGACUUUUGACAAAAUUAUGUGUGAGAUGGUGUGCAUCAACCUUAAUUUGGACAAUUAUGUUAAUGGGAAGAUGUUAUCCUCAUCUCAAUCACUAGCUUUAAAUUGUAGUACUUAUUGUAUUUUGGAUAAUUAUGUUAACGGUCAUGUCAUCCUUGUCUCAACUCAUGUUGAUAAUUUAAGUUAUAAGUUAUAGUCACCAUGUCUUAUUUAAACUUUUAUACUAUUUUUUAUUAUUUUUAAAUAUAAAUCUUAUUAAAAUUAAUAUAAUUUAAGAGUUAAUAAAUUAAUUUUUAUGAAUUUUAUAUUAGCAUUGAUAAAAAUUAUAUUUUCAAUUUUAUUUUAAACAUGUUCAAAAGGGGGAAAACGAAAAAAGAAACUAAAUUAUUUUUAUUGAAUUUUAUAAAUAAAAAUGAUUUAAUUUUAAUUUUUAUUUAAUUUUAUAAAAAAAUUCUCAAAUAUAUCCCUAAUUUGUUUGAACUGGUCCUAAAUCCUUCAAUAGUUGUCAUCUCUAAUUUUGACCAUAUAAAAAUUAAACCAAAAUAUAAGAAGGUUGAGGAAUAUCAAAUAUAAAGAGAGGUUGAAAAAAUUUAUAAUGCUUAGAGGUUUUUUUCUUACAAAUAGAACUUGUUUGGUCAUGUGAUUUAAAAAUAGUGCAUUUUUUUUUUUUUAAAAUAAAAAACUGUUUUUAAAAUUUUCUAACAAUGUUUGACCAUUGUUAUCUGGAAGCAAUUUUUAAAAAUAAGGUGAAAUAAAGAACAAUUUUUCGAGAACAAAUAUAAAUUGUUUUUAUUGAUUUUUAAAAACAAAAGGAAAAUAUGAGCCCAUUUGACCAUAUUUUCUUAAACUUGUUUUUACACACUUUUUUUUUUUUAAAAAAAACUUUUUAGAUUAAAAACAUUUUUUAGAAUCACUACCAAAAUGAUUUUAAGUAUUAUCUCACUUCACCUCAUUUAUAUAUAAAAUUAAGUAAAAAUAAUUUAAUUUCCUUUUCCAUUUACCCUUUUUAAUCAUAUUUAAAAUAAAGUUACAAAUUUACUUUUUAUUAAGAUAGAAUAUAAAAUUUAUGAAAAAUAAUUUAUUUACUCAUAAAUUACAUUUAUUUUAAUAAAAAUUAAUAUUUUUUUUAAAAAAAAAAGCAAAAACAAAAGGUGAAUUGAAGUAGUAAAGCUCGUUCGUAAAAGAAAAUAAAGAGGAAAAUUAGAAAAUAAUAAUAAUAAUAAUAAUAAUAUAAAAUAAAUUUAAAUUCAUAAUUUAUUUUUAUAUUUUAUUUAAAUCUUAUUUUAUUUAUAAAGAUUAAAUGAAUCUAAAAAUACACAAACUUUUAAUUAAUUUUAAUUAUAUAUAACUUAAAGUAAAACUAAAUAUUUCAUUAACAUUUUUUCGUAAUACUCUUGAACAAUCAAACAUAACUUAAAGCACUAAAAAAGUAUUUAUAAAAAAUUUCAGUUUGAUUGUGAUAAAUGUUAAAUUAUUAAUUUUCUUAAAAGUUUAAACUUAUAAGAUUUGAGUUAGUCCCCUCCCUAACAUACGAUCUCAUUUCAUAGAAUUGCAAAUGACAAGACGGGAGAGAUACCAAAUAAUUGUUACAGCUUAUGAUGCAGAGCCAGGAGCCCCAGUUGGACCAGAGCAUCCAGAGAUUCCACAUCCAUAGCAUCUAAAGGAGUCACAGCUAGUUGAAAUACCUGCUGACAUGAGAGCACCUGCCUUUGAAGUGCCCUCUACAGGACUUAUGCUUGAGGUUGCACCCUCUGCUCCUCCUGCCACACCAGGGACUCCGCCAGUUGUACCAGCUACAUCAGAGCCUCCUCCUCCAUUUGAGUCUAGGAUAGCCAUAUCCAUUUCCAAGUUCAGAGGCCUAUGUCACACUUUGCAGACAUUGAUCACUUCUAGCUCAGAGCAUCCUGACUCAACAGAUGACAGCCAUACGUGCCCAUCAGGAUCAGCUUAUCGCCACCUAUACCCAGCAUACUGCCAUCCUUAGGCAGAUACAACAGCAUCUGGGAGGUACCACUUUCUCUCUAUAAUUUCAAUCGCUCUUGCCACAUUGAAGACAAUGUUUAGCUUGGUUGAGGGGAAGAGAGUUGAGGAAGGAAGUUUUUAUUUUAAAUGCUAAGUUAUUUUGGUAAUUUAGUUGUUAAUGCUUAAUUUUAAAAAAAAAUUCUAGUUUUUAUUCUACUCUCCAUGGUUAUUAAGGAAAAAUUCUCAAAAUAAAAUGAGAGAAAUUGAAUUUUUGUUUUUCACUUGACUUAGAGUUUGUAUUAUGCUUACUAAAGUUGAUAAAUUGUUGAAAUUUCUAUUGAAUUCAACCUUAGUUCUUCCACUUUAAGCUAUUCACACAUUGUGCAUAAUAGGUUCCAAGUAUAAGAUGAAAAACUAUUUCCCUCUUGACUUAGGAAAAUUUUAGACUUGGUACCUUUGACCUCAAUUAAUAGUGUUGGGACACCUUAUAAAAGGCCAAUGAGCCUUUGGAAAAAAAAGAAGAAAGAAAAAUGUUUGCUUACCUUGAAACUUGAGCAAGGUUUGAGGGAUAUAUGGUGAAAAUCUUUAAAACCUGGUGCCCUAAGCCUUAAUUGGUUGGAAGUUACCGACCUCAAUGCUCGUUACAAGGGUGAAUAGGUGGAGUUUAACAUACUGUAGGUGCUUGGGUAUUAAAAAUUCAUUCUCAAGUCUGGGGUAAAAUCCGAGGAGUUAGUGGUUGAAAGAUCCUUAAAGCUUGAUGCCCUAAACCUUAAUUGGUUGGGAGUCAUUGAUGGACCCCCAUUACAUGGAAAAUUUAGAAAAUGAUACCUUUAAGCCUUGUACUCUUACAAUGAAAAAAAUUCUGAAACAAAAGGGUGCGUUCUUAGCCUAUUGAAUUUUGUCAGUUUGCUAAGUGUUGAAAAAGAACUAGGUUGGGGGGAGAGAUUAGUUUAGCAUACUAUAUUCAGAAACUAUCAAGUAACACUUAGAUUUUUGUGGAAGAGUAAGGAUUGGACCUUUGAAAGUGGAAACAAUUUUAAAGCUUCAAUUUGCAUAAUGUCUUCUCUUUAUGAAUUGUGAUUAGGCAAGGUAUUUGAUAACUCUUGUUGAAAUUUGAGUUUUAUAUCUUUAAUGUUCCAUGUGAGAGUUAGAUCAUCAUGCCACUUAAAAUUUUUUUGAAGUGAUCAGUAUGAUUUUGUAAAUUAUAUUACUGUUUGUUUUACUUUUUCUCCCCUUCAUUGCUAAGGAACUAGCAAUAUGUCGGUUGUGGGGAGUGAUUACUACUCAAAAAGUGUUAUUUUGUAGCUUGUAAUUAACUCUUUUAAACAUCUUUGAAUAAUAGUUAUUACCUUUUAACUCAAUUGGCAUGUUAAGGACCCUUGUAAUCGUUUUUAAUCAAAUUGUGUUAAGUUUUGGUGUUUUUGAUAGUAUUUUGAUCACCAAAGCAAUCCAAGAUUGAGGAGAGUUAUAUAGAAUCCAUGUAAAAUCAAUUGAAAGCUCAUUUACAUGAAGAAUCCAAGCUUUGAAGCUUCAUAGUCAUUUGCCAAAAGCAAAUCAUGAAUACAAGGAGGGAAAGAAAAGAGAGAAAUCUAACAUGAAGAAUUCAAGAGGACAGAAACUGUUGGACAUAUUUAGAGCACUUUCUAGAGUCCAUUUCAUGCGUACUAUAUGUUGUUUCGAAGCUCAGGAAGUCAGGAAUCCAACGCUUUAAACAGUACAUGAAUUGGAGUUGAAAUGAAAAAGUUAUAGCCAUUGGAAGCCAAUCAUACCAAGCUAAAGGCCAAUUUCGCAGCUGCGAAAUCAACCUUUGGCUGCGAAAUCACAAGGUGCUCGCUGCGAAAUCAACAUUUGGCUACGAAAUGGAGACCUUCAGCUUGCGAAAUUUCACAGCCCAUCUUGCAUGCCUACGAAAUCCACCUGAGUGCUUCCAGAUAUUUGCGACCGACUCUUUUAGAUUUUUUCUUUAGAUAUUUGUUGUUUAAAUCCCCAUUUUCUCCUUGUAAUCCACCAAUCAUAGGAUUCCUUAGUUAAUAAGUAAGAAUAAAGGGUGAAUAACCUCAUAUAUAUAGUUUGUAAUUUUCUUUACAAAAUCGUCUUGGGAGCUUGUUCUCAGAGACAACCGUGUGUAUAGUUUUGAAGGAAGUAAUAUACAGAGCUUUGCUCUGCCUUACAUACUCACUUUGAUUGUAUUUUUCUUACUAGCCAAACAAGCUAUAAAGAUGUUUUCUCAGAGAAUGAGUGGCUAGACUUUUUGUCUCUUGGAGUUAAGGGAGCUGGGUAAGGUGCCGAAUGCAAGAAUUGGAAGUUUUGUUGUUUCAGCUGUUAAUGAAGAGAAAGUGUGACCCGUUAAUGGUUUUUAUCUUUUUAGUAAACUUAAAACGCCGUUAAAUCACCUAGGCCAACACUUGGUAAGACAAGUGAUCUCCGUCCAUUGAGAUACACUAGUUUAUCUCUUGCGAGCCUUUGGGAGGUGGUUUAAAGGUAGGAUUUUCUAGAAUGGCCAACACUUGGUAAACUUUUGGACUCUAAGAAGACAUCCAUUAGUUAUCUCUUGCGAGCUUGAGAAGGGAAAUCCAAGGUUAAGGAUCACCUUGAAUGACCAAUACUAGGUGAGAGGUAUGAACCAUUGCACGAUGAAUCAGUGAGAGGGAUUUAGUGUUGGAAUCCAUAAAAGGGAAACAUCUGUACCACACCGGUUAGAGAAAUAACUAUAUGUUAAUUCUCCAAUGCGAGGAAAAGAUUCAAGUGACCGAAACUCUGUUUUUGUAUUAGGAACCUAACCCCAGUGAUCCUAAAACUCCAAGAAACGCUUUUCUUUAUUAGUAAUUUUAGUUACUAUUAUUUUUUGUUAGCUUAAAACCAAUCAUUUUUCAACCAAAGAUUAUGUUUUCUUUUAAAGCUAACCUUGAAAUGAAAAAACAUCAAUUCAACUUUGAAUUAAUGUCAAUAGUAAGUUGAAAACCCUUCCCAGUGAACGAUCUUAGAGCCACUAUGCUAUACUAGCUGAGGCUAUCCUAGUACAUGGUGAUAUAGGUUAUAAAUUUUGUUGGUUACUCCUGUCUGAGGACCAAAAUCAAGGUACACCAGCUAGGCACGAAAGUCACAUGGUAUAUUGAUGCACACAGUUUGUGGCACGACAGUUUGAUGAAAUUAUAGAAGUGUAGCACUCAUGGGCAUAUCAUGUGAACCUUAUUCAAUGUGGCAUUGACAGUUGGUUUAUAUUUACAUGGGUGUAAUGUCGCACCAGUAUCCUCUAAUGAACCUUGGAUUCUUUUUUCUUUGUUUCUUCUUCUCUUGGUCAAGCCAAACAAUUUGUCUUCAUGACUUUCUCCUAUUACAAAAAAGCAGCAUCUUGUGUUCUCCAUCUCUUCAUCCCUUUGUCAAGACACAACAAUUUGAUGCAUCUUUGCAUUAGGUUGCUUUCUCUCCUUCCCCUCUUCUUUCUCUUCGUCUCAUUGCUUAGUUUUGGCUACUCUGUUUCUUUUGAUCAUUAUGGUAGAGCAUCCUUGCAAGAUGUACAAGAAAUAUGUUGUGGUGCAUUAUCCCCUUCUCUACCACUUGAAAUCUGUUUUCCAUGAUCAUUAAUACCAAGAUGUUUAAGCAUCAAGUAAGGCAUCUCUUGACAAUUAUGCGAGAAAUAAGAGACAAGCAACAUACCGGUAUUCAAGAGAAGUGAUGUUCUACAUUUACAUUUGACAACAUGCAUUUAGUUUGAACUCCAAAUUUGGGCAACUCAAAAUCUCCACCUUCAUUAGGAUUGCAGAAAGUUAGCUUCUUGGAAAAAUGUGGAAAUGAGGCAUUUAGAAAUUUGAAAGAAUCACAAUGGCUUGUUGCUACUUCUGAAUAAUUCCAAGCAGUAACAACUCCAAAGAUAUAUAUAUAUAAAUCUGUCCCUGGGAAAGAGAUCGAUGUUUCUUAGGCAUGCAACCAUCUCUCUUAACAAACUCAGGGUUCUACUAUUGUGUCACGUUUGAAAGCAAUUUAAUCUAUGUUAGAAGUUUUUUUUUAAAUUUAUUCCAUUUUUCUUUUAGUUUUGAAACUUACAAUUAUACAUUGUAAGGUUUCAAGUUUAUCUAGAGAUAUAAAAAGUUGGAGUCGAUGUCUUAGUGGUAGGUUUCAUAAGAAAUGUAGUUAUUCUAUGAAUAUAACUUUGGAUUCUAAUUUUUUAACUUUCUAAUAUUGUAGCUCUUUAGUAGGUCUCAUAGAAAAUGAAAGUUGUGGAAAAGUAUAAUAUGGACUCAAUUUUUUAUUUAUGAGGUGUUGUUACAACACCAUUAAGUAAUUACCUAAAAAUGAUAUGUCGUUGCAUUGAAAGUAAUAUUAAAUUUAAUGGAGAGAUAUCUAAAUAAAAAUAUCACCUAAUUUUUAAAACAAUAUUAUGAUCUUACUAUUAUGUCAUGCUAGAAAACAAUUUAGUUAUUUUGUGUUAGCAUUUUUUUUGUACAUUAUAUUUUUCUUUUUGUUUUGAAGCUUGCAAUUGCAAAUUGUAAGGUUUCAAGUUCUUUCGAAAAUAUGAAUAGUCGAAGUCAAUGUCUUAGUGAUAGCCAGUAGGUUUCAUAAGAAAAGGAAUUAUUCUAUGAAUAUACCUUUGAAUUCCAAUUUUUGAACUUUCUAAUAUCUUAGUUCAUAGUGGGUCCCAUAGAAAAUAAAAGUUGUGGAAAAGUAUAAUGUGGACUCAAUUUUGACUUAUGAAGUGAUGCUACAACACCUUCAAGUAAUUACAUUGAAAAUAAUAUUAAAUUUAAUGGAGAUAUAUCAAACAAAAUUANNNNNNNNNNNNNNNNNNNNNNNNNNNNNNNNNNNNNNNNNNNNNNNNNNNNNNNNNNNNNNNNNNNNNNNNNNNNNNNNNNNNNNNNNNNNNNNNNNNNNNNNNNNNNNNNNNNNNNNNNNNNNNNNNNNNNNNNNNNNNNNNNNNNNNNNNNNNNNNNNNNNNNNNNNNNNNNNNNNNNNNNNNNNNNNNNNNNNNNNNNNNNNNNNNNNNNNNNNNNNNNNNNNNNNNNNNNNNNNNNNNNNNNNNNNNNNNNNNNNNNNNNNNNNNNNNNNNNNNNNNNNNNNNNNNNNNNNNNNNNNNNNNNNNNNNNNNNNNNNNNNNNNNNNNNNNNNNNNNNNNNNNNNNNNNNNNNNNNNNNNNNNNNNNNNNNNNNNNNNNNNNNNNNNNNNNNNNNNNNNNNNNNNNNNNNNNNNNNNNNNNNNNNNNNNNNNNNNNNNNNNNNNNNNNNNNNNNNNNNNNNNNNNNNNNNNNNNNNNNNNNNNNNNNNNNNNNNNNNNNNNNNNNNNNNNNNNNNNNNNNNNNNNNNNNNNNNNNNNNNNNNNNNNNNNNNNNNNNNNNNNNNNNNNNNNNNNNNNNNNNNNNNNNNNNNNNNNNNNNNNNNNNNNNNNNNNNNNNNNNNNNNNNNNNNNNNNNNNNNNNNNNNNNNNNNNNNNNNNNNNNNNNNNNNNNNNNNNNNNNNNNNNNNNNNNNNNNNNNNNNNNNNNNNNNNNNNNNNNNNNNNNNNNNNNNNNNNNNNNNNNNNNNNNNNNNNNNNNNNNNNNNNNNNNNNNNNNNNNNNNNNNNNNNNNNNNNNNNNNNNNNNNNNNNNNNNNNNNNNNNNNNNNNNNNNNNNUCCCAAUCUUUCCCACUUCGUCCAAACUUUCCAAGAUCUAAACUUUGUACAUGUUCUCUUCUUUUCAAUUAAAAAUUUUUAAAUUUUCAAAUUCAAAUUCCAAGACAAGCUAAUAAAACCCUAAAAUUAAUAUUAAAUACUAAGUGAAUUAAGUCAAGUUGGUAGCUAAAUUGAAUCUAAUCCGAAUUACUUAACCUAAACUCAAGUCAAACUCAUUUUUAUAAGCUGAAGUUAGGUUUAAAUUAACUAGGUUAUACUUUUGGUUCAAUUGAAUUGAUUAGACUCUAUGGAUCAUAAUUAGGGUUUGCAAGGUUGAGUUAGAUUGAACCUAUUCAUAAUUUUUUUUUGUUUAACUUCUUUUAUAUCAUAAUUUAAAUAAUAAAUAUGAUAAUAUUAAUUAAAAAUAAUAACAAAAGAAAAGAAUCACCUUGGAAUCACUCUAAUUUCAAAUUGAGGUUUCCUACCUCAAAAUUUUAAAUUUAAAAAAAAAAAAAAUUUAAGUGCAUAAACUAAAUCUAUAGUUUUUUUUUCGUAGGACUUUUUAUAUUCCAUAUAAAAGUUUUUACAUAGAGACAAGUAAUAAAUAUAUCUUGUUUUUUCAAUAAGUUUAUGACCCUGAUUGGAUACAAACAUUAUAGUGGGACGAAUGCAUCUUCACUAGAGUUAUGUCUUGACUCCUAACAUAAUUUUAGAAUUUUUAAGGAAAACGACAAGGAAACCUUAUGAUAAGUGCCUUUUAUUUAGGUAUGGUGGGUAAAGUGAUACCAUUUGUUAGUUGUUUUAUUUAUUUAUUUAUUUUUUUUAUGGAUUUAAUUGAAUAUAAUUUGUGUUUGAUUCAAAUUUGAGAUGAUCUAUAUAAUUUAUUUAAUAAAUGAAUUGUCUUUUUGGUUAAUUUGCAUAAUACGACUCAAAUUGACUUAUUUAAUAAUUAUAUUGAUUGAUCAAAUUAUAUUUUUAACUUAUUUAACUCAUCUAAAAUUUGAUUUUUGAUAAGUCAUAAUUGAGUUAUAAACAUGUUAGGUUAGGACGUUAAUCAUAUAAUAUCAUACAAUAUUUAAUUUGAUUUGAUUAUUAAAUAUAAUGAAAAUUAUGAAAAUUUUCAUGGAUGAACUUCUCGUAUGAGAAAACUAUGAAAAAGAUAAAAAGUACUAGAGGUGGAAAAUAAGACUUUAGAAAAAAUUAUUAGUGUGAGAUAACAUACACCAACUUUAAAGUGUNNNNNNNNNNNNNNNNNNNNNNNNNNNNNNNNNNNNNNNNNNNNNNNNNNNNNNNNNNNNNNNNNNNNNNNNNNNNNNNNNNNNNNNNNNNNNNNNNNNNNNNNNNNNNNNNNNNNNNNNNNNNNNNNNNNNNNNNNNNNNNNNNNNNNNNNNNNNNNNNNNNNNNNNNNNNNNNNNNNNNNNNNNNNNNNNNNNNNNNNNNNNNNNNNNNNNNNNNNNNNNNNNNNNNNNNNNNNNNNNNNNNNNNNNNNNNNNNNNNNNNNNNNNNNNNNNNNNNNNNNNNNNNNNNNNNNNNNNNNNNNNNNNNNNNNNNNNNNNNNNNNNNNNNNNNNNNNNNNNNNNNNNNNNNNNNNNNNNNNNNNNNNNNNNNNNNNNNNNNNNNNNNNNNNNNNNNNNNNNNNNNNNNNNNNNNNNNNNNNNNNNUUUUCUAAAAAUUGUUAUUUAUUUAAUUUUAUUUUUAAAAAUUGUUUCAAGAGAACAACCAAAUGAGGUGUUAGAAAAUUUUUUAAACAGAUAUUUGUUUUAAAGAAACAGCUUUAUAUAAUUAUGUCUCAUCAUUAUACAUAAAUGAGGUGGAGCAGGACAAUACUCAACCUCCUACCAAAACCAAGCCGAGUUUAAAAAAGAAUACUUCAAUCCUUCCCUCAUAUUUUUUAAACCUCUCAUAAGCCCAUCCCUAGUUGUCAACUCUAACUUUUACUAUAAAAAUAAAUAAAUAAAUAAAUAAUCUUUCGUAUACCAUAAAAAAAAAAAGGAAACUGUAGUAUUAAAUAAACAUUCUUCUUUCAAGAAUCAUCUUCUUUUUUUAAUUAUAUAUCUUAUAACUACAAAUAUUUUCAAAUUACAUUUUUGGUUUGUUUCUAAACAUUUACCACUAUCAAUGGAAGCAUUACACGCUAAAAAUACAUUUAUGAGAAUUAAUUCCAUAAAUUCUAUUUAUCAAGUUUUUAUUUGCUUUUUUAUACUAUAAUCUUCAUAAUUGUGUGAUUCAUAUUUCUAAAGCAAACUAACAAACCUAUUACGUGUAAUCUAAUAAGUUACAUUUCUACAUUUUUUCAUCAUUACACACUUAUGUUCUCGAGAUAUAAUCUCUCAUUGCUAGGUUUCAUAAGAAAAUGAAUUAUUCUAUGAAAAUGACUUUGGAUUCCAAAAUUUGAACUUUGUAAUGCCUUAUCUCAGUGGUGGGUCUCAUAGAAAAUGAAAGUUGUGGAAAAAUAAAAUGUGCACAUAAUUUCUAAUAAACUUGGACUUUUGGCUUCAAGCACCCUUUAUAAUCUUCAAGAGAUACCCCACUCUUGAACAACCUCUCAAGUGAUACCCCACACUUGAGAAUCUUCCUCUCAAAGAUAUACAAAUAAUUGAUCUCACAAAAUCCUAGUACAAAAACUUUAAGCUCAAAUGAUACAAGAAAACUAGAAUUGAAAUGUACACUAAUGAUAUGCAAGUUUUAGAACAAUGGUGCACUCAAAACACUCUUCCAAGACUCAAAUAUAUUCAAGAAAGGUUUGGGAAGGUUUAGUUCCUGAACAAUGAAGAUUUGAAACCUUUUUAUAGAGGAAAAAAACCAAACAGCCAUUGGGGGUUUGACCAAUUGAGCUGGGGGUCGACCAGUUGACUAGCCGUUAGCAUUUAAUGCUUGGCAUGUGACCAUUAGACCUUAACUAGACCUUGAUCGGACCUCGACCGGUUGAGGUGUGGGUCGACUGGUUCCUCAUCCGGUUGAACAACCAUUCUAGAAGAGAGAAAAGGUUGUUUGCACCCGUCAAUCGGUUGAGCUAGCGGUUGACCGAUUAUUGUUCACACCCUUGACUAGUUGAACUGGGGGUCAACCUACUCCUAGACCGGUUGAGCUGGCGGUCGACCGGUUCCUCAUCCAGUUUAACCGAUUGAGCCGUUUUUGGCUCAAGAACCAACUUUUUCAACUUAAAACCUUUUAAACAAGUUUGAAAAACAUUUAACACAAGGUUUUAGUUGAAAACAUGAAAUCAUCCAAUUUUAAAAUAUUUAAAGCAAAACAACUCUUGGAUGAUUUUGGUGCAUAAGUAAAAAAUGUAAUACAUGAAAAUCCUAGUGCACCAACAACCUUACAAAGAGAUAUUAUAAAGCUUGAGUCUUGAAAAACACUUCUCUUUGAGGUGGUCUUCUUCUUCAUGAUUUCUUCUUGGCUUGAUUUGUCUUUGUGAUUGCCAAUUUGGAAAUCGUUUUGCCUAAUCACACUUAAAAUAUAAUUAUUAAUUCUAAACCUUUUUUUGUUAUCAUCAAAAUCGAGAUUAAUCAAAUAUUGGUUUCACAAAUAUAACAAACUAUAUAUAUAUAUCAAUUUAAAAAUAAAAAUAAAAAUAAAAUAUAUAUUUUUUACUUCUUAUAUAAUUUUUUAGAGUUUGUCUUAAUAUUUUAUUAUUUUUUACUUGAUCGAUAUUUUGUGUCAAAAUAUCCAUCAAUAUAUCUCCUAUAUAUUUGAUAUAUCCGUAAAAUCGAAGUACUGAUAUAUUUGUAAUUAUCGAUAUUUUCAUCAUUGAGUUCAUUGCAUGGUCUCUGUGUUCUAUUAUUUACUGGAAAUGCUUCUCAUUAUAUGUUUUCAAAUGUAUUGGUUUCUACUAACUAUGAUAUAUGCAAAGACGUUAGCUGAGGAGGCUUCUUGGAAGUUUGCAAAAGUGAAUGGGAUUGACAUGGUUACAAUACAUCCAAGGUGGGUGAUUGGUCGUCUCUUACAGCCUACUCUUAAUCUAAGUGUGGAGGAAGUUCUGAAGCUACUAAAAGGUACCCUUCAGCAAUUGAUGAGAAUCUCUAUUUUAUGUUGAUCUUUCUACUUCAAUAUCAAUUUAUACUCAUAAUAAGUAGAUAAAAUGCAAUUAAAAAAUCAACAUUAUUUUCUAUUUUUAAAUUAUAAAUAAAAAAAUUAUAUUAAUAAUUCAAAAACUAUUUUGGAAAAUACUUUCUAAAAAAAUGUUCAUAAAUAAAAAUUAUCUUUUACAUUUUAGAAGUAAAAAAUUUAAUGAUUAAAACACUAUUUAAAAUAAAUAUAUUCACUAUUUUCUUUUCUUUUAUACUAAAAAGUAUUUUAAUAUUUUUUUUACUAUUAUAAAAUAAAAGGUUUAAUUUUUUUUUGUUAAAUUUUCUUCCUUCCUUAUUUUAAUAACUUUUUGAAUAUGGCUUUUAGUAAUAAGUUAUAUAAAAUGUUGCUAAGGAUUUUCUUUUAAUGAUUUGAAUUAAUUGAAAAUUUAUCAAAAUAAGAAAAAGAAAAAGAAAGAAAGAUGAUGGAUGGAGAGUUUUUAUUUUAAAUAUUCAAUUAAAUUUUUUUCCUAUGACCAAAUUUUAGAAAUGAAUUAUAUUAAUACAGAGUAGAAAUUGAAAUUUUCUUAUAUAAAAUGGUUGAAAGAUAUAUUUACUCAUUUUAUAUGAAAAUAAGUAGUUAAAAAUUAUAUAGUUAUGUUUGACUUUGGUUUAAAAAUAUUUUUCUAGUUUUUAUUUUUUAAACUAAUUUUUAUUUUCUAUAUUGUCUCUUUUUAAAAAUACGUUUGAUUACAAAAUGAAAACUAUUUUUAAAAAUAAAAAUUAAAAGCCUUAUUUAGUUCUAUUGUUUUAUAAGAAAAUAAUAAAAAGAAUUAAAUUUCAUUUAUUGAUUCUUCUUUUUUAUUUUUUCUAUUAGUUGUUUUAAUAAUAAAAUAAAAAAUAUAUAAUAUGUUCAAAAUUAAACAAAGGAAUUGACCAAUUGUGUAAUUUUUUCACAAAAAUAUAAUAUAUUCACAAAAAAAAUCAAAUUUAAGUUUUUCGCAAUUUUCUCAACCAAACUACAGGAAUCAUGUUUAAUACACCUAUAGGCACGCAUUCACUACAUGAUAUGGAAUUUGCGUAAUUAUACAAGGGUAUUCACUAACUGUACAAGGGGUAUACAAGACUACCUUUUAUAAAAGAUUUCAAUUGAUUUUGAACCACCUUUUUAUUUUCCUUGUCACCCAAAGAUUGCAUACUCAUGUCAUGCACUUUAUUUAAUUUUUACAUGAAAAUUUCAAUACUUUCCCCAAUAUUGAUGUUUGGGGAAAAAAAAUUUGAUCCUGAAUGAUCUACCCUUUUCUCAAGUAAAUUAUUAGAAACAUGGUUGAUACACUUAUGUGGACACAUGACUUAGGAGGAAUAUGGAAUUUGUACCACUGUAUAAUGGUAUUACACUAACUGUACAAAGAAAAUGUACUAAGUGUACAAGGGUGCACAAGGCUACCUUUUGUGAAAGAUUUCAAUCAAUUAUGAACUAUUCCUUUAUUUUUCUUAUCACCGACGAAUUGUACACCUAUGUUAUGCACUUUAUUUAAUUCCCACAUGGAAAUUCCACUUACUUUCCCCAGUAACGAUGUUUGGGGAAAAAAAUUUGACUUAUGUCAUCCACUAUUUUCUUAACCAAACCAUUGGAAACAUGGUUAACAUACCUAUGUAAACACAUAAUUUAGGAGGGAUAUGAAAUUUGUGCCACUAUACAAAGGUGUUAUAUUAAUUGCACAAGUGAAAUGCACUAAGUGUACAAGAGUGUACAAAACUACCAUUUGUGAAAGAUUUCAAUCGAUUCUGAACCACUUCUUUAUUUUCCUUGUCACCCACGGAUUGUACACCUUAUGUCAUGCACUUUAUUUAAUUCCCACAUGAAAAUUCCAAUACUUUCCCCAGUAAUGAUGUUUGGGGAAAUUUUUUUAACCCUAAGUCAUCCAUUAUUUUCUCAAUUAAACCAUUGGAAACAUGGUUAAACACAUCUACGUGGACAUAUAACUUAGUAGAGAUAUGAAAUUUGUGUCAUUGUAUAAGAGUAUUAUACUAACUGUACAAAAGAAAUAUACUAAGUGAACAAGGGUGUACAAGAUUACCCUUUGUGAAAUAUUUCAAUUAAUUCUGAACAACUUUUUUAUUUUCCUUGUCACAUAAGGAUUGUACACUUAUGUCAGACACUUUAUUUAACUCCCAUAUCAAAAUUCCAAUACUUUCGCAAUAAUGAUGUUUAGGAAAAAAAAUUUGACCCUAAGUCAUCCACCAUUUUCUCAAUCAAACCAUUGAAAACAUGAUUAACAUACCUACAUAGACACAUAACUUAAGAGAGAUAUGUACUUUAUUUGCGUAACUGUACAAGGAUAUUAUACUAAUUGUACAAGGGAAAUGUGUCAAAUGUAUAAAACUCUUAAUAGGUUUGUAUGAUUUUUAAACAAUUUGGGCUUGACAUUAAGACGAUUAUCAAUAGUUUUUUUUUACCAAACUAUGUCAUUAAUACUUUCCCUACAAAAAUUAACACAUAGGAAAUAAAAUUAAAAUCAAUCAUGUUUGAAUUGUUCAUUAUAAGUAAACUAAAUGAAAUAUAUAUUUUUACUAUUUUGCCCUAAUAAACAUAAUUUUAUUGUUAUUAGUACAGAUUAAAAAAUCCUAUUUAAAUGGAAUUAAAAAUAAACAAAAAUGAUUUUUGUAACAUUUUUAUUUUUUAAAACCAUUAAUUUAAAUUAUGAAAUUAGUUUUAAAAUAAAUAAAGUUUAAGUGGUUAAAUCAUAUCAAAUCAUUAACUUGAUUUAUCAAAAUAAUUUUAUAUUUUAUAUUAUAAUAUUAAGUUAUUUUAUCAAAUAUACUUAAUAUACUUAACAACUUAAAUUUAUGUGGUGUUUGGUUUUUGGUUGAAUAAAAAAAAACCAAAAUAUGUGAUUUUUUUAUUUAAUUAAAAAUAAUCUAUUGAUGUCAACUGGCAUAACUAAAUUGAACAUAUUAAUUACAAGUUUACUUUAGUUAUGUUGAUUGACAUCAAUAUUAUUUUUAGCUUAAUAAAACAAAGUCAAUUUGAUUUUUUCUAUUCAACUAAAAAACAAAUACCGCCUUAAUCUUAUCAACAUCCUCUAAGUUCUUCUCAAAUUUUAAUAUUUAUUUGAUACAUAUUUAAUAAGAAACAAGUCAAAAUGUUUUAUCUCAAAAUUUCUAAUUCAAACUCCUACUAGAUUUAAAAUUCGUUAAUUAAUUUGAAACAAAUUUGUUUUGGAUAAUACAAUUGAUGGAGAUAGUACAUAUCUUAAAUUUCUAACUGAAAAAAGCCUCAUAACAAAAUAAUUUGAUGAAUAUUUUAAGUUUAAAAGAUUAGAACCAUUUCACAAUGAUUUUGGAAAGUUAGAAAUGUUUCCAAAUGCUUGAAAAUGUUUUUAUAACACAAACUAGACAUUUUAUAAAAACUAAAGUUCACAUUCUAUGUAAUUGAUAAUGCCUCACAUAAUUUUUUUUUUCUUUUGGUUAUACAUAUAUAUAGGGUGAACAUACUUUUUAAGUAGGUAUAAAAAAGUUCUACCAAUUAGGUGGGUGAGUAUAUAUUUUUAAGUUUCAUAAUUUGUGCCUUUGUACCUUCACUCUAUUUGUUUAUACCUUUGUUCAACAAUGUAAAUCACACCAUAUAUAUUCAAUGGUCAAAAUCUUAACUUCGGUUAAUAUCACUACACUAUCUUAGUAUUUUUUUUCUCUCUCUCUCUCUCUAUAUAUAACACUAACUACUUUUCUAUGAAAACAUUUACAAUAGAAAUGCUACAUAUUAGAAGUGUUUUUAUCAAAAUAAUUUCUAAACCAACCUUAAUAUUUGUAUUAGCUUUAGUUGAUAUGGCUACUUGAUAAACCCAACCAUUCAUAUGAUAAUUAUUCUAGAUCUUACUUUAAUUUGAUAAAAAUAUCCACCCAAGCAUCACACAAAUCAUAAAUAUACUCCAUGUCUAUUUGGAUAAACUUGUUGUUUUCUGUUGUUAUGUUUUUAAAAUAUGGAGGGAUAUAAGAAUUCUUAGAGAAUUAUAUUAAAAAUAAAAUAAUAGUUUUAAAAAUCAUUUAAAAAUUUAAGGUAUUAUACUAUUUUUUUAUUAUUUUUAAACUUAAAUUUUAUUCAAAUAAAUAUCAUUUAUGAGUCAAUAAAUUAGAUUUCGUAAAUUUAAUAUUUAGUAUUUAUAAAUAUAAAAUUUUCAAUUUUAUUUUAAACAUGUUCCAAAAGGGGGAAAACCAAAAAGGAAACUAAAUUAUUUUUAUUUAAUUUUAUAAAAAAAAUUCUCAAAUAUAUCCUUAAUUUGUUUAAACUUGUCCUAAAUCCAUCCAUAAUUGUCAUCUCUAAUUUUGACCAUAUAAAAAUUAAACCAAAAUAUAAAAAGGUUGAGGAACAUCAAAUAUAAAGAGAGGUUGAAAAAUUUUAUAAUGCUUGGAGGUAUUUUUCUUACAAACAGAGUCUGUUUGAUCGUAUGAUUUAAAAACGGUUUUCUGUUUUUAAAAAUAGAAAACUAUUUUUAAAAAUUUACAACACUGUUUGGCCAUUGUUAUCUGGAAGCAAUUUAUAAAAACAAAGUGAAAUAGAGAACAAUUUUUAGAGAACAAGUAUAAGUUGUUUUCAUCUGUUUUUAAAAACAAAAGGAAAAUAUGGGUCAAUUUGACCAUAUUUUCUUGAACUUGUUUUUUUUAAAAUAUUUUUUAGAUUAAAAAUGUUUUUUAAAAUCACUACCAAAAGGAUUUUAAGUAUUAUCUCAAUCCACCUCAUUUAUAUAUAAAAUUAAGUAAAAAUAAUUUACUUUCCUUUUCCAUUCCCCCUCUUUAAUCAUAUUUAAAAUAAAGUUACAAAUUUACUUUUUAUCAAGAUAGAAUAUAAAAUCUAUAAAAAUAAUUUAUUUAAUCAUAAAUUAUAUUUAUUUAAUAAAAAUUAAAUUUAAAAAUGAUAAAAAUAACAGAAAAUAUAUUUAAAUAAGAUAGGAUGACUAUAACUUCUAAAAAAAUUCCUUGACCCCAUCCUACUCUGGUACAGGUUUGGGUCGGAAUAAAAAUUUGUUGAAGUAAUCAAGAUGGGUUGGGAACUUGGGAUGAGGAUAUGACCCCUUUCACAUAAUUCGUCAAAAUUCAAUAAUUGCUAAACUUUAAAGUUGUUGCAUGCCAUCUCACAGCAAUAAUUUUGUAGGAGGUCUUUCCACCUCCACUUCUAUUUGCUUCAUUAAUUUGUUUACACAUUGCUUUGCUUUCUACCUCUCUCUCUCUCUCUCUCUCUCUCUCUCUCAACAAACCCCUCCUUACUUGUUUAAUCUCUUCCAAAAACAAAUAAAAACAAUUAAUUCUAACUAUUCAAAAGUUAAAAGUUAAUAUUAUAAAUGUAAACUUAAAUGCAAGCAUAUAAAAUAUAUAUCAUAUCAAACUCUAAAUCUAAAUCAUUAAUAUAUUUAUCAAGUCCAAAUUAUUAAAUAAAAAUAAAAAUAUAUAAAAUGGGGUAUAAAAAAAUAAAACUAAAGCAUACAACAAAAAAAUGAUAUUUAGGUACAAAUAAAUAAAAAUUGGAUAUAAAUUAAUAAAAUCUAAAUCAAAGUGUUAGAAAAUCAUGUACAUAGGAUUUCAUAAUUCUAGUUUAAUGAACCAAAAAUAGAUGUACAAAACUCAUCUUGAGAUAUUAUGAUAGAAAUCACCUUACAUAUAUUGUUUGCAACGCUGCAUCACUUUAGUAGCACCUUGUCACCUUGUAUCGGUAUUAACCCCUUGUAUCUUCCCUCUCUUUACUCUCUCAUUCUUAAUCUUUGUAUAAAUGAUAGGAAAUGAGAGAGGGACCAAGAGCUAAGGCCAUUUUCUUUAUUUGUACCUUUGUUUCCUUAGUUUCUUCCUCUCUUGGUCAAGCCAAACUGUUCGGUUUCUCCAUUUCUUCUUCACCCCACUGCAUUUUGGGUUCUCCCUAUAACGGAAGCAUCCUUAAAUCAAGAAAAUCCCUCAAAUCAAGCAACAAAAAUGACUAUAGAUUUUUAGCUUUCAUUCAAGGAUGUAACAAUCCUUAUUUUCCUUGUAAUCGAUAGCCUUAAUUCUAGGAAACUUACUUAGAAUUGCUCUUGUUAAUGUGUAUUUAUUUUUUCUCAUACAAUCUCUUGUUAUGGUGUAAUAUUUUUCAAACAGAGCAGUAAUACAUUAUUGAGAAAUUCUCAAACUCCAUCAUGGUAUUAGAGCAGCCUUCCUCUCACGAGAACUCGAUCCCCAAUUCUGAAAACACCCACCACCCGAUUUCCACUCCACCAUCCCCAACCAAUAUUCCUAUCAUUGCUCUCAACAUCUCUGCUCAAAUAAAUGAAAAACUCACACCAUCAACCUUCCCUCAAUGGCGUGCCCAGUUUGAAUCCCUCCUAAUUGGCUACAAUCUACUUGAUUAUGUCACGGGUGACAAUCCUCCUCCUCCUCCGAGUGAUUCCUCCGCUACCAAUCCAUAGAAUACCCACUGGAUAAGACAAGAUAAACUUAUCCCCAGUGCCAUUUUGGCAUCCACCACCUCCACAAUCACCCCAUUCAUUUCCGUUACACAAACAUCACAACAGGCAUGGCAAAAAUUGCAUACCAUGUAUGCGAGCAAAUCUCGUACUCGGGCCAUGCAAUUGAAGGAGGAACUCACAAUGAUUAAGAAAAGGAAUCAGACAGUUCAAGAAUACCUGCACAUUGUCAAGGCUCUUGUUGACAAAAUCUCCCUCAUCGAUCAUCUCAUUGCAGAUGAUGAUCUCACCUUGUACAUUCUCAAUGGACUGAGCAGUGAUUUUCGAGAAAUCGCGACACCUAUAUGAGAAAGGGAAAAACCACUCGCGUUUGAAGAAUUGCAUGAUCUGCUCGUAGGCCAUGAUGCCUACCUCCGACGCCUUGAAACCACCACACAACAACUGGUUGCAUCGGCCAACUACUCCAAUCGGCAUCCUGCUUCUUCAUCAGACGGCCAACACUCUAAAGCUAACUUCAAUGGGCAACACAAAUACACUCUAAAGUGCCAAAUCUAUGAUGAACUGGGCCACAUUGCAAGACAUUGUCCACGUCUGCGCUUUGUUGAGCCCACUGCCAAUUAUGUUGCCACUUCACCUGCAACAAACCCAAAAUGGCUUAUUGAUUCUGGAGCUUCACACAACAUUACUGGUGAUUUAGCCAAUUUAUCUAUUCACUUUGAGUACAACGACACUGAUGAAGUUGUCAUAGGUGACGGUUCAGGUUGCAUGUCUCACACGUUGGCUCAUUGGUUCUCAAAUCACCCACACACACUUUUCAUUUAAAUGAUACUCUUUAUGUUCCUAAUAUUCACAAAAAUCUCAUUUCUGUCCAUCACUCCACCACACAAAACAAUGUUUUUGUUGAAUUUCAUCCCUUGUUUUUCCUUGUUAAGGACAAGAUCAUGGGGGCGGUUCUACUCAAAGGUGCAUGUGAAAAUGGCGUUUACACUCUCCCAGAUUUACUGGUGCAAGAUUCUCAAAAAAUGGUUGCCAAUGUGCAUGAACGGACCUCAAUCAAUGGGUGGCACAAGCGUCUUGGACAUCCCUCUAAAAAAAUAGGUCAUCACCUUGUUAAGAAUUUUUAUCUUCCAAUAAUACAAAAAGAACAUAGUUCUCAUUUUUGUACCUCUUGUUCUAUUACUAAAGCGCACAAACAACCAUUUCGGACCAAUAGCCUUCAAAGCCAUGCACCUCUUGAUUUAAUUUAUACUGAUGUUUGGGGUCCCUCAAAUACAAUUGGUCUUGAUGGAUCACGGUAUUAUUUGAUUUUGGUUGAUCAUUUUACAAAGUAUAUUUGGUUUUAUCUAAUGGAAACCAAAUCUCAACUAAGCAUGAUAUUUCCUCAAUUUAAACAUCUCAUUGAAAAUCAAUUUCAAUCAAAAAUCAAAAGUAUCUACUCGAAUAAUGGUGGUGAAUUUGUUGCCUUAAAAAAAUAUUUUUCUAUACAUGGCAUAAGUCAUUACACCACAGCUCCUCACACACCACAACAAAAUGGUGUAUCCGAGCGUCGUCAUCAUCAUUUGGUAGAAACGGGUCUUACCCUUUUACAUGAUGCUUCUUUACCUUUAUCAUAUUGGCCUUAUGCCUUUUCAACGUCUACUUACCUCAUCAACAAACAACCAACCCCUCUCCUACAUAACAAACCCCCUUUUGAAGCAUUAUUUCAUCAGCCCCCCAACUAUCUUAAACUAAAAAAAUUUGGGCAUCUAUGUUUUCCUCUCACCAAGCCCUAUAACACACAUAAGUUGCAGCCCAAGGCAACACCAUGUUUGUUUGUGGGCUAUUCCCCAACCCAAAAUGCGUAUAAAUGUCUUGAUCCACAAGCCCAUAAACUAUAUUUAUCUAGGCACGUUCUGUUUGACGAAAGUCAAACCCAUCAUCUCCUCCGUUCAGUCGAAACACAGGUACCAUCCAUGUCCAUUUCGCUUGCCCCACCUGUGCCACUCACACUUUUGCCGCAACCACCGCCAGUGCCAACGAAAGGUAACGCCAUUUUCGCCUCAUCUCCAAGUAACUGCCUCGACUCAUCUUCUUCUCUUUUUCGAGACAUGCAAUCCCUAAAUUCAUGCCCUAAUUCCUCUCAAUCACAUGAACACUUGCAUUCUAACUCAAAUUCACACACCAAUCCACUCUCAGAACCCAUGGUUGUCCAUGAUCACCAUCACAGUGACCCUCCACUGCCUCCUUCUCACCGCAUCCACACCAUGACCACUCGGUCAAUGAAUAACAUUCAUAAGCCCAAACAGUUCAACUCUGUGACCAAACACCCACUCUCACCAAUCGUUGAACCAACAUGUGUGGGCCAAGCACUUCGUGAACCUCACUGGAGACAUUCUAUGUCAGAUGAACUUACUGCUCUCAUGCGUCAUGGCACUUGGGAUCUAGUUUCCUAGCCCAAAAAUUGUAAUCCUGUUGGGUGCAAAUGGGUAUUCCGUGUGAAAUGAAACUCGGAUGGUUCAAUUGACCGCUUCAAAGCUAGGCUUGUUGCUAAAGGAUUUAAUCAACGAGAAGGGUUAGAUUACAAAGAAACCUUCAACCCAGUUGUACAACAUGCAACAUUAGGACUGUCUUGACAGUGGCUGUAAUGCAGGGGUGGUCAUUAAGACAGUUAGAUGUUAACAACGCUUUUUUACAUGAUGACUUGACUGAGACUGUGUAUAUGACACAACCACUAGGAUUCAAAGAUGUCAACAAGCCAAAUCAUGUGUGUAGGUUAUGUAAGGCUAUCUAUGGCCUUAAACAUGCCCCAAGAGCUUGGUAUUCAACUCUUAAACUGACAAUUAUGGGUCAUGGUUUUUAAAAUUCCAAAGCUGACUCAUCUCUUUUUAUCUAUUGUUAGAACUCUGUCAUAUGCUAUAUUAUUAGUAUAUGUGGAUGAUUUGGUUAUCACCGACAAUAAUUUGUGCUUUGUGUCUGAGAUUGUUGCACAACUUGGUAAUUGGUUUUCCUUAAAGGACAUGGGACAACUCAACUUUUUCUUGGGAAUGGAGGUUAUUUCUACAAAAUCUGGGCUUUUUUUUUCUCAACAUAAAUAUAUUCGAGACCUAUUGUCCAAAACCAAUAUGAUUGGUGCUAAAGAUGUCUCAACCCCAUUGUCCACCACCACGUCCCUCAAAUUGAUUGAGGGUACUUCAUCUACCAACAGUAUAGAGUUUCGAAGUGUCAUUGGUGCUCUUCAAUACCUGUCCCUCACUAGACCGAAUAUCUCAUUCUCUGUAAAUAAACUUUCUCAGUUUAUGCAUAAGCCUACAGUGACACAUUGGACAGUUGCAAAGCAACUUCUUCGCUAUUUAAAGCACAUUAUGUUUCAUGGACUUCACAUAAAAAAAAAAAAAUCCAGCUUUGAACUCAUUACAUAUUCUGAUGCGGAUUAGGCGGGCAACUAUGAUGAUUGGACCUCCACCUCCGCAUAUAUCUCAUUUCUUGGUGUCAAUCCUAUCUGCUGGAGUUCAAAGAAGCAAAGGGCAGUGGCACGUUCAUCCACUAAAGCAGAAUAUAGAGCCCUUGCCAAUGCAGCCUCCGAGACAUCAUGGCUUCUCUCAUUAUUCAAGGAACUAGGUCUGCUUUUAUCUAGACAACCCAAGUUGCUCUGUGAUAAUUUGGGUGCAACUCACCUCAGUUUUAAUCUAGUCCAGCACUCUUGAAUGAAACACAUUCAGAUUGACCUUCAUUUUGUCUGAGAUAUGGUUCAAAGUGGCAUUCUAAAUGUUCAUCAUGUUAACACCUAGGACCAGUUGGCUGAUCUUCUCACAAAAGGCCUCUCACGCCAAAGGACAGAAAUUUCAAGGGACAAGAUUGGCUUAGCCGAUGGCAGCUCCAUCUUGCGGAGGCAUAUAAAGGAAGCAUCCUCAAAUCAAGAAAAUCCCUCAAAUCAAGCAACAAAAAUGACUGCAGAUUUUUAGCCUUCAUUCAAGGAUGUAACAGUCCUUAUUUUCCUUGUAACCGAUAACCUUAAUUCUAGGAAACUUACUUAGAAUAGCCCUUGUUAACGUGUAUUUAUUUUUUCUCAUACAAUAUCUUGUUAUGAUGUAAUAUUUUUCAAACAGAGCAGUAAUACAUUAUUGAGAAAUUCUCAAACUCCGUCACUUCCAUCUCUUUGUCCUCAAACAAUUAAGACACAAACUUUGAUGCAUCUCUGUCUUGGAUUCUUCCUGUCAAAAGGAACAGUUGAAGUACCUCCAUUGCUUCUCUAUUUCUUUGAGUCAAAGGACAAAGUCUGCCUUUCUCUGUUUCUUCUAAUCAUUUUCAAAAUGCAACAUUGUGAGAUCUACUAAUCCUAAACUUGUUUCUCAAAGAAUCAAAAUCAUAAAUACCAAGAUGUAUACACAUGCAGGUAACACGUCCUCUUGACAAUGAUGUGACAGGUGUAGUAGACAAGGAACAUACAUACCUGUAUUCCAAGGAAGUACCAGUGCAUUUGAUGACAUUGUUCUAGCCUAAAUUCUAAAUUUUAGCAAUCCGAAAUCUGUAACUUCUGCAAAAUUUACCUAGUUGUUGAGGGAACAACACAUCUUCUCUUACCAUUUUCAUCUUAUGCACUACAAAUCCCAUGUCAACUGCCACUUCCACUAGACCUGAAUGAAGUAGGAACACAAAUGAACAUUUCAAGGCAUCGGAUUGUCUGAAAAUUAAAUUGGGAGAGGUAGAACUACCGAUGCUUACAUGGAACUGAGGAAAAGACAAACAAGAUCAACAAAAAUGGAAGAGAAAAUGCAAAUCCAUAAGCCUGUAGCUGCUGUCCAAAGCAGCUUCCUUGUCAAUUGUCAACAAAAAGUCCACUAUGAAAUUCACUGGUAGAGCCACAUAUAGAAAAUUGUAAUAAAUGGUAAAGUAAGAAAUCUGCGCUGGGAAUGGGUGAAGCUUAUUGAAUGUAAGGUUCUAAACAGUCUCUGACUAAACACGGUUGAAGAAUAGGGUUUCACAGGAAUAAUUUUCUUUCAUUGAGAUUAUUCUUUUAUAGAGUUUACAACAUAUAGAAAUCCUUCAAAUUAGGAAACUAAAUCACUGAUUAAAAGGAAAGAAUAACUCCUAACAAUUACUUUCCUAAAAAUACAAAGAUUGACAACUAAUAAAUAAUUUACAGCUUUACAAAGUUAUUUAUUUCCAUAUCAGUUUCGGUUUUCCAACAAACACCAUUGGAGUAUAGAUAGUAGCUCUUAGAGAGAAGUGAGGUCUUGGUGACCCUGGAAGGUUAAGGCUUCCAGAUACUGGAAUCUUUGUGUGCAGACAUACAUGAGAGAGAUGUAGGAAGGAAGAGGCAAGCCUGUGUCAUCCGAGCAGAGGCAUCUGGAAUCUUUGUGUGCCAUUAUUCAAUCCAAAGAGAUGCUGGGAGAGAUUUGUUCAGGAUUUAUGUGAUGUACAGUCUUUUCACAAUCAUAAAUAGUAUUUAAGUAUGGAAUUUUGGAAUAAGGUGAUAUACCAGUAACAUGGAAAAUAAGGUGAUCACAAAGGACUACACAGUUAGCAUGUUUGGAAUAGUUGUGGUUGGUUAAUUUCAAGCCCAAGUUUUAGCACCUAAAAACAUGCCCAUUUUUUCCAGACCCUUUAGCAAGCCUGCACGGAAGCAUUCUCUGGUUGUUACAUACAUGGUGUCUACAUAUCAAUCAACACAUUUUGAUGUUUUUUUCUCAAAUUCCAUAUUAAAGUUAUACUGGACACUUGAAUGCGAACAUGUCUGAUUAUAUCUUUUCUUUCCAGACAUGUUUCAUCUCUCCAGUGCACUAGGUUUGGAUGAACCUUAAAGCUCAGCUACAGAAUGAAACUGGAAUAUUAGUCAUGUUUUCUGUACAUAGAUUGAUAAAAAUGUUGAGUAAGAUCAAGAAAGCUGUUAAAUGGGAAGAUGAUGAUUUUCUUACUGUCAGUUUGCAUUGAAAAAAUGGUAAUCAGAAAAGAUAUUUUGGAUAGGAUUCAGAAAGAAAAUAUAUUGAUUCAAAAGUUAGAGAUAUAGUACCCAAGGGGCUAUGAUCCUGUAUAUGGAUGUUUCAUGUUUUAAGAUUGUGCACGAAGUGCUGAUGUUAUAAGGGAUCAAGGGUGGUUUGUGGAGUAGUCCCCUCUUCAGAGUAUUGCAAGUAUAUAAUCCUACAAUUCUGGAGUAGGCUUCUUCUAAUUUGCUCUGCUCCCAAUCGUCCAGAAUAGUGGAAAGCUUCAUUCAGUUGUAAUAAUUUUAUUAUUUAGAUUGAAUCAUAUUCAUUGGGUUUGUAGAUCAAGAGAAAGUGUCAUGGCUUUGAAUGUUUGUCUCUUUGAUAAUAUCACAGUGCAUUGGUCCACAGAGAUGGAAGCAUGACAGUUGAAUGAAAUGACUGAAAUGUAGCAUUCAAGGGUAAAUUAUAUGAAAACUUUUAAAUAGAGCAACCUGUUUGACUUCACAUAGUGUGCUUGCAUCAGUUGUGGACGUCUAAUGGUUGGAAUAUCCUUGCACAUAUGUCGUCAUUUUCUUUUCUUCAGCUCUGUUUUCUUUGUUUCUCCCUUCCUCGGUCAAGCCAAACAGCUUGGUGAUUCUUCAUUUCUUCUUCAUCCCAUCAAGAGAACAGCAUCUCAUGCAUCUUUGUAUUGGGUUCCUCCCUCUUCUUCCACCCUAAGGAAAAACCGUAUCUUGCUUAGUUUGGACUUCUCUAUUUCUUUUGAUCAUUGUGAAAAGCAUCAUGAGAAGAGGUACAAUAAAUGUGUUGUGCUGAAUUAUUCAAAACAUUAUUUUCAUAAUCAUAAAUACCAAGGUGUUUAAGCAGCAGGUAAGGCAUCUCUUGACAAUGAGGUGAGAGGUAGAAACAAGCAACAUACCUGUAUUCAAGGGAAGUUCUGUUCUUCUUCUGAAAUUUGACAACAUUCAUUUAGUCUGAACUCAAUAUCUGGGCAACUCAGCAUCUCCACCUUCAUUAGGAUUGCAGGAAGCUGGCUUCUUGGAAAGACAUGAAACGGGGGCAUUUCAAAAUCUAAAAGAAUUUCAGAGACCUGUUGCAACUUUUGAAUUGCUCAAAUCAGUAACAACUCCAGAGAUAUAUACAUAUCUGCCCCUGGGAAAUUGAGGUGUCCUAGGCAUGCAACCAUGGAAUAUUAGCUCCCUAAUAGGCUCAAGGUUGUGAUCAUAAAAAAUGCACUGAGUGGGUGACUUGCAAUCGGUUCUGUGAGUCCCUCUUGGUAGCUUCUCAUUUAUUGCACCAUAUGAAUUGCAGAUUCCAACUGCCAAUUUCACCACCCCUAAAUGAACUAGGAGACAUGCUGAAAGCAAAGUUAGACAACUCAUCAUAGAGUUAAUCCUGCAGGAAUACACCAAAAAGGAAAUCUUAUAAUAUAAAUGAAUUCAUCCAAUUAAAGGAUAAGGUUGCCUGAAAAAUUAAAUUGAGAGAGAUGGAUAUAGUGAUGCUUACAUGGGAUUGUGGGAAGGAUCAACAAGAGAAACAAACAUUGAAUAGCAAAUGCAAAGCCAUAGAGCUUGCAACUGCUGUCAAAAGCUGCUCCCUAGUGAAGUCUUUUAACAAUAAAUUUCAGUGCAAAAUUCGCCUAAUUGCUCCACUUGUAGGACAUUUCAAUAGUAUGAAAACAGGAUAUGGUGAACUCCCCCUGCUUCUGCCAUUAGUGAACUAAUAUGGAUCAAAGAUGAAUCUCGUCAUCUACAUCUAUUUUUACAUAGGAGAUGUGGGCAAUCUUGGGCCAAUAUCUCAUCAUUGGAUUUAGUAGUUGUCUCUGAUUUAUGGUUCUAAAAGCAUGGCAGGAUCACUUGCCAAAUACUACUAGAGCUUAGGUGAUGUCUCAAUGUGGGGAAGCCAAGGAUACCAGAUUCUGGAAUCUUUACAUGAAAAUAUACCACCAACGAUGAAUUGUCUGAGAGUGGUGAGUCUGUGAGGGCCCCACUGGGACCUGGGGUGUUUCUCACAUUCUUUCAAUCUUCAAUUUGAAGUAGCCACUUGAGCAAUUGUACCUCCAGGAAUGAGUCAUUUUGGGGCAGAUUGUUUUCAUUUUCCUUCACACCAUUGUUUCACUAUAGGGCACUAAAUGAUAUGUAGUUGCAAGACGAAUAGAGGCAGCCAUUAAUGAAAGCUUAUGGAAAUUCAAGACAAACAGAUCUUCAUGGAGAUAUGAGGUUUUGAAAUCCAAUAAAGGUUUGAAAAUCCAAACACGAGUUAUCCAAUGUACCCAUUGGUAACAGAGUUGGGCAGUGUUGUUCCUUCUACCCUUGGAAAAGGACAUCACAUAAGAAAUUCCACUAGUAAUGGGGGGCUUAAGUGAUGUGUUGGGGCUUGGGCAAUGCUGUAUCUUAAGAUAUUCAAGAGAUGUGUGAUCAUGCAUCAACCCUAAUUCUGCUAGCAUAAUCUGGUUUUCAGUCACAAAUAUGUAGUUAAAAUGUAUGGCAGGUCAUGCAUGCAUCUCUUGAAUUGUCAUGAGAAGUGGAGAUUGAGCAACAUACAUGAUUCAAGGGAUGUGCAACUGUUCUUGUGCAUCAAACAAUCUUCAUCUGAUACAAAGCUUAGAUUUUUAGCAACUUGUGAUCUCCACAUUUUAACACAUUGGAGGAAGUUGGCCUAUUCAACAAACAAGACAGAACAUUUAGAAAAAUGCAAGAAUUCCAGACAUGUGUUGUUGUCAUGAAUUAUUCCAAUCAGUAAGGAAUCAAAGUGCUAUAAUUUUGAUUUGUGUAACUACUUAGCAUGGAUAACAGACCUAUCUUGGGGAAGUAACUCAAGUCCCAAGCACCAACUCAAUCCUGAGCUCUCUGGGAUACUUGAGGCACCAACUUAAUCAAAGCUACUUCUUGUUUCUAUGGCAGCUCAUCUUCCUCCACUGAUACUGGGGAAAAUGCAAAACAAAGGGAAAUGAAGUCAUGUUGUGAUCCUGUCUCCAAUCUCCUUGACAUAGAUAGAUGAUUUCCUUGCAACCGACAAUGUCUAAUGCUUUCACUUCAGUUCUAACAUGUGUUUUGGGAAGAGAAUUAAGCUUUCAAAUAUUGCCAAUAUGCAAGGAAUUGAGAAAGGCCAGGUGGGCAACUGCCACAGUUAGUUCACAAACCAAUGGCAACAUUGGAAGUGGAACAUGACACAAAAACUUCAAAAGACAAAACCUGUUUUUCACAAUCAUAAAUACCGAGGUGUUUAAGCACAAGGUAAUGCAUCUAUUGACAAUGAUGUGUGACGUGGAGACAAGCAACAUACCUGUAUUCAAGAUAAAUGGUAUUCUUCUUUUGCAUUGACAACAUGCAUCUAGUCUAGGCCCCAAGUUUUUAGCAACUCCAGAUCUCCACCUUCAUUAGGAUUACAGGAAGCUAACCACUUGGAAAGACAUGAGAGUAACAUUUAGAAAUCUGAAAGGAUUCUAGAGAGCUGCUGCAACUGUUGAAUCAUUCUAAUCAGUAACAACAAGGAGCCCUAUAUACAAUUUUGAACUGUCAGCCUUCAUAGCAUGAAUGAUAAACUUGUCCCUAGGAAUGAUAUGUGCCUUGGGCAUGCAACCUUCAAUUAUUAGUUAGAGUUACCCCCACCUAAUCCAUCUCAAUGUGUCUGGGAAAACGAGGUCCACCAGAUGUUGUGGCCAUUAUCUCAUGGUAGUGGAUGUUUUGAAGCAAAGUCUAAAACGAAGUCAUCACUGGAGGUUAUGUCCAUUAUCCCAUUGCAGCAGAUGUUUAGCACCAGAGUUUAAAACCAAGUCAUUGACAAAGGCCAUAGUGAUGUCAUUGAUUUUAUUCUAAACUUAUCAAAAACAAUAUGAGAUUCACUUUGAUUUCAAGUUAUGCAAGAUCUAUAUGAGCUCAAUUGUUUUGAAACUUGAUUGAUGUUUCGUUGGUCAGGUCUUCUUUAGACAUGAACCUAUUUUUUGUGCUUAACUUGAAGAAGCUGCCAAUAAGACUGAAUAGUCACAUAUCACUCAGAGAGUUGAGAAUAACACAACUCUUUCGUUUUUUUUUUAGGACUGGUUUGUCAUCAAGUAUUUUGCUCGGUUGUUGUGAUGGUUUGAAAUUUCUAUCUGAUGACUAUAACCUAUAUAAACAACAACUUGUAUUCUCUUAUCUUGAGCAUUAUUUUGCAAAAAAGAUUUUUAUGAGCACUUCUAUUUGGAUGUCUUUCUAACAGUCGUUAGUAUUCAAUAAAAAUGACCUUUACUAAACCUGCAGAUUUUUUCAGGUGAUAUUUUUUUUUUACAAUAAGGAAGGGAGGCAUUUUUAUUGGUAGCAUAUCCUGAUUCAUAGAGUAUAAACCCUUGCAAAUUGAAAGAAAGACAAUUUACAUAUCAUUAAAGGGUGAUCUGUAAGCACUCUUAUAGGCCUACAUCUUCCUCAUUUGGAUAAGCGUUUACUUGUUUUUAAUCUGUUUUUUAGGAAGACAGUUAAUGAGAUUUUGCCAACCAAAAACAGAGGUUUGUUAGCCCUCCUACCCUCUGGCUGGUUCUCUUGCAUAUGCUUGAAGAAUAUUGGAAACCAAUUAAUUAGUCAUUGCAGUUUCAUAGUCUUACAAGAAAUCUUGUUAUGGUGGCAAGAGAACAGACUGCAACAUAGUCUCAUUCCCCUUCAUGAUUUAGACAUUGUAAAGAUCAAAAACCUAUUCCUGGUAAUAUAAGAAGAAGAGCAGCCAAAGAAAAGGAACAAAAUGUAUAGGAACCUUAUGGACUUGAAUAGUUGGUAUUCAGGUGGCAAAAAUACACAAAAAUGCACUUAACAAACUACUAAUCAGCAGGCCAAGAUUCUACUUCCAAGAGACAGGUUUGUCAUCCAUGUCAAGAAGGCUCGCACUUCAUUUUUGUGGGACUUUGAUAUCAACAAAUUUAUGGAAUUCUUUCAGGUUUCUAAAUGGAAUGGUUCAAGUCAUCAACACAUUCCCAGAAUUCUUUCGUAAAUGUCAUCAUCCUGGCUAGCUUUCUUCAGUGUUGAAAGAGGGGGUGAUACCAUGUUGCUAAAAAUUGCAGUCUAUAUGUACUAGAUGGACAAGAACUACAACACUUGUAUUAGAAACAUCUCUGUUGCCUGGAUUGGUAUUACUUGCCAUAAUUAAGCACCUUUUUAUUAUUGUAGCAGAGUGUUUCAAAGUCACCCAUACUUAAUCCAUCUUCAUGUCUCUCAAACAACUAGGUCCAUUAGUAGCAAAAGAAGAGCAAUUUGAAUAGCUGGUCAUUUCCUUUUAUAAUUUAGGGAUAAAGGUCAAAAACUACAACACUUGAAUAGCUGGUAUUAAGAUGGACAAGAACUACAACACUUCUCUCAUAAACAUGUAUGUUCUUUCUUCAACUCUUACUCUAUUGCCUGGAGUUGCAUUACCUGCCAUGAUUAAUCGCCUCCUAUUUAUUCUUGUGGAGAAACAGGUUUUGGUGUAUGUAGAGACUACAGUUGCUGCACCUCUUGAUUUUCAAGACCACCCAGUCUCUCCUCAAGCAUCUGGAAUUGUCAAGCUGAUUUAUGGCUAACCUUCCAAGGACCUUAGGGGUUUCAUACAGGGUAGAUCUAGUGCAAGAGAUUCAGAAUUAUCUCUACAUAAUCCACCUCCAUUUCUUUAGAACAACUAAAUGCUAUGGCCAAAAUCUCACUUAAGGCGUCAGGUUCAUGUUGGGGCUCAUUCACAAGAUUAAGAUGAAUAUAGCAGGGGAUGUUCCUGAUCUACCACCAGCCAUGUUGUCCAGUUGUUCAAUGCCCCUGUGUUGACUAUGGCCACAGUCACAGUUGUGUCCUUUCCCCAAAGAAAUGUCAUUUUGAAAUUUUUAAUGUCAACAACAGAACUUUCAUGUUUCUACAUUCAGGUACCCACAAAAAAUUGAGUCCAUGUUAGCAUCCAAUGAUGGAAAGUAAUAAUCUAAACAAUGGAACAAGGGCUCUCCUUGCUCUUUUUUAGAAGAACACUAGUUUAUUUCCAAUCAAUUGAGGAGGAAACUAAUUCUAAACACGGAAGCCAGGUACUUGAUUUCUGUUUGAUUGGUGGAACAACUGAAACAUAUUUACAGAUUUAACAUUAGAUAAGUUUAACAAAAUCACUAAUUAACUCCCAAACCUCUCCCCCCACCCACCACAACGGAAAGAAAAAACGUUUUGGGAUCCUAGUAGCUUUAUGUUACAAGAUUCUGAUCAACAUAUGGUGCAGAGUAUUAUGUUGGUCCAGUUCCUCUACUCUGCAUUGCAACAAAGUAUAAGUGGGUUUUCUCUUUUCUUCAUCUUCAAAUGAAACAACCCUUCUCAAUAAAAGAAUACAAGAAAUUGAAAGCUAAGACCGUUUCCUUUCAUUGUACUUUGUUUCCUCUGCUCCUUCCUCUCUUGGUCAAGCCAAACAGUCCAUGGUUUGUCCAUUUCUUCUUCAUCCCACAUCAAAAAGCAGUGUGUUGGGUUAUCCCAUCUCUUUAUCCCCUUGUCAAGACACAGAAUUUAAUGCAUUGCUAUCUUUGAUUCCUCCUAGUUAAAAGGAAGCUUGAAAUAUCUCCAUUGCUUCUCUGUUUCUUUGAGCCAAAGGAUAGAAUACUGCUUUUCUCUGUUUCUUUGAGGUGCAAGAGGUUUGUACAGAACUUAGGUGAGGUAACUAUUGGUCAGGGAGGUAAGCAGAUCUGAAACAUUUUCUUGACUUCCAACGGAAUAUCCUUGCACAUAUGUUACCAUUUUCUUUUCUUCAACUCUGUUUUCUUUGUUUCUUCCUUUCUUGGUCAAGCUAAACAAUCUGGUGAUUCUUCUUUUGUUCUUCAUCCCAUCAGGAGGCAGCAUCUCAUGCAUCUUUGCCUUGGGGUCCUCCCUCUCCUUCCAGCCUACGGAAAAAUAAUACCAUUGCUAAGUUUGGACUUCUCUGUUUUUUUUUUUAUCAUUUUGAAAAGCAUCAUGGGAAGAUGUACAAAAAAUGUGUUGUGCUGAAUUAUCCCCUUCUCUACUAACCAAAACAUGUUCUUUCACAAUCAAAUAUCAACGUGUUUAAGCAGUCGGUGAGGCAUAUCUUGACAAUGAGGUGAGAGGUAGAAACAAGAAACAUACUCGUAUUCAAGAGAAGCGUUGUUUCUUCAUUUGCAUUAGACAACAUUCAUUUAGUCUCAACUUGAAAGUGGAUUGCUAGAAUCUGAGCUCUUGCAAAGACACAAAAGUACAUUUAGAAAUCUAAAAGAAGCCCAGAGACCAGUUGCUACUUGUGAAUCACUGUAAUCAGAAACAAUUCCAAAUAAUCCUGCAAAUCUAAACCUUUGAUUUGCUCCGUUCCCUUUUGCCAAGAAUAGUUCUAAAACGUUUUUCUUUAUUGAGUUGUAAUCAUUUUAUUAUUUGGAUUUAAUUGUAUUCAUUAGGUUUACAAAUCACAAAAACGGUGUCGUGCUUAUGAAUAUCUUCCUCUUUGAUCAUGUAAAAUUGGGAAACAGAUAUGGAUUACUAUUAUGAUAGCAUAGUGUAUUGAUCCACACAGUUUGUGGCAUGAUAGUUUAAGGAAAUUACAGAAGUGUAGCACUGAUGGGCAUGUCAUGUGAACAUUUUUCAAUGGAGCUACUUGUCCAAAUUUACAUGGGUGAAUUGUCACACCAAUGUCCUCUGAUGAACCUUAGGUUCUAUUUUCUAUUUCUUCCUCUCUUGGUCAAGCCAAACAAUUUGUCUUCAUGAGGACUUCAUAUUACCAAUAAGCAGCAUCUUGUGUUCUCCUUCUCUUCAUCCCCUUGUCAAGACAGCAAUUUGAUGCAUCUUUCCAUUGGAUUGCGUCCUCUCUGCUCCCUCUCCUUCCUCCUUGAGGCAAAACCAUAUCAUUGCUUAGUUUUGACUAUGUUCUUUUGAUCAUUGUGAGAGAGCAUCAUUGUAAGAUGUACAAGAAAUGUGUUGUGGUGCAUUAUCCCCUUCUCCACCACCUAAAAUAUGUUUUACAUGAUCAUAAGGACCAAGGUGUUUUAAGCAUCAGGUAAGGAAUUUGUUGACAAUGAUGUGAGAGAUAGAAACAAGCAACAUACCGAUAUUCAAAAGACAUGAUGUUCUUCUUUUGCAUUUGACAACAUUCAUUUAGUCUGAACUCCACAUUUGAGCAACUCAAAAUCUUCACCUUCAUUAGGAUUGCAGGAAGUUGGCUUCUUGGAAAGACAUGGAAAGGGAGCAUCUAGAAAUCUGAAAGAAUUCCAGAGGCUUGUUGCUACUUUUGAAUCAUUCCAAUCAAUAGUAACUCCAAAAGAUGUAUACAAAUCUAUCCCUGGAAAAGAGAUGUGUCCUGUGCAUAUGCAACCGUCUCUCUAAUAGACUCGAGAUUGUGCACCCUCAUGGUGGUUUCGUAUAGAUUGCACCAUAUGAAUUGUAGAUAUCCAACUACCAAUAUCACUACACCUGAAUGAACUAGGAGUUAUGCUGAAAGUGAAUUUGGACAACCCAUCAUCGAAAGAAUCCUGUAGGAAUACACCAAAAAGAAAAUCUUUUUAACAUAAAUGAAUUCAUCCCGUUAAAGGAUAAAGGUGCCGAAAAAAUUGAAUUGGGAGAGAUAGAAAUAUUGAUGCUUGCAUGGGACUGUGAGAGGGACCAACAAGUGGAACAAACAUUGAAUAGUAAAUGUAAAACCAUAAAGCUUGUAACUGUUGUCAAAAGUUGCUCUCUACUGAAGUUUUUUAACAAUAAAGGUAAGUGCAAAAUUCACCUAAUAGCUCCACUUGUAGAAAAUUUCAAUGGUGUGAAACUAGGAUAUGGUGAACUUGCUUCCGCUAUUGCAGUGAACCAUUAUGGAUCAAAAAUGAAUCUCACCAUCGAUUUUCACAUAGGUGGGCUAUCUUUGGCCCAUAUCUCAAUAUUGAAUUUAGGAGUUCUGUCUCUCAUAUAUGGUUCCACUUGCAAAAUACAAAUGGAGCUUAGCUGAUGACAACACAUUUAGAAAAAUGCAAGAAUUCCAAAGACAUGUUUUGUGCUAUCAUGAAUCAUUCCAAUCAAUAAGGAAUCAAAGUGCUAUAAUUUUGAAUUGUCUUAGGGAACAUACCCCAAUUCAAUCUUGCGGAAGUAAACUGUCUUGAGCACCAACUCAAUUCUGAGUUCUUUGGAAGACUUGAGACACCAAUUCAAUCAAAACUGCUAGUUGUUUUUGUGGUAGAUUGUCUUCCUCCACUGAUACUGGGGAACCCCAAAGCCCUAUAUACAAUUUUGAACUGUCAGCCUUCUUACCUUGAAUGAAAAACCUAUCCAUAGGAAAGAGGUGUCUUGGGCAUGCAACCAUCAAUUAUUAGCUAUCGAAAAGGCUUGAAGUUGUGCACCCACUUGGUAGCUUCUAAUUCAUUAAACCAUAUAACUUCUAGAUAUCCAAUUGGCACGUUACUACACCUGAAUGAAAGUGAAUAGGAAGUUAGACAACCUUUCACAAAAAGAAUCCUGUAAGAAUACACCAAACAGAACUUCUUGUUAACAUAAAUGAAUUCACUCAGUUAAAUUAUUGUGUGAAAAUUUAAAUUGGGAUAAAUAAAAAUAUCGAUGCUUACAUGGGACUGUGGGAGGACCAACAAGAGGAACAACCUUUGAAUAGCAAAUGUGAAGCCAUAAAGCUUGUAACUGCUGUCAAGACGUUGCUCCCUAGUCAAGUUUUCAACAAAAAGGUUCAAUGUAGGGAUUCUCUAGUAGUUGAACUUGUAGAAAAUUUCAACAGUAUGACUUUAUACUUGUAAUAAGAAGAUAAAAUGUAAGAAUUAUGUGUUGGGAAUAAAUGAAACUUACUAAAUAUAUGGAUAGGAUAGGGUGCACUCUCUGUGCUUCCAUUUUUGGAAUCUAAUGGAUCAAAGAUGGAUCUCUCCAUCUAUUUCCAAAUAGGAGAAGUGGGCAAUCUUGAAUUGAUGUCUCAUCAUUGGAUUUGGAACUGAUGUAUAGCUCUAAAACCAUGACAGGGUUCUCCUUCAGUUGACAAAUACAACUAGAGCUUAGGUGAGGUCUUGGUGAUAUAGAAAAGUUAGGGAUUCUGGAAUCUUUACAUGAAAAUAUACAUGAGAUACAUUGGAAGAAAGGGCAGGCCUUGGUCAUUUGAGAAGAAACACAUCUUAAAUAUACUAUCAAUCAUGAUGAGUUGUUUGAGAAUCAUGAGUCUAUGAAGGCCUCACUCAUAUAAGGGAUGUCUUUGACAUUUCUCACUCUUCAAUCUUAGGAAGGUACAUCAUCAACCAGAACAUUAUGAAUAUGAGUCAUCAUGAGGCAACUUGUUUAUGUUUUUUAUUCUUUUCUCACCAGAGGGGAUUAAAAGAUAUUUAGUUGCAAGGACAAGAGAUGUAGCUAGUACUGAGAGCAUCAAACAAUCCUUCUCUAAUGCAGACCACAAAUUUUAGCAACUCGUGAUCUCCACAAUUUAGAGCACUGAAGGAAGUUAGCCUGUUGGAAAGAUGUUCCAUGACAUUUAGAAAUAUGCAAGAAUUCCAGAGAUCAUUCCAAUCAUUAAGGAAUCCAAAGCCCUAUAAUUUGAAUAGGGCAUCCACUUGGCAUGGAUAACGCACCUAUCUUGGGAAAAAGAUUGGGCACCAAUUCAAUUAUCAACUCUCUAUGAAACUUGAGAUACAAGGUACCAAUGUUAGUUGCUUCCGUGGCAGUUCUUCUUUUACUGGUAUUGGGGCAAAGCCUUUUGAAAACCCUCAAUCUACAAAUUGCCAAGGACAUGAGAUCAUGUUGUAAUCUCAUCUCCAAUCUCCAACUGCAAACAAAUUAUUUCUUUCAAUUAACAAUCUUUAAUGCGUGCACUUCUAUCAUAUGAUAAGAAAUUUAGGAAAACAAGUAAGCUUUAUAAUAUUAGGAAUAUGCAAGGAAUUGAUAAAGGCUAUGAAUCUACUUUCAAAAAAUAAAAUAUAAAAACAAAUAUUUUUUUUCACCCAUGAAUACUGUAACCAGCUUCUAAAAAACAUUAGGUAUUGAAAUAACCCAAUGUUCCUCAGGUAUUAAAGUUGAAGUUCAAAGUUACCAAGAGUGCUUUUUUGACCCAUGCAUAAAAUAAAAAGAAAAUAAGAAAGCAUAACAUAUAACUCAUAAUUGUGUCAAGUAUGAGUUCAAUUCAUGGUCAUGCACAAUUGCAUUAAGUAUUUAAAAGCUAAAUAAGGCUAUGUGCAAUUCAAAGAAUACCAUACAACUCAUAAUAGAAUCCUCACAGCUCACCAUAGAAUGAGAACUCAAACGUCUUUCUUCCGGUCAUAAGAGUUUGUGCUCUUCGAGCCUCUGACUUGCACAACUCAAGACAGCAGGACAUGCCAAAAAGUCUCUUUCACCUCAAACAUUAUUCAAAUCUGCAGUCUAAAUCUAGAUAAGAUAAUUUUCUACAAAUAUAACAUGUUGCAAACAAAUAACAGUAUGUUGGUUUAAAAUUGAAGAGCAUUUCAAACCAAACAAAAUAGAAAAAUUUUCAGUGUACAUCACUCACCUAAAAGCUUGUAUGUUGGAUAAAAUUCUUGCUAAUGAAUCCUGACAAUUAUUUGCAAUCAAAAUUUAGUAAUGGUUUAUAACCAAAAAAAAAAUAUUACAAAAUUUUUUAGCAAUGUUCCAUGAAAAACACAUUGCAUAUUGAUUGAGAAAUUAAUAUGAAAUCCACUAAUUUGAAAGGCACUAAAUACCAUAUGUUCUCUUGAGUUCUCCAUGUAUCAAAACAGAUGCAAGUUCCUAUUCGAGCCACCACAAUCACGGAGCAAAAGACUUCUUAGCAUGGAAGGCAUACCAUAUUUUAAACAAGGUUCUUAACUUUCCAAGAGACAUAAGAACGUGGUGUGUUGUAGAAACUGUAGAAUAAAUAAAUGGAAGUUAGACAUAUGCACUUGCUACUUAGUUUUUUAAUCAUGUGUGAAAUAAAUAAAGAGGUGUUACUUGCAUUUAGGCCAAACUUGUAGUCUCCAAUGUGAAAUCCAAAUCUCAUUUUGUCAAUAGAAUAAGAGUAUUAAACAUAUAGAAAAUUGAAUCCUUCCUUUUGACAAUUUGAAAACCUUAAAGGAAUGACUUGAGAUUAUAAAUAACUAUAUGGUAAAGAAAAUUUUCAUCAUUCUUUCUAAAAGGAAAAUUUGUCAUUUCCUUGAUUACGGAAGAUUGAUAUUUUAACAUAAAGUGCACUUAUUAAGGUAAACUUUGUGCAUUAUAUAUUGAUUUAGAAAAUUGUAUUUAAACCCAGUUAGAAGGGUAUCACAAAAGAUGCUUAAUUGAAAUGAAGGCAUCCAUGCCAAUUUGUAAAUGUUGUCAAAUAACACCCUCCCUUGUCAUUUUACAUCCCAUGCUUGCAUGUCAAAUCUUUAACUAAGACUGCUCAAAGAGCACCUAAAAUAAAAUUACGAAGAUUUCAUUACAGGUAGAACUUAAGGUGCUUACAUUGACCAUGAGAGAGAUCGAUAAGAAACAAAAUACUCCCCCAUAAGUUUGUAACUAUUGUACUGAUAACUUUCUUCCUAGUCAAACUAUCAACAUAACUCCAUGGAGACUUCCACAAAUUGUUGAGCCACUGGUAAAACACAACAUCAAUAUGAGAAAUUUACAAGGUACUAUGCAGAUAAAAGAGUAAGAAAUGUGUAUUGAGAAUAAGAGUUACCUUAAUGGAUGUAAGGCUAGGAUAGGGUUGAAUUGGCUCUGCACCUAUUUUUGCAAUUUGAAUUUAUUAUGGUUCAAAAAUGAGUUUAUGAUGUAUCCUCAUUUUAGGGGAAGCAGGAAAUCUGGGGCCAAUCUCUAUCAUUCUCCUUGAAACAUCUUUGAUUUCGAAGUUUGAUAAAACUUAGAAGACAACCUUUCACUUGGCAAGGAGGACUAGAACAAGGCAUCCCUCAAUCUCUACAAGUUAAAGAAAUGAAGUUUUGAAGACCAAGGGAGGGGGCUAGGAUUCUAGAUUUGACAAUAUUUUCAUUGAAAAAUCAAUGAGAGUUGUAGCAAGAAAUCCUGUCAAAAGGAAAUUGCAUUUAACAAUGUACAAUAUAAAAUGAAUGAACUGAGUUUUUAGAGAGGUGAAUCUUUGGAGGCUCCACAAAGAUAAGGGGUUUUAAUACCCUUGCAAGUGUAUUCGUGAAAUUGUUUCCUCAAAGGAAACCUGAACUUGGACAUUGUGCAACACAAAGCUGUCAAAGAGAUGUGAGACUCUAAAUCUGAUGAGGUAGGACUUGAGAUCCACAUUUUCUUAAGUGAGGAAUUCUGAGGUUGUAGACACACUAGUAGUUUCCAGAUUUAGAUACUUCUCUUCAAAUAUUUGUAUAAUGUACAUCUUCUUUGACAUUGCUGCUCCAACAAGAUGUCAAAUAGGAGGUGCAACCUAUUUGGGCAUAGUACACGUACAACAAAAAAUUUCAUUAAAACAAAAACUUUUACUAAAACAAAAAUAUGAAGUUAAUGUAUAAGAAGAUAAGAUUUAUAUAUAGUGAAUGAGCAUGAUUGAUUUUAGCACAAAGGGAAUGAUGCCAAAAUAUUUUAAGAAUAUCAUCACCACAAGUACUUGCAUCAUUAAAAAUUCCACAAGGAUUUGAUGGUUAGGCAAUAAAAUAAUUCUAGUAAAUGAGUUAAAAGCAGCUGAGCUAAGAAAGAUUAAAUCCAAAUAAGCAUCAAUCAUUAAAGAAUUAACCAACUACGAAAGACUUCAAAUGACGUUUUCUCUAUAAUUUCUGUUCCUAAUUGGCCUCAUUUGCUUGAACCAAAAUAUUAUUAAUUUGCUUUAAAGGAAGUGGGUGACUCAUAUCUCUGAAAGGAUGUGAGAGAUGGAAAUCCCUCGAUCUGUAGUGAUUCAAGAGGAUAAUUCCUAUGGCUAUUGUUGUCAUCAUACAUCAUUCAGCUAGCUAUAGACCACAAAAUUGAACAAUCAUGAAUACGUAGAUGCUUAAAUAUGGUGUGUACUUUAUCUAGUGGAAAAGCUUAUGAGACUUGGUCAUCUCGAGAUUUCUAGGAAUUAAGAUAGAUACAAGUUGUUGCUUCCUGUUAUAAUUUAUCUGGAUCGCAAUCAUCAAGCACUAACUCCAUUCACUGCAUGUUUUGAGCCUUCAACAUAAAACCAAAAUUCCAUUCUAUCGGACAAAAAAUAAAAUAUAAAAAAAUCACUAAUAACUCAACCAUUUUAUGUUGCUCAUAUUAUAAAAUGUAGGAUUUAACUGACUUCCAUCAUUGAAAAUGAAUUAAUAUAACUUUACAAUACUAGUAUAUUCAACUUUUGACAUGGCUGAAACUGAUCUUGGAAUAAAAAAUUACAUACACAAGUAGAUAUUUAAUAGAAGAGGAUCCAAAAUCUCUUCCAUUGAUUAAUGUAUAAAUGAAUUAAUCAAAAAAAUUUGAGAUAAUUAUGGGGAGAUGAACCUUGUACCUCUGAGUUUCUUAUUCUUCUUGAACAGAGCAAUGAGCAUAAAGUGUUGAGCACCCAGGAAUCUCCCUUCCUCCACAGGCAAAGUCUAAACAAUCUAUCCUUUCUUCAUAGUCCACUUCCUUGCAAAAGUCAAAACAUGAAGAAAAUAUCAUCAAAAUUGAGAUAGAAAUAAGUGCAUCAACUAUCUCAAGAAGAGAUUUAUGCUUACUGCUUACCUUUUGAAGAAGUUCACUUGGUUAGAGCACAUUUUACAUGGACGCCCAAUCACUGCAAGCUGCUGAACCAAAGGAGAGUUCAAACAUCUAAAAAAUUUGACAAACUCAAGUAUCAUAAAAUACUUCAUAUGAAUUCUAAAUGAUCUCAUAUCUAAAAAACAUUGGCAUAAAAUUAUUGUUGUUUACCUUACAUGUUUCUUCCAUGGUCAUAAUCGAAACUUUGUUUGUCAUAAAAAAUCUUCUAUGCUCAUCUUGAUUACUUACAAUGAACACUGAAAUGAAAAGAAAAAAAACCACAAAAAAUGAUGAUUAGUUUGGUUUGAUAAAUUUAGCACACAUAAUUUCCUUUUUCUUGCAUGAGAAGGAAAGAGUAAUAUAUAUAUAUAUAUAUAUAUAUAUAUCAAUUUAAUAAUUUUUAAAAAUUAGCAAUUAUAAAACUAUUUUGGUUCUCCAAAAAUUUAUGGGAAAGUAGGGAAAAAACUAUAAACUUUUUCUCUUGUUUGAUUAUUUAUCAGAAAAUUGAGGGAAAAACAAAAAUCUAUGAGAAAUUUAUUUAACACUUUUGAGGAACCAAAAAUGUUUUAGAUGUUGUCAAAUCAAUAAUUUAAACGUGUUUAAUUCCAAUUAAAUGAGUUUAAUCAAACACAUGAAAUUGUGAAUAAAAUUAUUUAAAAGCAUUGAAAUUCAAGUCAUUAAAGUUGUCCAUAAAAUGUGGUAUAUUGAAGCAAGAAAAAAACAAAGCAAUUUGAAUGACUUGCUAAUAAAGCAGCUAACUAGAAUAUGCCCUAGAGUUGUUCAGUGCCCUCUAUAUAAGAAAUAAACAGAGAACACAAAAAAAAAAGAAAAGAAAAACCUAGAAACUACAAUAAGUGAAGUGAUAAUGUCAUCUAAUUAGUAAACCAAACCAAGUCAAUAAACUACAACUUCCUCUAGUAUAAAGGUCUUGAUACAUUAGAUAUUGAAUUUGUUGGACCUGGCAAGGUAGAAGUAGUAAUGCUCAUUUUUUAUUGUGACAGAUUAUAGAGAAGAUUAGACACUGGGAAAAUACCAAGCCAGGAGCCAUGUCAAGAGCUGCUUUCUUGUUAAAAAUUAAGUCCAAUUAGAAAAUUACAGUAGCGCGUAAGAGAAAUUGAAAGUGGUGUUGAGAAGAGAAAGAGGAAGAAUGAUGUGUUGGGAAUGAGAUGUAAUACCUUGUUUAUUACUCAGAUGGAUUAGUCAAAGUAUCUGCACACGGGGAAUGUGGGCAAUCUUGGGCCAAUCAUCUCCUUCCUCCUUCGAGUACCUUUGUGUUAGAUGUGGGCAAAGCCACACAUACAGUCGUGAAAGGGUGUCAGGCAAUAGUCCUUCCCUUGGCAAAAUUGACCGGAGCUUAGGGCAACUUUGGAUUUCUAGCUGUUCAAGAGAGGUGAGGGUUUGGAGAGACAGGGAGGCUAGGGAUUCCAGAUUCUGGAAUUGUGAAAGGGUAAGGGAGGUGAGAGUUGUAGGAAAAAGAAUCGAGUGGGGGUCAUCCGAAAAGGAAGUUGCAUCUGGAAACAUGCCACCAAUCCAGAGGAGUUUAAGAGAGGUGAGUCUGGAAAGGCCCCAUUGGGAUAGGGGGGUCUUGAUAUUCUCACAAUUACGAAUGAAAAGCGAUGUAAGACGAGUGAGCUUUUUUAUCUGAGGAAGCAACAAUUCCAGAUUUUCAAAAUCUACAAUACGUAGAUCUGUGAGGGUGUUGAGGCAAUCUGGU